Molecule: long non-coding RNA, 153962 nt
Filed under: Vitis vinifera (wine grape)
Lineage: Eukaryota; Viridiplantae; Streptophyta; Magnoliopsida; Vitales; Vitaceae
Description: long non-coding RNA (VVIN_LNC006438)
Source: RNAcentral
UCCUUUAAUGAGAAUGAAAGCUAUUUUUCUUACUCUCUUCAUAAUCCCUCCAUUCUGAGCAGAGUGGUGCUAGAUGUGUCAGGCCAGGUUAAGCGUCUGAAUUGUCAUGAAGGCGCACAUGAAUGGGAUUUAUUUUGGCUUCAACCAAAAACACAGUGUGAGGUUUAUGCUUACUGUGGGCCUUUCGGAACCUGCACUGGGGAUUCUGUUGAAUUUUGUGAAUGCUUGCCAGGUUUUGAACCUCUCUUCCCUGAAGACUGGAAUCUGCAAGACAGAUCUGGAGGGUGUGUGAGGAAAGCAGAUUUGCAGUGUGUCAAUGAAAGCCAUGCUAAUGGGGAGCGAGACCAGUUUCUUUUGGUGUCUAACGUGAGACUGCCCAAGUAUCCAGUAACACUGCAAGCAAGGAGUGCUAUGGAGUGCGAAUCAAUUUGCCUGAAUCGCUGCUCUUGCUCUGCUUAUGCUUAUGAGGGAGAGUGUAGAAUAUGGGGUGGAGAUCUUGUAAACGUGGAGCAGCUACCAGAUGGUGAAAGUAAUGCUAGAAGUUUCUAUAUCAAACUUGCUGCCUCUGAGCUAAAUAAGAGAGGUAAGAAAAAAGAGUCAUAGUUGUUAUUGUAGGAGGACAUAAAGCAUAUGGGUCUUGUUUUAUUUUCAAAAUAAAAUGGCCAUCGAUUCAGCUAAAUUUAAUAUGAUAUAUUUCCUUCUACAGUUUCAAGCAGCAAGUGGAAGGUAUGGCUAAUUAUUACACUGGCCAUAUCUUUAACUUCAGCCUUUGUCAUUUAUGGGAUAUGGGGAAGGUUCCGAAGAAAAGGUCAGUAUUUCUCAAGGACAGACGGAUGGCCAAGCGAUUCAACCGUUUUUAGGUUCCAUCUACAAAUAAAAAACCAGUUCUUUUCUGAAAUGAGUUCAUUAGCACUGUUAUUGAAUGGUUAAGGUAACAUUAGGAUUUCAUGUUCUGAUUACAUGUGAGUGUGUAUGUGGAAUCCAAUGUGAGAAAUAAUUUAUUCCCAUGCCAGAAUUCCUACAUUCAUAUGAUAUUUAUUGUCUGUUUGUUCUUUACCAAGCAGGGGAAGAUUUGUUAGUAUUUGAUUUCGGUAACAGCUCAGAAGAUACCAGCUAUGAACUUGGCGAGACAAAUAGACUUUGGAGGGGCGAGAAGAAGGAAGUUGAUUUGCCCAUGUUCAGUUUUGCGAGUGUAUCUGCUUCUACAAAUAACUUCUCUAUUGAAAAUAAACUAGGAGAGGGCGGUUUUGGAUCUGUUUACAAGGUGAGAUUACAACCCUUGACAAUAAUGUUCUACAAUUUGUCCUGGAGUGUGAAGGCCCACUUGAUAUAUACCAAAUUUCUUUUACUUGGUGUAAUUGUAGUCACAUGAAAUUCCCAUGACAGGGAAAGUUACAAAGAGGAUAUGAGGUAGCUGUGAAAAGGCUCUCAAAAAGAUCUAAACAGGGAUGGGAGGAGUUAAAAAAUGAAGCCAUGCUUAUAGCCAAGCUGCAACACAAGAAUCUUGUGAAAGUUUUGGGAUACUGCAUCGAGCGGGAUGAGAAGAUAUUGAUUUAUGAGUAUAUGUCCAACAAAAGCUUGGAUUUCUUCCUCUUUGGUUUGUAACUUCCACAUAGAUAUGCUUCCAGCUACUGUAUAUUCAAUGAGAACUUUACACAUUCAUCAUUCUUCACCACUUAUUUGCUAACAUCUAUUUAUUUGGUGUGAAAUGGAAAUAGAUCCUGCAAAACGUGGGAUUCUGAAUUGGGAGAUGCGAGUUCGCAUCAUUGAAGGGGUUGCUCAGGGACUUCUUUAUCUCCAUCAGUACUCCAGAUUGAGAGUUAUUCAUCGAGAUUUGAAGGCUAGCAACAUUCUUCUGGAUAAAGACAUGAACCCAAAAAUAUCAGAUUUUGGAAUGGCAAGAAUUUUUGGAGGAAAUGAAUCAAAAGCAACAAAACAUAUAGUUGGGACUUAGUAAGUGAAUCCUAACGCAUUGUAAAAUAUGUGGAUUGUCUCACAACAUGCUUUUUUUCUACAUGUAUAUUUGUAAUCAUGCAAUUACUAAAUGAAUUGUUUUAAUAAUGAAUCCAGUGGCUACAUGUCCCCCGAGUAUGUUUUGCGAGGUCUCUUUUCAACUAAAUCUGAUGUUUUUAGCUUCGGGGUCUUGUUACUAGAGAUUCUAAGUGGCAAGAAGAUUACUGAAUUUUAUCAUAGUGGCUCGCUCAAUCUUCUUGGAUAUGUAAGUAACACAAUUUUCCUCUUAUGUAGCUAAAGUUAUCAUGUUUACUACUAUAUUUCAAGCUUGAAGUUACACACUUGAAUGCAAUUGACCGAAUUAGGACUAUAUAUCUUUUUUUCUUUUUUCGGGAAUGUGCAUCAAAGUAUAAUUUUCUUUCCUUUAGGCAUGGGAUCUGUGGAAAAACAACAAAGGACAGGAGUUGAUUGAUCCAGUAUUGAAUGAGAUAUCUUUGAGACAUAUUAUGUUAAGGUACAUCAAUGUAGCCCUUCUUUGUGUUCAAGAAAGUGCAGAUGAUAGGCCCACCAUGUUCGAUGUUGUCUCCAUGCUUGUCAAGGAAAAUGUACUUUUAUCUUCUCCAAAUGAGCCAGCCUUCUCAAAUCUAUCGAGUAUGAAACCACAUGCAUCUCAAGAUAGGCUUGAAAUUUGUUCCUUAAAUGAUGUAACACUUUCAAGCAUGGGAGCACGAUAAGUUUUCUAAAUUUCAGAUUGCAUAUGCUUAAAUGUCUUCAGCAUAUUGUCUAGUAUUAUUAUUGGCCAUCAAGUUGAUUGUUGAUGUACUGAACGUGUGAACUUUUGUAUGUAUUUUUCUUUCAAUGCAGUUCAAUAAUGUGCUUAAUUUUACUCAAUCCUCAAGGAUUCAGACCUGUAUCUCAUCUUCCCAUCUGUAAUUGCUACUGAAUCUGUUGGUUUUGAAACUAGAUAAUUAAAAGAAAAACGGAAGCCAGAAAAUUUUUCUCAAAAUUUAAUGAAAUAACAAAUAUAGGUAAUUUAGAAUUGUACCUUGCGAUUAGGCUGAUAAAUUUGAACUCCACCUAAAGGAUCUUAGAAUUCCAAAUCCUCUAAAGCACCAUGGAUCUUUCUCUAACGUUCUCCAAAAAAUGAUGAACUCAAAACGAGUGGGCGUUUAUUAUCUUUGGGUUUUUUUUUAUAUCACACAACUUAAUAUAUUGAAAACUUGUAUUCUCACCCAUCAUCCGAAAAACAUUGAGAAAAAAAAAACUUUUUAAUACCACGAAGAAAAAAAUGACAUAUUUUGAAUUUUGAAAAACAUGGGAGAGAAUAUCUCUCCCCAUGAUCCCCACUUAAAAAGUGUUUCUUUGAAUUUUGAAAAACAUGGGAGAGAAUAUCUCUCCCCAUGAUCCUCACUUAAAAAGUGUUUCUUAGGGAAUACAAGUAAGUGUGGUCUUCACUACAUUGUAUCAAAAAUUAUUUUAAAUAAUCAAAUUAUAAAAUAAAUAAAUCAAAUCAAGAUUGUGUGAAAUUAAUUUAGAAUUCAAAAUUCCAAACUAAUAAAAUCAACCCAACAUAAAAAAAAAUGUUCAUAUAAUUUUAAUGGAGCCGUUGAGAGGAACUAUGGACAUUAUAAUUUUAAGCUCCAAUAAUUUUGACAAUUAAUUAACAACUUAAUUAAAAAAUCAAAAUUAUUAAUUCCAAAAUUACUCCACUAAAAAUUUGGAAUUGCACUCUUAAAAUUAUAAAAUUAAAUAUAUUCAAAGGAUUUGAAUUGCCCAUUAAUAUAGUUACUACAUAUGAGUCAAUCCUCCAUAAACGGUUCAUAAUUAAAGCUAGGUUUUUCCGUUAACCUCUUUAAUUAUAUCUUUCUCCUUAAGUGCCAUUGGUUCUCUAAUGAAUAAUAUAUUUAUGGUCUAAUCAUAAAUUGAGCGCUCUUAUCAUUCAAGGCCCGAACCAAUACUUAUGGUAACCGUCCAUCUGACUUCUUAACGAAGGAAUGAAUUUCAUCUUGUAUAUUAAUAUUCCCGGCUAUUUAUUUUAUUAUACUUCCAAUACACCAAUAAUUUGACACUAUGUAUUUGUGUCAUUACCCGAUAUGUAAAAAAAUACAAUACAAUAAAUAGGAGUCUAUUAAUCACUCAGAAUUAAGAUCAAUGCAUAUAUGACCAUCAUUGAUUAAUAUUGAAUGCUCUAUAUUAUAACGGAAUUUAUUAGAGAUUCAUAAUUAAUCGUGUUCCAGUCCUAUAUAAUCAAAUUAUAUAAAACGCUUUCAUUCCAAUAAUCUCAUUAUUAACAAUCCGGAUAAGAUCAUUUCAUUCAUAAUGUAAUGAACCACGCUAGUAAUUUUAAAUUAAAGAUCCCAACUUUAAUUUUUAAUUACGAACAUAUUAGAUUAUUUUACUUUAAAUGUUAUCCUCCUGUAUAUAACACUUAUAUACAAUAUUUAAAGUUACAAUUAAAUAAUCUAGGGUUUUCGAUAUUUAUAAAGCAUCUAUAACAUGCAUGCAACAAUAAUAUUGAAAUAAUUCCUUAAAAAAAUAUUAAUAAUCAGCAAAAUAAAAAACAUCUCAUUUGUUUAUGGGCACAUAUUCCAACAAAAUCUGCUUUUAUGCAUUGCCAAUCCAGACACUAAAAUACAACCCUCAGAGCUUACUGCAAAUAUUCAACUAGUACUAGGAAAGACGAGCUUUUGCGCAUGAUAUAGCUAAGCAUAAGUACUAAUUAACAUAUAGGCAAGAGGGAAAGUGAGGAAGGAAAGCAGAUAUAGAUUUUUUUGCCUUUUAAACUGUGAUAGCAUCUAGCAUUUUUUUUAAGAGAAGAAAUAGUAUAAUUUAAUUGAGUACUCGUAAAACCUUCUUUUCUUAUUGGACAUGGUUUCAAUAAAACCCAUUUGGUUGCCAAGAAAUCUGAGGAAAUUCCCUUAAUUCUAAGGGUUCAAGAACAAGCCGAGUCCAGCACGACUCGGCCGAGUCGUAUAAACUCAUACUCAAUCAGGAAUCGCUUAAACUCGGUUAACUCAACGGAGAUUCCGAGUUGACUCGGUUGAACCGUUUGUGUUAACAAAAGAAAUCGUUUUUUCACUUUCGAAUCACAGCAGAGGAACAACAAACGAGAUGUAAACCUAAAAAACCUCUCAAAAAUCAAAGAUUGUCUUCAAAAGGAAAAGCUUCUCAACAACCAUGAUGAAGAGGAAGAAAGGCAUCAGUCUAAACCAUGACCGAGUCUUGGAGGUGCACAAGAAGAAGAGGUUGAGGUAUUACUAACUUCAGAACGAUCAUGGAUGUGGAGCGCCUUCGAUGGUCCCGGUGUGGUAACUGGUGUGAUGAGAAGAUUCCCUCCAUUGACGUGAGCGGCCAUCGCUGCAUCUGGUCUCUCCUCUCUCUAAUUUUGGUCUCAGUUCUCGCCUGCUUCUGUCUGCCUUCCUCCCUCUCUCUCUCUCUCUCUCUUUCUCCCUAGUACGGGUGAGUUAGUGAUUUGAAGAAAGGGUGGCAAUCGGUGCCAGAAAAUUGGGGAUUUGAAGACAGGGUGGUCAAUGUUUUAAUAUCACAAUUAUUUAUAAUUGUAUAUGUUAAUAUUAGGUAAUAUAUUAUCAAAUUUUAUAGUCUUUGUUUUUUUUAUGAUAAUAAUUUAUUAUUUUAUAUAUUAAUGGUGUGAUAUAAAUUAUAUUAGCUUAAGUAAAGUAUUAUUUUAUAUGGCAAUGAUAGCAUAUUUGAUGUAUUAAUUUAUUAUUAACAAUAUAUUCAAGUCAUUUAAUAUAUUAUUAUAUUAACAUAUUAAAAUCAUUUAAUUAAUAAUAUAUACUUUGUUUAAUAAAUAUAAUUUUAUAUUAUAUUUAAACAUAAAGUGUUGUAAUCAUUUAAUCAAAAUUAAAAAUAAAAUUAAUGAUUGAAUUAUAUGUCUUUUAGUAAAAAUAUCAUUAUAGUUGAAAUAAAAUAAUUUUCAAUUCCUAACAUUAUCAUAAAUUGUUUUUGUGGAGACUUUAUAACUAUUUAAAUAAUAUUAAAUGUGAAAAAAUUUAUUUUAUAAUUUUUAAGCUUAUUUAAUUAUAUUUGUUUUUGUAAAAAAUUUCAAAAUUUUUUUCUAAUUUAAAAAUUUUUUAGUUAUCUUAUUUUGCAUACCACUUGAUACCAAAUCGAGAUGUUGAGACCGUUAUGCCUUGGGACCCUCCAAAUUAAUGAUUGAUAUCGUCACUUCAAUUAUAUGAAUAUAAAAAAUAAAUAUGUAAAGAAAUACCAUAAGACAUAAUAAUAGUAUUUUAAAAUAUUUUUAGCAUAUUGAUAUAAAUAUAUAUAUAUAUAUAUAAUUAUUUAAUAGUUAUUACUUAUAUUUAAUGGUUUAAAAUAUUUUUUAGUUUUUAAUUAGUAUAUUUUUUGUAUCAAUCAAUAUCGCUUUGACAUCUUAGAUUUAAAUAAUGAAAAUAGUAUCAAUUUUUCAAAAAAAAAGAAAGAAAAAGGAAAUGAUCUUUUAAGGUUAAAGUAUUAAUCUUUAGGUUUAGAUGUUCCCAAACCUUCAAUUCUAAGUGUUGAAGACGACUUCGAAGUUGUUGGAAGUCUUGUAAAUCUACGAUUUUCUAUCUGAUGAUUUGAACCUUGAUCUUAAUGCACUUUUAGUGGAGAUCGAUGGAAGAAAGGGUGGAAACUAUGAGUCUUUCUCUUUGAAGGUGGAAGAUGACUUUCUACAAAAAGUUAUGGAAACUUUAACCCCAAGAUCGAUGUACCUUAAAACCUUUCAAGUCAAUGACCCAUACCGUAACUUUCAACCAUAAGAUGGACACUAAAAAAAAAAAGAAUUAGAGUUGGAUUUGAACACAAACAUCUUUCAAAGAAGAGAAUGUACCUAUCAUUAUGGAAAAUUAUUAUUAAAUUUGGGUGGCAAAAUAUAUCUCCUAUAUUUUAACCCCUACCAUAAGUGACUUUGUGUAAGCGUAAAAAGAAGAACUAUAGAAAAGAUGCCUUAGGUAUUUGCUGAUUAUGAACUAUAUCUAGUAAAAGAUCAUACACGAUGUCCGAAAAACUAUAGAAGAAGAUAAAUCUUGAAGGGAAGAUCAAUGGAAAUGGGUCUAUGACUCGCCACUCCAUGAUUUAUGGGCUGCUUAAACUCUGAUGAUGGGUUAUGGGUAGCAUGAAAAUUUCAGCCAGAGGGUGGUCUGUCAAUCUUGCUUGUUUCUUCAUGUUUUCACUUGGAAUUUGCUAAUGCAUUUAUAGACACAAUCUUACAAGGUCAGUCAAUCACAACUUCUCAAACCAUCGUAUCUGUUGGUGGUGACUUUGAAUUAGGAUUCUUUUCUCUUGGAAACUCCACAAAAUACUAUGUGGGGAUAUGGUACAAGAAAGUGUCAGAGCAAACCAUUGUGUGGGUAGCUAACCGAGGUUAUUCAUUCACAAAUCUAUAUGUGGUUCUUACUAUUAUCCCAGAUGGUAACCUCGAGAUUUGGGAAGGGAAAAUUUCAUACAAGGUGACAAACGUAUCAUUAAAUAGAAACACCGGUGCCACCCUGUUGGAUUCAGGAAAUUUUGUUUUGAGAAAUGAGAAGUCGAAUAUCUUAUGGUAGAGCUUUGACUAUCUAUUGGACAUGAUCUUGCCCAGAAUGAACAUUGGAUAUGACAGAAGGGCUGGAAAAACAUGGUCAUUGGUGUCAUGGAAGAGCACAGAAGAUCCUAGUCCAGGAGUUUUUAUUAGAGAAUUCAUUAUAAUAGAUUUUCUUAUUAGCUUUUUUCCUAUAAUGUGUGGCCAUAUACAAUUAUAUUUGUAUGAAUAUUAUUUAAGGGUAUCAAUUGAUCGGUAGGUGAAUCAAUUGAUUGGGUAUCUAAGAGUCUUAUGUAUGGAAGACUCAAAUUUAUAAAUAGGGAGUUAGAAAAUUUAACUCAUAUGAAUGUGGUGUUACAACUUUUGUAACCCCAUCAUUAUGAAAUUUAUUUGUACAUUAUGUUUAUGAGUAAUAGAGGAAAAUGGAAAAGUAUAACCUAUGCAAUUAUAUAGAUGCAUUCAAGUUCAUACCCCACCAUUACCCAUUAAUUUGUACAUAAUGGGUGUAAAUAAUGAGUAUAACUCCCAUAUAGUCUUUGAUGGGAAGACUAAGAGAUGUAUAAUUUUUUUUAUAAAUUGAGGUCCUAAGCCACACUCUCAUUCUUAUGUCUUUUUGUUGGUUUAUUUUUAACAACAUACACCACACAAGUGACCCAUCCACUAUAUGAGAGUAGUGAGUCGAAGACCUUGCCAAUCCAAUUCACAAGGUAACUCAAUCUCACUUCAAAAGUGUUAUUGAUAUCAUGAAUCAAGGUAAGAAUAUGAUCAUUAUUUGAAUACUUAUAUAUAUAUAUUUUUUUUAUGCAUCCAAAAUGGUUUUAUAAAAUAAUAAUUUCCACAUAAAGUUUAUAAAAGUUUGGUUGACAUUUCUUUCUAUUUUUAAAUUCUUCUAAUUAGUUGUAAUUUCCUAUUUUUUUUUGUAAUAUCCUAAUUUUAGGAUUGUUUCUUAUUUUUGUAUUUUGGGUAGAUUGUUUCCUAUUUUUGUGUUUUAGGUUUUGUGUAUAUAUAUUCAUUCUUAAUCAAUGGAAAAGUCAAGCCAUUGUUUCUCAAUAAUCUUCUACUUCAACAUGGUAUCAAGAGCCUAAUUUUCUUUGGUGUAUUUUCUUCCUUUUUUUUUUCCCUUUUCCUUAAUGGCUUCCAGUGCAUCCUUCUCUUCCACCAACAAUCCUAUCACCAUCCAAAACUCUCAAGAUCCUCAAAAUCCUCUCCUUACAAUCAAUCUCUCCAAUAUCACCAAAUUGUCAUCCAUCAAUUAUCUCACAGGGAGCCUUCAAAUCCAAUCCUUCUUGAAGGUUAUAAUCUUCAUCACUUCAUUGAUGGCGCUCAUACUCCACCACCACCCACCGUCACCGUCACCAUCACUUGUGUUGCAUCCCCAAAUCUAGUAUACACAACCUGGAAGCGUCAGGAUCGUCUCAUCUUUAACGCUCUCCUUGGUGCUAUCUUCGUUUCACUACAACCGCUUAUUGUCUGCACCACCACUUCCCUUGAUGCAUGGCAAACCUUAGUUAAUACCUAUGCCAAACCCUUGAUAAUUUUCUCUCCACCAAUGGUAUAUCCCAUCUUACUACACCACAUACACCUGGACACAAUGGCCUUUCCGAAUGACGUCAUUGUCAUAUUGUUGAAACCGGUCUAUUUCUUCUCACUUAUGCAUCGAUAUCUCUAACUUAUUGGACUUACGCCUUUGCCACUAUUGUAUAUCUCAUCAACUGUAUGCCCACACCCACACUAUAUCUCUCAUCUCCUUUUGACCAACUCUUUGAGUCUCCACCCAACUACACUAAACUUUGGGUGUUUGGUUGCUUAUGUUAUUCGUGGCUUUGUCCUUAUUCUCAACAUAAACUUAACUCUCGUUUCACUUCUUGUGUUUUUCUUGGUUACUCUUCCUACACCACCUAUUAUAUAUUGUGACAAUGUUGGUGCCACCUAUCUCUAUUCUAAUCUAGUCUUUCAUUCGCGCAUGAAACAUGUGGCAAUUGACUAUCACUUUAUUCGGGAUCAAGUUCAAUUAUGUGUUCUUCGUGUUACUCAUGUUUCCUCAACAGAUCAACUUGUCGACGCUCUUACUCAACCGCUUCCACAAAGCUUCUUCCAAGAAUUACGGGUCAAGAUUGGCGUCUCCUCCAGAGCUCUAUCUUGAGGGGGCAUAUUAGAGAAUUUAUUACAAUAGAUUUUCUUUCUAUUUUUAAAUUCUUCUAAUUAGUUGUAAUUUCCUAUUUUUGUUGUAAUCCCCUAAUUUUAGGAUUGUUUCCUAUCUUUGUGUUUUGGGCUAAUUCUAGGAUUGUUUCUUAUUUUUGUGUUUUGAGUAGAUUGUUUCUUAUUUUUGUUGGAAUAUGUGCCCAUAAACAAAUGAGAUGUUUUUUAUUUUGCUGAUUAUUAAUAUUUUUUAAGGAAUUAUUUCAAUAUUAUUGUUGCAUGCAUGUUAUAGAUGCUUUAUAAAUAUCGAAAACCCUAGAUUAUUUAAUUGAAACUUUAAAUAUUGUAUAUAAGUGUUAUAUACAAGAGGAUAAUAUUUAAAGUAAAAUAAUCUAAUAUGUUCGUAAUUAAAAAUUAAAGUUGGGAUCUUUAAUUUAAAAUUACUAGCGCGGUUCAUUACAUUCUGAAUGAAAUGAUCUUAUCCGGAUUGUUAAUAAUGAGAUUAUUGGAAUGAAAGCGCUUUAUAUAAUUUGAUUAUAUAGGACUGGAACACGAUUAAUUAUGAAUCUCUGAUAAAUUCCGUUAUAAUAUAGAGCAUUCAAUAUUAAUCAAUGAUGGUCAUAUAUGCAUUGAUCUUAAUUCUGAGUGAUUAAUAGACUCCUAUUUAUUCUAUUGUAUUUUUUGACAUACCGGGUAAUGACACAAAUACAUAGUGUCAAAUUCUUGGUGUAUUGGAAGUAUAAUAAAAUAAAUAGCCGGGAAUAUUAAUAUACAAGAUGAAAUCCAUUCCUUCGUUAAGAAGUCAGAUGGACAGUUCCCAUAAGUAUUGGUUCGGGCCUUGAAUGAUAAGAACGCUCAAUUUAUGAUUAGACCAUAAAUAUAUUAUUCAUUAGAGAACCAAUGGCACUUAAGGAGAAAGAUAUAAUUAAAGAGGUUAACGGAAAAACCUAGCUUUAAUUAUGAACCGUUUAUGGAGGAUUGACUCAUAUGUAGUGACUAUAUCAAUGGGCAAUUCAAAUCCUUUGAAUAUAUUUAAUUUUAUAAUUUUAAGAGUGCAAUUCCAAAUUUUUAGUGGAGUAAUUUUGGAAUUAAUAAUUUUGAUUUUUUAAUUAAGUUGUUAAUUAAUUGUCAAAAUUAUUGGAGCUUAAAAUUAUAAUGUCCAUAGUUCCUCUCAACGGCUCCAUUAAAAUUAUAUGAACAUUUUUUUAUGUUGGGUUGAUUUUAUUAGUUUGGAAUUUUAAAUUCUAAAUUAAUUUCACACAAUCUUGAUUUGAUUUAUUUAUUUUAUAAUUUGAUUAUUUAAAAUAUUUUUUGAUACAAUGUGGUGAAGACCACACUUACUUGUAUUCCCUAAGAAACACCUUUUGAGUGGGGAUCAUGGGGAGAGAUAUUCUCUCCCAUGUUUUUCAAAAUUCAAAGAAACACUUUUUAAGUGGGGAUCAUGGGGAGAGAUAUUCUCUCCCAUGUUUUUCAAAAUUCAAAACAUGUCAGUUAUUUUUUUUUUCUUCGUGGUAUUAAAAUUUUUUUUUUCUCAAUGUUUCUCGGAUGAUGGGAUGAGAAUACAAGUUUUCAAUAUAUAUUAAGUUGUGUGAGAAAAAAAAACAGAAGAAUGAAAAACGCCCACUCGUUUUGAGUUCAUCAUAAUUUGGAGAACGUUAGAGAAAGAUCCAUGGUGCUUUAGAGGAUUUGGAAUUCUAAGAUCCUUUUGGUGAAGUUCAAAUUUAUUAGCCUAAUCGCAAGGUACAAUUCUAAUUUACCUAUAUUUGUUAUUUCAUUAAAUUAAUACAAGUAUUGAUCAUUGAGAAAAAAUUUUGAGAAAAUUUUUUUGGUUUCCGUUUUUUUCUUUUAUUUAUCUGGUUUCAAAACCAACAAUUGGUAUCAGAGCAGGUUGAUACUCUGUAUUAAUUUAAUGAAUGAUUAUUUGAUAAUCUUUGCAUGGCUUUCGGUAGGCACUUUUGCAUAUUGAUGUUUGUUUAUUUUUAUGUUCAUGGUGAUGAAUGUUUGUGGGAAUGGAUUGGCCGUUUUUUUAUUGGUUCCAUGGAUUUUGUUAUUUUUGUAAUAAUUAUUUUAUUAGAUCUUUUGUAAAUAGGAUUCUUGCUGUAAUUCCUAUUUUAUAAGAUUUUUUGUAAAUAGGUUUACUGUUGUAAUUAUAAAUCGGUUUUGGGUUGAAUUUUAUUGAAUUUGAGAAAUUCAAUGGAGACAACCACAAUUCAAGGAAAUUUGAAUAUUAUUGAAUUUGAGAAAUUCAAUGGAGACAACCACAAUUCAAGGAAAUUUGAAUUUUAUUGAAUUUGAGAAAUUCAAUGGAGACCACCACUUUUCAAGGAGAAGAUGAAGAUGUAAAUUUACAGGAAGACCCAGUUUUAUUAUUUGUAUUUUUUUUAUUUGGGUUGUAUUUAACGUCCAUGGAACCCGACCAUUUCCAUUUUUAUAUUUAUAAAGUUGAUGAUUACUUUGUCCUGCAAGGGGUGGAGCCAGGGGAUUCAAACCCAUGAAGGAUGGGUAUUCCUUGCUAGUACCACCAGGCUAUGGCUUCUGGCUGGUUAUUUAUAUGAAGAAGGUUUAUUUCACGUUGCCCCUAAACUUUAUCCCUGGCUCCACCACAACCCUUGUUUUAGCAUGUCAUUUUAGUUAGAAAAGUGCCUACCUAUUUUUGCAUGUCAUGCAUUCAUGCGUUUAUUUUUAUUUUAUUUUAUAUAAUGUCACAGAUGACUUAAUUUAUAAUUUUAAAUUGUUUAAAAUAUAAAGGCUUAGUAAUUUAAAAUGUUUAAAUUGUCUAAGGUUUAUGAAACAAUAGUUGUUUUAUAAAUUAAAUACACCUUUUGCAAUAUAAUGAGUGGGAGCGGGUAAUAUUACAAUAUAAACCCUAGGUCUCCACCAUUAAUACAACACUGUGAGUUUUUAGUAGCGCUUAGAGACGCUUUGAUUUCGUCCUCCCUACGGAAAGUGUCUACUAAUUUCAAUAACAAGGUUGUCUUCCAUGAGAUAGGAUUUUAAGAUGUAUUUUAGAAUUGACCUACCCUACGACGGCAAUUUCUAAAUUAAAUCUUAAAAAUCUGAUAUGGUGGGUUACACUCAUAAAGAUAUAAUUAAAUUGGUUAAUUAUUUUCUUGACCGAACUUAAAGGAAAUUAAUAAGUAUUAGAAAUAUGAGAUAUUUUGGAUAAUAUUUAUUAAUUGAGAAAGUCUCAUUUUAAUUAGCAGCUUUUUGACCUACCCUACGGCGGCACUUAGUUGUGGUAAUUAAAAUUCCUUAGGCUGUUAAAGUAUAAUUUUUGGUGUAUUUUAUCAUGAGCAUUCUUGCUUCAUAUUUACUUUGCCUUUAAUUUUCUUAUGAUAUUUAUGCAAUUAUUUAUUGAAAAUAUUUCUUAUUUUUGUUCAGCAAAUAUGUCAAACCCAAUUUUCUCACUUCUCGCCUCUCAAGUUUUAACUGGUGAAAACUUUGUAAAAUGGAAGAGCAACAUGAACACUCUUCUCAUUAAUGAGAACUACCACUUUGUCCUUAAGGAGGAUUGUCCUCCAGUGCCUCCAGCUAAUGCCUCCAAGGCUGUCUCAGAAGAGUAUAAUCGUUGGAUUAUUGCAAAUAACAAGACCCGCUGCUACUUGUUAGCAGCAAUGAAUGAAGUGCUUAGAACUAAGCACGAGGGCCUUGAAACUGCAAGAGAGAUUAUGGAAUCUCUACAGCAGAUGUUUGGACGCCCCUCUGAGCAGGCCCGCCACGAAGCUGUGAAAGCUGUUAUGAACAGUAAAAUGAAGAAUGGUUCUUCAGUUCGUGAGCAUGUCCUUAAAAUGAUUCAUCACUUUAAUGAGGCUGAAAUCAAUGGAGCUAAAAUUGAUGAAAAGACCCAGGUUGGCAUGAUCUUAGAGACACUUUCACCCUCUUUCCUCCAAUUCAGGACAAACUACAUCAUGAACCAUAAGAAAUGUAAUUUGACAGAACUCCUGAAUGAGCUGCAAUCUUAUGAGACCCUUAUAGAUGAUAAGGGAGGCAAGGCAAAUAUUGUUGAGGCUAAUGCAGUUGUGGGAAAGGCUUCUUCUUCAAAGAAUAAGAAGAAGAGAAAUGUGAGAAAUCAAAAGGACAAGAAGAAGAUCCAAAAGAAGAAAGGGAAGGCUGUUGAGCCUAAACCUAAGGGGAAAUGUUUCCAUUGCAAUCAAGACAGCCAUUGGAAAAGGAACUGUAAGAAGUACCUUGAUGAGCUGAAACAAAAGAAGAAACAAGGUAAAUUAGAUUUAUUAGUAAUGGAAACAUGCUUAGUUGAGAAUGAUUUCUCAAGCUGGAUUAUUGAUUCAGGAGCAUCUAACCAUGUUUGUAUUUCUUUGAAGAUGCUUGAGUCAUCUAAGGAUCUUGAAGAGGGAGCUUUCAUGAUGAGAGUUGGCAGUGGGGCAAGAGUUUCAGCGACAGCAGUUGGGACAGUACGACUGUCAUUUGCUAAUAAUAAAUAUUUGUUAUUGCACAAUGUUUAUUUUAUUCCGGAUUUCAAAUGGAAUUUGAUUUCGGUUUCAAAGUUACAUGAACAAUUUAUUUCCGUUUCUUUUGAUAUUGACUCUGUUUCAAUCUAUAAGAAUGGAAUGAAUAUUUGUUCAGGUUAUGUUGAUAAUGGUAUAUAUUNNNNNNNNNNNNNNNNNNNNNNNNNNNNNNNNNNNNNNNNNNNNNNNNNNNNNNNNNNNNNNNNNNNNNNNNNNNNNNNNNNNNNNNNNNNNNNNNNNNNNNNNNNNNNNNNNNNNNNNNNNNNNNNNNNAAAUGGAAUAUUAUCACAGCUCACGGCACCUGGGACACCUCAGCAAAAUGGUGUAGCCGAAAGAAGAAAUCGCACUUUGCUUGACAUGAUGAGAUCAAUGAUGAGCUAUUCUUCUCUGCCAACCUCAUUUUGGGGAUAUGCAUUACAAACGGCAGUAUAUAUUCUGAACAUAGUUCCAUCUAAGUCAAUCCCUAACACUCCCCUAGAGUUAUGGAAUGGUCGCAAACCUAGUUUGAGACAUAUUCGCAUAUGGGGGUGCCCUGCGCACGUGUUAAAGGGAAAGACUGGGAAACUAGAACCUCGCUCUGAGGUAUGCAUGUUUGUAGGAUAUCCUAAAGGAACAAGAGGAGGUAUGUUUUAUAGCGCUCAGGAUAACAAAGUAUUUGUGUCAACAAAUGCUACGUUUCUCGAGUAUAACUAUAUGGCAGAUUUUAAACCUAGAAGUAAAGUAGUUCUAGAAGAGUUGCUAGCUGAUGAGAUCAGCCCCAUGCCAACAACAGUUGUUGAACGACAAAGAAAAGAAACCACUGCUCAAGAUCUAACACCACCGCCACCACGACGUAGUGGGAGGGAAAUAAGAUUGCCCAUUCGCUAUCGUGAAAAUGGAGAAGCACAAGUUGCAGUCACUGAUGGCAGUGAUGAUGAUCCAUUGACAUUCAAAAUGGCGAUGGAUGAUGUUGAUCGAGAGAAAUGGUAGGAAGCCAUGAAACUCGAAAUAGAGUCUAUGUACUCAAAUUCAGUCUGGGAACUUGUAGAUCUACCAGAAGGCAUUAAGCCUAUUGGUUGCAAAUGGAUCUAUAAGAGAAAAAGAAGACCUAAUGGGAAAGUAGAGACUUUCAAGGCAAGGCUGGUGGCAAAGGGUUUUACCCAAAAGGAAUGAGUAGACUAUGAUGAUACUUUUUCACCAGUUGCCAUGCUAAAAUCCAUUAGGAUUCUCUUGUCCAUUGCUGCUUAUUAUGAUUAUGAGAUAUGGCAAAUGGACGUCAAGACAGCAUUUUUGAAUGGCCAUCUUGAAGAGACUAUUUAUAUGGUCCAACCAGAGGGUUUCGUGGUCAAAGACCAAGAGUAGAAAGUGUGCAAACUACAAAGGUCCAUUUAUGGACUUAAGCAAGCUUCUAGAUCUUGGAAUAUCAGAUUUAACGAAGCCAUAAAGUCUUAUGGUUUUGAACAAAAUCUGGGUGAACCUUGUGUCUAUAAGCAAAUAGGAGGAGAUAAAGUGGUUUUCUUAGUUCUUUAUGUGGAUGACAUUCUACUCAUUGGAAAUGAUGUAGAAUCUCUAUCCAAGGUAAAGAACUAGCUAGCCAGCCAAUUCCAAAUGAAGGAUUUGGGAGAGGCAAGCUACAUUCUUGGUAUCCAAAUGACUAGGGAUCGUAAGAAUAGGCUUCUGGCAUUGUCUCAGGCAGCAUACAUUGACAAGGUGCUUGUCAAGUUUGCAAUGGAGAACUCUAAGAAAGGGAAUUUGCCUUCUCGACAUGAAGUCCAUCUCUCUAAAGAGCAGUGUCCAAAAACACCACAAGAUGAGGAGAAAAUGAGACGAGUUCCCUACGCAUUAGCAGUUGGUAGUUUGAUGUAUGCAAUGUUGUGUACAAGACCUGACAUAUGCUUUGCAGUGGGAGUGGUUAGUCGAUACCAGUCAAACCCAGGAUUAGAUCACUGGGUAGCAGUCAAGCAUAUACUUAAAUAUCUGAGAAGGACAAGAAACUAUAUGUUGGUAUACUCUGGUAGGGAAUUGAUUCCUAUCGGAUAUACAGAUUCUGAUUUCCAAUCAGAUAGAGACUCUCGGAAGUCUACUUCUGGGGCCGUUUUCACUUUGGGAGGUGGAGCCAUUAUAUGGAGGAGUGUCAAGCAAACUUGUGUUGCUGAUUCAACCAUGGAGGCUGAAUAUGUAGCGGCUUGUGAAGCAGCUAAAGAAGCAGUCUGGCUUCGCGAAUUCUUGAAAGAACUGGAAGUUGUUCCAAAUAUGCAUGAGCCAAUUAGACUCUAUUGUGAUAAUAGUGGAGCAGUGGCUAAUGCCAAAGAACCCAGGAACCAUCGCAAAGGAAAACACAUAGAACGGAAAUUCCACCUGGUAAGAGAGACUGUCAGUAGAGGAGAUGUUUCAGUUGAAAAGAUCGCAUCUGCGAACAACAUAGCUGAUCCAUUCACUAAGACUUUACCAGCUCAGACUUUUGAGCAACAUCUUGAAGGGAUGGGACUUAGAGACAUGUCACAUUUGCUUUAGGGCAAGUGGGAGAUUGUUGGAAUAUGUGCCCAUAAACAAAUGAGAUGUUUUUUAUUUUGCUGAUUAUUAAUAUUUUUUAAGGAAUUAUUUCAAUAUUAUUGUUGCAUGCAUGUUAUAGAUGCUUUAUAAAUAUCGAAAACCCUAGAUUAUUUAAUUGAAACUUUAAAUAUUGUAUAUAAGUGUUAUAUACAAGAGGAUAAUAUUUAAAAUAAAAUAAUCUAAUAUGUUCGUAAUUAAAAAUUAAAGUUGGAAUCUUUAAUUUAAAAUUACUAGCGCGGUUCAUUACAUUCUGAAUGAAAUGAUCUUAUCCGGAUUGUUAAUAAUGAGAUUAUUGGAAUGAAAGCGCUUUAUAUAAUUUGAUUAUAUAGGACUGGAACACGAUUAAUUAUGAAUCUCUGAUAAAUUCCGUUAUAAUAUAGAGCAUUCAAUAUUAAUCAAUGAUGGUCAUAUAUGCAUUGAUCUUAAUUCUGAGUGAUUAAUAGACUCCUAUUUAUUCUAUUGUAUUUUUUGACAUACCGGGUAAUGACACAAAUACAUAGUGUCAAAUUCUUGGUGUAUUGGAAGUAUAAUAAAAUAAAUAGCCGGGAAUAUUAAUAUACAAGAUGAAAUCCAUUCCUUCGUUAAGAAGUCAGAUGGACGGUUCCCAUAAGUAUUGGUUCGGGCCUUGAAUGAUAAGAGCGCUCAAUUUAUGAUUAGACCAUAAAUAUAUUAUUCAUUAGAGAACCAAUGGUACUUAAGGAGAAAGAUAUAAUUAAAGAGGUUAACGGAAAAACCUAGCUUUAAUUAUGAACCGUUUAUGGAGGACUGACUCAUAUGUAGUAACUAUAUCAAUGGGCAAUUCAAAUCCUUUGAAUAUAUUUAAUUUUAUAAUUUUAAGAGUGCAAUUCCAAAUUUUUAGUGGAGUAAUUUUGGAAUUAAUAAUUUUGAUUUUUUAAUUAAGUUGUUAAUUAAUUGUCAAAAUUAUUGGAAGCUUAAAAUUUAAAUGUCCAUAGUUCCUCUCAACGGCUCCAUUAAAAUUAUAUGAANNNNNNNNNNNNNNNNNNNNNNNNNNNNNNNNNNNNNNNNNNNNNNNNNNNNNNNNNNNNNNNNNNNNNNNNNNNNNNNNNNNNNNNNNNNNNNNNNNNNUAAAUAUAUUAUUCAUUAGAGAACCAAUGGCACUUAAGGAGAAAGAUAUAAUUAAAGAGGUUAACGGAAAAACCUAGCUUUAAUUAUGAACCGUUUAUGGAGGAUUGACUCAUAUGUAGUGACUAUAUCAAUGGGCAAUUCAAAUCCUUUGAAUAUAUUUAAUUUUAUAAUUUUAAGAGUGCAAUUCCAAAUUUUUAGUGGAGUAAUUUUGGAAUUAAUAAUUUUGAUUUUUUAAUUAAGUUGUUAAUUAAUUGUCAAAAUUAUUGGAGCUUAAAAUUAUAAUGUCCAUAGUUCCUCUCAACGGCUCCAUUAAAAUUAUAUGAACAUUUUUUUAUGUUGGGUUGAUUUUAUUAGUUUGGAAUUUUAAAUUCUAAAUUAAUUUCACACAAUCUUGAUUUGAUUUAUUUAUUUUAUAAUUUGAUUAUUUAAAAUAUUUUUUGAUACAAUGUGGUGAAGACCACACUUACUUGUAUUCCCUAAGAAACACCUUUUGAGUGGGGAUCAUGGGGAGAGAUAUUCUCUCCCAUGUUUUUCAAAAUUCAAAGAAACACUUUUUAAGUGGGGAUCAUGGGGAGAGAUAUUCUCUCCCAUGUUUUUCAAAAUUCAAAACAUGUCAGUUAUUUUUUUUUUUUUCGUGGUAUUAAAAAAUUUUUUUUUUCUCAAUGUUUCUCGGAUGAUGGGAUGAGAAUACAAGUUUUCAAUAUAUAUUAAGUUGUGUGAGAAAAAAAAACCGAAGAAUGAAAAACGCCCACUCGUUUUGAGUUCAUCAUAAUUUGGAGAACGUUAGAGAAAGAUCCAUGGUGCUUUAGAGGAUUUGGAAUUCUAAGAUCCUUUUGGUGAAGUUCAAAUUUAUCAGCCUAAUCGCAAGGUACAAUUCUAAUUUACCUAUAUUUGUUAUUUCAUUAAAUUAAUACAAGUAUUGAUCAUUGAGAAAAAAUUUUGAGAAAAUUUUUUUGGUUUCCGUUUUUUUCUUUUAUUUAUCUGGUUUCAAAACCAACAAUUUUUGUGUUUUAGGUUUUGUGUAUAUAUAUUCAUUCUUAAUCAAUAGAAAAUUCAAGCCAUUGUUUCUCAAUGAUCCUUUCUCUGCUUCAACAGUUUUCUCCCUGGAGCAUGACCUUAAUGGAACUAGCUAGAUUUUAUCUUGCAAGGGAACAACAGGUACUGGACUAGUGGCGUCCGGGAUGGGCAGGUUUUCAGCCUGCUUCCUGAAAUGCUUUUAGACAAUAUAUUGAAAUACAAUUAUUCCUUUAGUAAGGAUGAGAGCUAUUUCAAUUACUCUCUCUAUAAUUCUUCCAUUAUAAGCAGAGUGGUCCUGGAUGUGUCAGGGCAGAUUAAGCAAAUGACAUGGAUUGAAGACACUCAUCAAUGGAAAUUGUUUUGGUCUCAACCCAGAAGACAAUGUCAGGUUUAUGCUUACUGUGGGCCUUCUAGAAUCUGCAAUCUGGAUUCCUAUGAGUAUUGUGAAUAUUUGCCUGGCUUUGAACCUCGCUCCCCCGGAAACUGGGAAUUGCAAGACAGAUCUGGAGGGUAUGUGAGGAAAGCAGAUUUGCAGUGUGUCAAUGGAAGUCAUGGUGAUGGGGAGAGAGACCAGUUACUUUUGGUGUCUAAUGUAAGACUGCCCGAGUAUCCACUAACAUUGCAAGCAAGAGUGCCAUGGAUUGCGAGUCAGCCAGCCUGAAUAACUACUCUUGCUCUACUUAUGCUUAUGACAACGAGGAGUGUACAGUAUGGAGUGGAGAUCUUCUAAACCUGCAAUAGCUAUCAGAAUCUGACAGUAAUGCUGGAGAUUUCCAUCUCAAACUUGCUGACUCUGAGCAAAAUAGGAGAGGUAAGAAAAAGGGAAUGCUCAUACUAGUUGUUGUAGGACAUAAAGCAUAUAAAAUGGCUAUUGAUUUAGUUAAGUUAAAUGUCAUAUAUUUCCUUCUACAGUUUCAAGCAGCAAGUAGAAGCUAUGGCUCAUUGUUACACUAACCAUUUCUGUAACUUUAGCCUUUGUCACAUUUGGAAUAUGGAGAAGGCUCCAAAGAAAAGGUCAGUAUUUCUCAUGGAUAGAAGAUGACCAAGCAAUUCAAGGCUAUUUAGAUUCCAUCAACACAUACAAAACCAUUUCUUAUCUGAUAUGAAUUCAUUACCAUUGUUGUAGAAUAAUUAAGUUCAUAUUAGAGUUUCAAUCUCCUGAUUACAGUAUUGAAUUAGCUUAUUCCCAUGCCAGAAUUCCUACAUUCUUAUAGAAUUUAAUCUGUUGGUUCUUUACCAAGCAUGGGAAGAUUUGUUACUAUUUGAUUUCAGUGACAGCUCAGAAGAUACCAACCAUGAACUUAGUGAGGCAAAUAAAGGUUGGAGAGGAGAGAAGAAGGAAGUUGAUUUGCCAAUGUUUAGUUGUGCGAGUGUAUCUAUUGCUACCAAUAACUUCUCUAUUGAAAAUAAACUAGGAGAGGGAGGUUUUGGACCAGUUUAUAAGGUGAGCUUAGUAUGACUAACAGUAAUGCCUCUUAGAAAAGAAAUGUGAAAAUUUUUGCUACUGUUCUACAAUCCCUCAACCGUAAAUGCCCAUUAGGCAUACACAAAUUUUCUUUUACUUGGUGUGGUUGUUGUACUUAGUUGAAAUCCCCAUGACAUGGAAAGUCACAAAGAGGAUAUGAGGUAGCUGUGAAAAGACUUUCAAAAAGAUUUGGACAGGGUUGGGAGGAGUUAAAAAAUGAAUCCAUGCUUAUAGACAAGCUUCAACAUAAGAAUCAUGUUAGACUUUUGGGCUGCUGCAUUGAGCUAGAUGAGAAGAUACUGAUUUAUGAGUAUAUGCCCAAUAAAAGCUUAGAUUUCAUCCUUUUUGGUUUGUACUUCUCAACAUAUCUAAACUUUUGUUUAUCCUAAGCUCAAUAAAAAGCUUUUUUCAUUCAUUGUUGUUGGCCUUUUAUUUACUGACACCAGUUUGUAUUUAUUUGGUGUAAAAUUGGGAUAGAUCCUGCAUGACAUGGGAUUCUGGACUAGGAGACACGUCAUUCACAUAAUUGAAGGGGUUGCUAAGGGAUUUCUUGAUCUCCAUCAAUACUCCAGAUUGAGGAUUAUUCAUCAAGAUUUGAAGGUUAGCAACAUGUUUUUGGAUAUGGACAUGAACCCCAAAAUAUCAGAUUUUGGAAUGGCAAGAAUUUUUGGAGGGACUUGGUAAGUGAAUCCUUGCAAACUGUAAGAUACAUGGAUUCUCUCUCUCUCUCUCUCUCUCUCUCUCACACACACACACACACACACACACACACAUAUAUAUAUAUAUACAUUUUUGUCACAAGGCAGCUACUAAAUGAUUUGUUAUAAUAAUGAAAUUUAGUGGCUACAUGUCCCUUGAAUAUGCUUUGGAAGGCCUCUUUUCAACUAAAUCAGAUGUCUUUAGCUCCAGGGUUUUGUUACGGGAGAUUCUAAGAGGCAAAAAAAAAUACCAGAUUUUACCAGAGUGAUUCACUCAAUCUUCUUGGAUAUGUGAGUAACACAAUCUACAAUGUUCUAAUAUACUAAUUCUUGAUUUACUAGUCAGUAAUUUUUCACAUCUUGUUUACUAGUCAAUUUUAAGCUAAAGUUCUUUGCAUGCAAUAAAAAGGACCAUGCAUCUGUUUUUCUUUUUUGGAAAUUUGCAUCAAAAGAACAUUUUCUUUCCUUCAGGCAUGGGAUCUAUGGAAAAACAACAUAGGGCAGGACCUGAUGGAUCCAGUAUUGAAUUGGGAGGCACGGGUUCACAUCAUUCAAGGGAUGGCUCAGGGACUUCUUUAUCUCCAUUAAUACUCUAGAUUGAGAAUUAUUCAUCAAGAUUCGAAGACUAGCAACAUUCUUUUGGAUAAGAACAUGAACAAAACAUAUAGUUGGGACUUAGUAAGUGAAUCAUUAUUAUACUCAUUUUUAUGUGGAAUUUAAAGUUUUAAAAUUUUGUACAAAACAAUUUGCACUUAUAGCUUUUUAAAUAAGAAAACUAUUUUAUAUUUUUAAAAUAAAAUAAUGCAAUUGUGGCAUGUGAAGAAAUUUUUAUUUUUAUGGAUAAAUAUAUUUUACAAAUUUUAUAUCAAUUUCUUUUUUAUUUAUAUCUAUUUAUAUUUUUUUUCAAUGUUUUCAUAAUCGAAUUGGUCAUUGAAUUGAAAAAGUUACUGGUUCACGGUUCAUUGGUUGGAUUGGUGUCGAUCCGUGAUUGAAUCAGUGAUGUUAUAAAUAAGUAAUUUAUAUAUUAUUAAAAUUCAAAAUGUUAUAUAAAAUUUUUUAGAUAUAUAAAAAAAUAAAAAUCAAUAAUAUUUAUUUUUUCAUCUUUAAUAUUAUCAAAUUAACAUAUAUCAAUAAUAUAAUAUUAUCAAUAAAAAAAAUAUUAUCAAGUCCGAAUCGGUGCCUGGUCCACCAGGCUAGUGGUUUUGACCGCCUGUCCGUUGGGCUCAUGAGCGGUCGGCAUUCCGGCCUAAUUAGGCUACCUGGACUGGAUUAAGCUCCAGUUGAUGGUUGAACUGGCCAAUCCAAAACAUUGAUUUUUUUUUUUUAUCUCAAUAUUUGUAUCUUAUUUACUUCAUAUAAACUUGAAAUUAUUAAUUUAAAUAACAAUUAUCCAUUAUCCAUUUAAAACCAGUCAUCCUCACAUUUAUCUCUACACCCAAAUGCCCAUUUCCUAUUGAAAAGUGAAUAUCACAUUGGAUGCAUUGAAUUGUUGUUUCCCUACCACCACCCCUUUUAACUUCUCUUCACUUUGGCAUCACAAACUUAAGCAAUUUUUUUGGGAUGUUGAGAUGAGAUCAUGAGACAAGCGUUCAGAGGACGUGUUGAGAGUUUCUGAUAUCUUCCACGACAGCUAAGACCAUGAAUCUGAAGAGAAAGAACUGAAGAAGAGGGAGGAAAGUGAGAGUUGGUUACUCCCUUAAUUUUCAAAUUUAAAAUGGAUGAUGAAGUCUGAAGAUGUCAUAUUACACAUCCAAUGGGCCCAAUAAAUUCUUGGGUACCUACACAGACUGUUUCGUAGAAUUUUCCUAAAAGAUAUUUUGAAAGGGAGAUCGAUGGAAAGGAGACUUUUACUUACCAGUCGCCGGGCCGCCUCAGAUCCGCUACUGCCUGUUUUGGAUGGCUAUAAGAUUAUUGAUGGGCUGCGUAAACGCUUCUUAUGAGUUAUGGGUAGCAUGGAAUUUUCAACCAGAAGGUGUUCUGCUUAUCUUGUUUUCUUGCUUAUUUCUUCAGGUUUUCACUGGCAAUUUGCUGAUGCAUUUACAGAUACAAUCUUACAAGGUCAGUCAAUUACAACCUCUCAGACCAUCAUAUCUGCUGCUGGUAACUUUGAAUUAGGAUUCUUCAAGCCUGGAAACUCCACAAAUUAUUAUGUGGGGAUAUGGUACAAGAAAAUCUCAGACCAAGUCUCAGACAAAACCAUUGCCUGGGUGGCUAACCGAGAGUAUGCGUUCAAAAAUCCGUCUGUGGUCCUUACUGUCAGCACAGAUGGUAACCUCGAGAUUUUGGAAGGGAAGUUUGCCUACAAGGUGCAAGCAUAUCAUCAAAUAGAAACACAAGUGCCACCCUGUUGGAUUCUGGAAAUGUAGUUUUGAGAAAUGACAACUCAACUAUCUUAUGGCAGAGCUUUGACUAUCCAUCGCACGCUUUCUUGCCGGGGAUGAAAAUUGGAUAUGACAAAAGGGCUGGAAAAACAUGGUCAUUGACGUCAUGGAAGAGCACUGAAGAUCCCAGUCCAAGAGUUUUCUCCGUGGAGCAGGGCCCUAAUGGAACUAGCCAGAUUUUUAUCUUGCAAGGGCCAACAAGGUUCUGGACUAGUGGCAUAUGGGAUGGGCGUACUUUCAGCCUGGCUCCUGAGAUGCUCGAAGACUACAUAUUUAAUUACAGUUAUUACUCUAGUAAGGAUGAGAGCUAUUGGAGUUACUCUCUCUAUGAUUCUUCCAUUAUAAGCAGAUUGGUGCUGGAUGUGUCAGGGCAGAUUAAGCAAAGGAAAUGGCUUGAUUCCUCUCAUCAAUGGAAUUUGUUUUGGGCUCGACCAAGAACAAAAUGUGAGGUUUAUGCUUCCUGUGGGCCUUUUGGAAUCUGCCAUGAGAGUGCAGUCGAUGGAUUCUGUGAAUGUUUGCCAGGUUUUGAACCUGUCUCCCCUAAUAACUGGUACUCGGACGAAGGGUGUGAGGAAAGCAGAUUGCAGUGUGGCAAUACUACUCAUGCUAAUGGGGAGAGAGACCAGUUUCGCAAGGUGUCUAGUGUGACACUACCGAAUUAUCCACUAACACUCCCAGCGAGGAGUGCCCAGGAGUGCAAGUCAGCUUGCCUAAAUAACUGCUCUUGCUCUGCUUAUGCCUACGACAGAGAGACGUGUACAGUAUGGAGUGGAGAUCUUCUAAAUUUGCGACAGCCAUCCCAUUACAACAGUAGUGGUCAAGAUUUCUAUCUCAAACUUGCGGCCUCUGAGCUAAAUGGGAAAGGUAAUAAAAGUAGGGAAUGGUCAAACUUUUUUUGUGGAAGGACAGAGCAUAUGAUUUUCUUUUUCUUAAAUAUAAGAUGAAGUUCAUCAAAGAUUAGUUACAUUUAUUUCUUUUUGCAGUUUCAAGCAGCAAGUGGAAGGUGUGGCUAAUUGUUAUACUGGCCAUUUCCCUAACUUCAGCCUUUGUCAUUUGGGGGAUAUGGAGAAAGCUCCGAAGAAAAGGUCAGUAUUUUUCAUGGAUAGAAGAUGGCCAAGCAAUUCAAGGGUAUUUAGAUUCCAUCUACACAUACAAAACCAUUUGUUUUCUGCAAUGAGCUCAUUACCAUUGUUGUAGAAUAAUUAAGGCCAUAUUAGGAUUUCAAUCUCCUGAUUACAUGUGAGUGUGGACCUGCACUAUAGUGCGAUAAAAAUCAAUAAUGAAUCAAUUUAUUCCCAUGCCAGAAUUCCUACAUUCUUAUGAUACUUGACAGCUGUUUCGUCUUUAUCAAGCAGGGGAAAAUUUGUUACUAUUUGAUUUAAGUAACAGCUCAGAAGAUGCCAACUAUGAACUUAGUGAGGCAAAUAAACUUUGGAGAGGCGAGAACAAGGAAGUUGAUUUGCCAAUGUUCAGUUUUGUGAGUGUAUCUGCUGCUACUAAUAACUUCUCUAUUGAAAAUAAACUAGGAGAGGCGGUUUUGGACCUGUUUACAAGGUGAGAUUAGUAUCUGUGAAUUUUCUUGGUAUGUACAGAGUUUCUUUUACUUGGUGUCAUUGUACUAAGUUAAAAUUCCCAUGACAGGGAAAGUCACAAAAAGGAUACGAUGUAGCUGUGAAAAGGCUUUCAAAAAGAUCAGGAUAGGGAUGGGAGGAGUUAAAAGAAUGAAGCCAUGCUUAUAGCCAAGCUGCAACAUAAGAAUCUUGUGAAGUUGUUUGGUUGCUGCAUUGAGCAAGAUGAGAAGAUAUUGAUUUAUGAGUAUAUGCCCAACAAAAGCUUGGAUUUCUUCCUAUUUGGUUUGUAACUUCUACAUAUCUGAACUUCUUGCUACUGUGUAUUCAAUAAAAAACCAUUCAUUAUUAUUCACCACUUAUUUGCUAACAUGAGUUUGUAUUUAUUUGGUGUAAAAUGGAAAUAGAUCCUGCAAAACAUGGGAUUCUGAAUUGGAAGACAUGGGUUCACAUCAUUGAAGGGGUUGCUCAGGGUCUUCUUUAUCUGCAUCAAUACUCCAGAUUGAGGAUUAUUCAUCGAGAUUUGAAGGCUAGCAACAUUCUUCUAGAUAAGGACAUGAAUCCUAAGAUAUCAGAUUUUGGAAUGGUAAGAAUAUUUGGGAGCAACGAAUCAAAAGCAACAAAUCAUAUAGUUGGGACUUAGUAAGUGAAGCCUAACAAAUUCUAAAAUAUGUGAAUGUUCAUACAACUUUUUUUUUUUUUCUACACAUAUAUUUGAAAUCAUGCAGCUACUAAAUCGUUUUGUGAUUAAUAAUCAAAUUCAGUGGCUACAUGUCCCCUGAGUAUGCAUUGGAAGGCCUUUUUUCGACUAAAUCUGAUGUCUUUAGCUUCGGGGUCUUAUUACUAGAGAUUUUGAGUGGCAAGAAGAAUACUGAAUUUUACCAAAGUGACUCCCUCAAUCUUCUCGGAUAUGUGAGUAACACAAUAUUUCCUCACAUAACUAUUUAUGAUGUUUUGAUAUGCUAAUUCUUUGUUUUCAAUUCCCCUGUUAUAUUACCUAUUUGGUUGUCUUGGGCUAGUAAAUUUUCACAUUAUGUUUACCACUCAGUUUCAAAGCUUAUUUCAUAUCAUUGGCUACUAUAAAAAGGACUUUAUUAUCUUUUACUUUUUGGGAAUUUGCAUCAAUGGAUAAUUUUCUUUCUUUUAGGCAUGGGAUCUGUGGAAAGACAACAGGGGACAGGAGUUGAUGGAUCCAGUGUUGGAAGAGACAUUGCCAACACACAUUCUGUUGAAGUACAUCAAUAUAGGCCUUCUUUGUGUUCAAGAAAGUGCAGAUGACAGGCUUACCAUGUCUGAUGUUGUCUCAAUGCUUGGCAAUGAAAGUGUACGUUUACCCUCUCCAAAACAACCGGCAUUUUCAAAUCUGAGAAGUGGGGUGGCACCACAUAUAUUUCAAAACAGGCCUGAAAUUUGUUCCUUAAAUGGUGUGACACUUUCGAUUAUGGAAGCACGAUAAUGGUUCAGAACUUAAUAAAUAAUAUGCUUAAAUUUCAGCAUAUUGUCUUGCGUUGUUUUUGUGAAUUCAUAGCUCAUGUAUUGAAAUGGACAUGUGAUCUAUGUGUUAAUUUUUCUUCCAAAACAGUUCAAUAAUCAUUCAGACCUGUGUCUAAUAUUUUUAUCUGAAACUGUUAUGAAGUCUGAUUUUAUCCAGUUGAAUUUGGAUUUAAUUUGAUUAUGAUCUGUACCCUCAUCAAUCCAAGGAGUGAAGGACAAUUUUCAGAGCUCAAAAACCAACAAAUGGCGCAUUUAGGGCCAAUCCAUCUAUAGAGAGUCAACUAUCCACCUUCCACUUAUUCUCUUAUAUGUGUUUCCGAAUGCCCUGGCAUAUGUAUAUCUUGCACAGAUUCAAUUCUGUACUACUGUAUAUUUACUAUGAGACUGACUAAGUUCUACUGUUUUGAGAAUAGUGCAGUGUAUAUAUCUUGCCAAGAAUAUUCUAUGGAGCAUAAUUCCUUUGUGAAAUCAGAUGUUUCCAGCUAAGGAGUUGAUUGUGAAUCCUGUGACAAGAGGAACUCGAAAUAUUACCUCUCACUGAGAAUCCUGUGAAUUGAAACCUCCUUAACACCUACCAUAUGAAAAUGAAUGAUUUUUCUUUUCUUUUUUUCUGUAAUUUUAUGUAUUAGCAUGGUAAGUGAAUUCAGUUUUCACUGGGCAUCUGAAAGAAGAUAAUUUGAAACAGUUUUUGGUAUGGGGAAUGGGGUAUGAGGACAAGAUGCUGUAAUUGAUGGAUAUGUCAGUGGGGAAAGAAAUUAUCAGAACCCAGGUGUAGGUAUUAACUUAGCUAUAAUGGGGGAAGGGAGUGAACAGAAGCAGGGUUAGCUUCAAUUUCAGAUUCAUAUCAUACAGUGCUUCAUUCAACUAGUAAUAGCGAAGACAAUUCAGCUACUCAGCAUAGGAGGGAGGAAUUAGUUAAGCAGUUGUAGAUUUUUCGCCUUCCAAAUCCAAAGUGAUCAGACAAUUUUCCAGAAAAAAAAAAAGUGGUAUAACGUUCCCUGUGACUUAUAACACUUCCCAUUUGUUUGGACAUAGUUUGAAUAAAACCCCUUUGGUUGCCAAGAAAACCAAGGAAAAUGCAAAAGAGAAAUAACUUGAAGUCUACAAUUUCUGUAGUUUAUGAUGGAAAGCUCAAGUUCAAGCUCAAGUAAGGCUAAACGAGCCCAUUGACCCUCUCUCAUCUCUACAACAUAGACUUCAAAAGCAAAAUGGGUAAAAUAAUGGUCAUUUAAGGGGCCCUGCGCUUGGCUUGGGAAUCAGUUUCAUUGAAUAUUUUAGGAGAGAUAACAUAUAGCAAGUCAAAAAGUAGAUAAGUACAAACUAAUUUUGCCGUCCAGCAUAGAAAAUCUAAUCCCAGUGGGGCCUUAAGUACAUGAAUUUAGUGUUCUUUCCAUCAUUCUUCUCAUUCUGGUCAUGGUCUAGAUUGAAGAAAGGUCCGAUACAAAUUGGAAAAGUCAUAGAAGGAAAUAUAUCUAGAAGGGAAUCCUAACAAAAGGUCUUUCAAAACUGCUACACCUUGCUUUGCAUCGUAGUUGGUCUCUGCAUUGAAUGAGUCUUUUUUUUUCCUAUGUCCCCUGGAGACAGAAAAUCUGAAAACAUUUCUAAAUGGUUUUCCAAAAUACAGUGCAUGGGAGGUUCCAGGACUUUGAGGGAAAGGAAAGCAGCAGAACCAGCUGGGGAAAAUCAGGUAUCUGAUUUCUUCUAUUAAUUCAUCAGCAUGAAAAGGAUCAUUUCCUGCCACUCUAAUGUUGUUUAAUCUAUUCAACCACGGAAAUUAGGGAAGACUUUGACGAAAAUGAUGCGCGGUCAAGUUCUGCUACCUGCUACAUUGAAUUAUGCUUAUCUAGGGAAGAUGCAUUGAAGUCUUAGAGCAUUUGAGAUUUUUUUUUUCUUUUUUUCUCUUAAGACACAAUUAAUUGUCCAUAAAUUAAUAGCUUGGGAACAAGGAAAAUCAAUUAAUUAAGUGAAUAUUAAUUGCUUAUUAAUUAAUAAAUCAUUAAUUUAUCAAGAUAGUUCUUAUUUUUUCAAAAUAUUGUAUUCAAUAUUAUUUAUUAUAAUUGUUAGGAAGUGUCCCAAUUUCCUAAUUAGUAUAAAUUUAUUUUUUGUAAAGAAUAUUAUAUGAAUGUUUUUAGGUUAAUAUAUUAUUGUAAUAUUAGAUUUUCUUAUAGGGUAAGGAAGGUUGUUGGAAAUAUCUUUGUACAUAUUCUAGGUCAUGAGGAGAAAAAGUUAUGAGAUGGAAAUGACCAUGUAAAGAUUAUACGGGGUAAAUAGAGAUGUGAGAAAGAACGGGAGGUACUCGGUGGAGCGAGAUGACUUGUGGUAGGGUAGGGAUACGAAGAGUAGGAAAACAGGAGAUGUUUUAAGAACCCAAUAAUUGUAUCUGGUUAUGUCCUCUAUAAUGUUUUGGUUCUAUCCUUUGUAAUGUUCUCUAUUGUAUAAUGAAAUGAUUCUCUCUCAUCUGUGGACGCAGACAUGGUUGGUCGGAUGUGAUGAGGGAGCAGCAACACCACUCUUCAUCUCUGAACUAGACUGUGAUGUAGACUUUGGUAUGGAUCUUGACCCCAACUCAACCUCCACCUGUGUGCUUGAUUUUUAUUGCUCUUUAUCACAAGAAUAUCUAAAAGAUGAGUCAUGAAGCAUAGUAGUUUCAUAAAAAAUAACAUCUCUAUUGACCAUGACUUUCUUGGUUUUUAAACACCAUAACUUAUAUCCUUUAACACUAGACUUAUAGCCAAGGAAGACACAUUUUAUAGACCUAGGUUCUAGCUUUCCAUUAUCAACAUGAGUAUAGGCAGGACAUCUAAAUACCUUCAAAUCAGGGUAACUAGCAGGAGUACCAGACCAUACCUCUUGUGGAGUUCUUUUGUUAGUAGUAGUUGAGGGAUAACGAUGAAUGAGGAAACAAGAUGUAGCUUUAGUCCAAAAAGACUUAGGUAAACCAACAAUGGAAAGCAUAUAAUGUACUUUCUCCAUCAAAGUCCUAUUCAUUUGCUUUGCCACACCGUUUUGCUGUGGGGUAUGACGAACUGUAUGAUGCCUCGCGAUUUCUUCUGACUUGCAUAGAACAUUAAAUUCAUAAGAACAAAACUCCAAGCCAUUAUCAGUGCGAAGACGUUUUACCUGCUUCCAUGUCUGCUUCUCAAUCAUAAUUGUCCACUCCUUGAAUGUAGCUAACAUAUCACUCUUUUUCUUCAAGAAGAACACCCAAACUUUUCUGGAAAAAAUCAUCAAUGAUAGUUAACAUAUAACUAACACAUCCCUUAGAAGGCACCCUAGAUGGUCCCCGAAGAUUAGAAUGUAUAUAAUUGAGUGUCCUCUUUGUGUUGUGAAUGCCUUUUGUGAAUUUGACUCUUCUCUGCUUCCCAAAAACGCAGUGCUCAUAGAACUUUAGUUUUCUAAUACUCUAACCAUUAAGAAGUCCUCUUUUGCUCAAUUCAAUCAUCCCAUUCUCACUCAUAUGCCUAAGGCGCAUAUGCCAAAGUCUAGUAACAUCACCAUCUAAUAAGGAAGAAGUAGCAACAACUACAUCACUUAUAACUGUGGAUCCCUACAAGACAUAUAAUUUGGUAGAUCUUUUCUGCCAUUUCAUCACAACAAGAACACAUUUACUAACCUUUAAGACUCCACCUUCACCAGUAUACUUGUACCCUUUUGAAUCAAGAGUACUCAAUGAGAUAAAGUUCCUCUUUAGAUUUGGAAUGUGUCUCAUAUCACCAAACAUAGAUGGACAUUCAAGAAUAAAGAUUAGAAUUAGAUUUGAACCCAAACAUCAUUUAAAUCAGAGAUUGUAUAGGUCAUUAUAGAAGAUUAUUAUUAAAUUUGGCCCGAAAAAUAAAUCUUUUACAUUUUACUCCCUACUAUAAGUGACCUACCACCAGCCUAAAAAGAAGAAAUGUGGGCCUAAUGAGGGUUUUUUUUUUUUUUUUGAUAUUUUCCAUUUAUAUAACUAACUUGAACAAUGGUGUACCCUUAAAAGUAGAAAAGAUCCAUGUAGUAUUCUUCGGUUUAUUAUGGUUAUGUUUGGUUAUGAGAAAAUUUAAAGGAAAAUGUGAAGAAAAGAAAAUAAAAAAGAAAAAUAAAAAGAAAGAAAAUUAAAAAUGGGUUUAAAUUCAAUGAAUUAUUUUUAUAUGCUUCUCCAAACUCAUUUCACUUUUUUUUUUCAUUAUAAUAAGAUUAAAUAAUUUAAAAAUAUAUAAAAUUUUAACUAAUUUUAUUUUAUUUUGUAUUUUUUCAUAAUGAAACUAAAUAUAAGAAAACUAUUUUUCUUAACUUUUUUUUUCUUAAUAUUUUCCAAGAGACUAAAUAUAGCCUAGAUGUAUCUAGUAGAAAGAUCCAACAUGGGGUUGGAAAAAAAUCAUAGAAGAAGAUAUAUCUUGAAGGGGAGAUCAAAGGAUAUUAAAUGGGACUAUGACCCACACCUGAGAUUUAUGGGCUGCUUAAUGGAACAAACCAGAUUUUUAUCCACCAUAUUGAAUAUUGAAUAUGGUAUUCUUCCAAUUAUUAAAUGUAUUCAGCGAAAAGGUCCAAUUGUUAGUAAAAGAAGAACAGGUCAAACUAUCGUACUAGGGUGCUAUGAGUGAGAUUGUGAUUACAUCAACUUUUAAUUAUUUAGAAUAUUGUCCAUUAUAUAUUUUAAUUUUUUAUAAUAUUAAUUUAUUUUAUUGAUUAAGAAUUAUAAUUUAAUGUAUACUUAACAUUAAAAUCUUAUAUAGUUCCAAUUUCAUACAAGUAACUAAAUUUUUUAUAUUGAUCUCAUCUCUGCACCCAAAUGCCCAUUUCCUCUUGAAGAUUAAAAAUUAAAAAUAAAAAUUAAUCCAUCUAACAACCAAGUUAAAAUGUAUUUAUAUAUCAUAAAAAAAAAAAAUCAUCACCGAAUAAACCAAUAACCAUAAAAAUAAAAAUGGAAAAUCAUCUAUAAAUAAAUCAAAACAAAAUAUAAAAAGAAAAUAAUAUUUUCAUGGUUGAUUAACCCUAUGAGUUGGAUGAUAAAAGCGUUAAUAUCGAGUUGGAGGCAAAACCAAUAACCAUCGGAAGAUAUUCUUCGAUUGCUACCACACGGUGCUGUAGAAUUUUCCAAAAGGGAGGCCAGUGUAAAGGAGACGUGCAAGAUGUUCUUCUAUUGCUUCCACACAGUGGUGUCGAAUUUUCCUAGAAGAUAUAUUGAAAGGGAGAUCAGUGGAAAGGAGACUUUGACUCACCGGUCGUUGGGCCUCAGGUCCGCCACUGCCUGUUUUGGAUGACUAUAAAACUAUUGAUGGGCUGCUUAAACGCUGCUUAUGAGUUAUGGUUAACAUGAAAAUUUCAACCAGAAGGUGGUCUGCUAAUCUUGUUUUCUUGCUUAUUUCUUCAGGUUUUCACUGGCAAUUUGUUGAUGCAUUUACAGAUACAAUCUUACAAGGUCAAUCAAUCACAACCUCUCAGACCAUCAUCUCUGCUGGAGGUAACUUUGAAUUAGGAUUCUUUUCUCCUGGAAAGUCCACAAAAUACUAUGUGGGGAUAUGGUACAAGAAAAUCUUAGAGCAAACCAUUGUGUGGGUAGCUAACCGAGACUAUUCAUUCACAAAUCCGUCCGUGAUUCUCACUGUCAGCACAGAUGGCAACCUCGAGAUUUUGGAGGGGAAGUUUUCGUACAAGGUGACAAGCAUAUCAUCAAACAGCAACACUAGUGCCACCCUGUUGGAUUCUGGAAAUCUUGUUUUGAGGAAUGGCAACUCAGAUAUCUUAUGGGAGAGCUUUGACUAUCCAACGGACACACUCCUGCCCGGAAUGAAAAUCGGACAUGACAAAAGGUCUGGAAAAACAUGGUCAUUGGUGUCAUGGAAGAGCGCAGAAGAUCCCGGUCCAGGAGAUUUCUCCGUGCAGGUCGACCCUAAUGGAACUAGACAGAUUUUUAGCCUGCAAGGACCCAACAGGUAUUGGACUACUGGGGUGUGGGAUGGGCAGAUUUUCAGCCAGAUUCCUGAGUUGCGUUUCUACUACUUUUAUAAGUACAAUACAUCCUUUAAUGAGAAUGAAAGCUAUUUCACUUACUCUUUUCAUGAUCCCUCCAUUCUGAGCAGAGUGGUGGUAGAUGUGUCAGGCCAGGUUAGGAAACUGAAAUGGCAUGAAGGCACACAUGAAUGGCAUUUAUUUUGGCUUCAACCAAAAAUACAGUGUGAGAUUUAUGCUUACUGUGGGCCUUUUGGAACCUGCACUCGGGAUUCUGUUGAAUUUUGUGAAUGCUUACCAGGUUUUGAACCUCGCUUCCCUGAAGACUGGAAUCUGCAAGACAGAUCUGGAGGGUGUGUGAGGAAAGAAGAUUUGCAGUGUGUCAAUGAAAGCCAUGCUAAUGGGGAGCGAGACCAGUUUCUUUUGGUGUCUAACGUGAGACUGCCCAAGUAUCCAGUAACACUGCAAGCAAGGACUGCUAUGGAGUGCGAAUCAAUUUGCCUGAAUCGCUGCUCUUGCUCUGCUUAUGCUUACGAGGGAGAGUGUAGAAUAUGGGGUGGAGAUCUUGUAAACGUGGAGCAGCUACCAGAUGGUGACAGUAAUGCUAGAAGUUUCUACAUCAAACUUGCUGCCUCUGAGCUAAAUAAGAGAGGUAAGAAAAAAGAGUCAUAGUUGUUAUUGUAGGAGGACAUAGAGCAUAUGGGUCUUGUUUUAUUUUCAAUAUAAAAUGGCCAUGGAUUCAGCUAAAUUUAAUAUGAUAUAUUUCCUUCUACAGUUUCAACCAGCAAGUGGAAGGUAUGGUUAAUUGUCACACUGGCCAUAUCUUUAACUUCAGUAUUUGUCAAUUAUGGGAUAUGGCGAAGGUUCCGAAGAAAAGGUCAGUAUUUCUCAUGGACAGAAGGAUGGCCAAGCAGUUCAACAGUUUUUAGGUUCCAUCUGCAAAUACAAAGCCAGUUCUUUUUUUAAAAUGAGUUCAUUACCACUGUUAUUGAAUAAUUAAGGUAACAUUAGGAUUUCAUGUUCUGAUUACAUGUGAGUGUGUAUGUGGAAUCCAAUGUGAGAAAUAAUUUAUUCCCAUGCCGGAAUUCCUACAUUCUUAUGAUAUUUAAUGUCUGUUUGUUCUUUACCAAGCAGGGGAAGAUUUGUUAGUAUUUGAUUUCGGUAACAGCUCAGAAGAUACCAACUGCUAUGAGCUUGGCGAGACAAAUAGACUUUGGAGGGACGAGAAGAAGGAAGUUGAUUUGCCCAUGUUCAGUUUUGCGAGUGUAUCUGCUUCUACAAAUAACUUCUGUAUUGAAAAUAAACUAGGAGAGGGCGGUUUUGGAUCUGUUUACAAGGUGAGAUUAUAACCCCUGACAAUAAUGUUCUACAAUUUGUCCUGGAAUGUAAAGGCCUACUUGAUAUAUACCAAAUUUCUUUUACUUGGUGUAAUUGUAGUCUGUUGAAAUUCCCAUGACAGGGAAAGUCACAAAGAGGAUAUGAGGUAGCUGUGAAAAGGCUCUCAAAAAGAUCUAAACAGGGAUGGGAGGAGUUAAAAAAUGAAGCCAUGCUUAUAGCCAAGUUGCAACACAAGAAUCUUGUGAAAGUUUUGGGAUACUGCAUCGAGCGGGAUGAGAAGAUAUUGAUUUAUGAGUAUAUGUCCAACAAAAGCUUGGAUUUCUUCCUCUUUGGUUUGUAACUUCCACAUACAUAUGCUUCCAGCUACUGUAUAUUCAAUGAGAACUUUAUACAUUCAUCAUUCUUCACCACUUACUUGCUAACAUCUAUUUUUUUGGUGUAAAAUGGAAAUAGAUCCUGCAAAACGCGGGAUUCUGAAUUGGGAGACGCGAGUUCACAUCAUUGAAGGGGUUGCUCAGGGACUUCUUUAUCUCCAUCAGUACUCCAGAUUGAGAGUUAUUCAUCGAGAUUUGAAGGCUAGCAACAUUCUUCUGGAUAAAGACAUGAACCCUAAAAUAUCAGAUUUUGGAAUGGCAAGAAUUUUUGGAGGAAAUGAAUCAAAAGCAACAAAACAUAUAGUUGGGACUUAGUAAGUGAAUCCUAACGCAUUGUAAAAUAUGUGGACUGUCUCAUAACAUGCUUUUUUUCUACAUAUAUAUUUGUAAUCAUGCAAUUACUAAAUGAAUUGUUUUAAUAAUGAAUCCAGUGGCUACAUGUCCCCCGAGUAUGUUUUGCGAGGUCUCUUUUCAACUAAAUCUGAUGUUUUUAGCUUCGGGGUCUUGUUAUUAGAGAUUCUAAGUGGCAAGAAGAUUACUGAAUUUUAUCAUAGUGACUCGCUCAAUCUUCUUGGAUAUGUAAGUAACACAAAUUUCCUCUUAUGUAGCUAAAGUUAUCAUGUUUACUACUAUAUUUCAAGCUUUAAGUUACAUACUUGAAUGCAAUUGACCGAAUUAGGACUAUAUAUCUUUUUUUCUUUUUUCGGGAAUGUGCAUCAAAGUAUAAUUUUCUUUCCUUUAGGCAUGGGAUCUGUGGAAAAGCAACAGAGGACAAGAGUUGAUUGAUCCAGUAUUGAAUGAGAUAUCUUUGAGACAUAUUCUGUUAAGGUACAUCAAUGUAGCCCUUCUUUGUGUUCAAGAAAGUGCAGAUGAUAGGCCCACCAUGUCCGAUGUUGUCUCCAUGCUUGUCAAGGAAAAUGUACUUUUAUCUUCUCCAAAUGAGCCGGCCUUCUUAAAUCUAUCGAGUAUGAAACCACAUGCAUCUCAAGAUAGGCUUGAAAUUUGUUCCUUAAAUGAUGUAACACUUUCAAGCAUGGGAGCACGAUAAGUGUUCUAAAUUUCAGAUUGCAUAUGCUUAAAUGUCUUCAGCAUAUUGUCUAGUAUUAUUAUUGGCCAUCAAGUGGAUUGUUGAUGUACUGAACGUGUGAACUUUUGUAUGUAUUUUUCUUUCAAUGCAGUUCAAUAAUGUGCUUAAUUUUACUCAAUCCUCAAGGAUUCAGACCUGUAUCUCAUCUUCCCAUCUGUAAUUGCUACUGAAUCUGCUUUUAUGCAUUGCCAAUCCAGACACUAAAAUACAACCCUCAGAGCUUACUGCAAAUGUUCAACUAGUGCUAGGAAAGACGAGCUUUUGCGCAUGCUACAGCUAAGCAUAAGUACUAAUUAACAUAUAGGCAAGAGGGAAAGUGAGGAAGGAAAGCAGCUAUAGAUUUUUUUGCCUUUUAAACUGUGAUAGCAUCUAGCAUUUUUUUUAAGAGAAGAAAUAGUAUAAUUUAAUUGAGUACUCGUAAAACCUUCUUUUCUUAUUGGACAUGGUUUCAAUAAAACCCAUUUGGUUGCCAAGAAAUCUGAGGAAAUUCAGGAUGUGGAUGGGGAAUUUGAAGUCUACCUUCGUCCCUAUAGCUUAAAAUGAAAAGGCAUAGUUACAAACUAAGCUUACAUUCUGGCAGAAACGUAUAUAUUCCCUAUUGGGGCUUGCAGUAGGAGAUUGACCUGGAAGCCAACCAGAAAAGACAUGCAUCUAUGAUUAAAAGGAGCUCAUGCUCACAAGAAACUUUCUCUCUAUCCAAUGUGGGAUAUGACACCCUGAAGUAUGAAUAUCACUACUUACUAUUGCUAGCUAUGGACAAGGAAAAAAAAACAAGAGAAGGAAAAAAAACGAAAGGAGGAAUAAGCAAAAUGAUGUCCAAGGAUUCAAAAUUGUUUACAGUAAUUGGCCAGAAGCUAGAUCAAUUUCAUGAAAAUAUUUAAUUCCCCAAAAUUAAGAGUAAGUUUUUCCCAACAAAAUUGUUAUUUUUUUAAUUCCCUUAAUCCUAUGGGUUCAAGAACAAGCCGAGUCCAGUACGACUCGGCCGAGUCGGAUAGACUCAUACUCAAUCAGGAAUCGCUUAAACUCGGUUAACUCAACGGAGAUUCCGAGUUGACUCGGUUGAACCGUUCGUGUUAACAAAAGAAAUCGUUUUUUCACUUUCGAAUCUCAGCAGAGGAACAACAAACGAGAUGUAAACCUAAAAAACCUCUGAAAAAUCAAAGAUUGUCUUCAAAAGGAAAAGUUUCUCAACAACCAUGAUGAAGAGGAAGAAAGACAUCAGUCUAACCCAUGACUGAGUCUUGGAGGUGCACAAGAAGAAGAGGUUGAGGUAUUACUAACUUCAGAACAAUCAUGGAUGUGGAGCGCCUUCGAUGGUCCCGGUGUGGUAACUGGUGUGAUGAGAAGAUUCCCUCCAUUGACGUGAGCGGCCAUCGCUGCAUCUGGUCUCUCCUCUCUCUAAUUUUGGUCUCAGUUCUCGCCUGCUUCUGUCUGCCUCCCUCCCUCCCUCUCUCUCUCUCUCUCUCCCUGGUACGGGUGAGUUAGUGAUUUGAAGAAAGGGUGGCAAUCGGUGCCAGAAAAUUGGGGAUUUGAAGACAGGGUGGUCAAUGUUUUAAUAUCAAAAUUAUUUAUAAUUGUAUAUGUUAAUAUUAGGUAAUAUAGUAUCAAAUUUUAUAGUCUUUGUUUUUUUUUAUGAUAAUAAUUUAUUAUUUUAUAUAUUAAUGGUGUGAUAUAAAUUAUAUUAGCUUAAGUAAAGUAUUAUUUUAUAUGGCAAUGAUAGCAUAUUUGAUGUAUUAAUUUAUUAUUAACAAUAUAUUCAAGUCAUUUACUAUAUUAUUAUAUUAACAUAUUAAAAUCAUUUAAUUAAUAAUAUAUACUUUGUUUAAUAAAUAUAAUUUUAUAUUAUAUUUAAACAUAAAGUGUUGUAAUCAUUUAAUCAAAAAUAAAAAUAAAAUUAAUGAUUGAAUUAUAUGUCUUUUAGUAAAAAUAUCAUUAUAGUUGAAAUAAAAUAAUUUUCAAUUCUUAACAUUAUCAUAAAUUGUUUUUGUGGAGACUUUAUAACUAUUUAAAUAAUAUUAAAUAUGAGAAAAUUUUAUUUUAUAAUUUUUUAGCUUAUUUAAUUAUAUUUGUUUUUCUAAAAAAUUUCAAAAUAUUUUUGUAAUUUUAAAAUUUUUUAGUUAUCUUAUUUUGCAUACUGCUCUAUACCAAGUCGAGAUGUUGAGACCGUUAUGCCUUGGGACCCUCCAAAUUAAUGAUUGAUAUCGUCACUUCAAUUAUAUGAAUAUAAAAAAUAAAUAUGUAAAGAAAUACCAUAAGACAUAAUAAUAGUAUUUUAAAAUAUUUUUAGCAUAUUGAUAUAUAUAUAUAUAAUUAUUUAAUAGUUAUUAAUUAUAUUUAAUGGUUUAAAAUAUUUUUUAGUUUUUAAUUACUAUAUUUUAUGUAUCAAUCAAUAUCGCACUGACAUCUUAGAUUUAAAUAACGAAAAUAGUAUCAAUUUUUGAAAAAAAAAAAAAAAAAAAAGGAAAUGGUCUUUUAAGGUUAAAGUAUGAAUCUUUAGGUUUAGAUGUUCCCAAACCUUCAAUUCUAAGUGUUGAAGACGACUUCGAAGUUGUUGGAAGUCUUGUAAAUCUACGAUUUUCUAUCUGAUGAUUUAAACCUUGAUCUUAAUGCACUUUUAGUGGAGAUCGAUGGAAGAAAGGGUGGAAACUAUGAGUCUUUCUCUUUGAAGGUGGAAGAUGACUUUCUAGAAAAAGUUAUGGAAACUUUAACCCCAAGAUCGAUGUACCUUAAGACCUUUCAAGUCAAUGACCCAUAACAUAACUUUCAACCAUAAGAUGGACACUAAAAAAAAAAGAAUUAGAGUUGGAUUUGAACACAAACCUCUUUCAAAGAAGAUAAUGUACCUAUCAUUAUGGAAAAUUAUUAUUAAAUUUGGGUGGCAAAAUAUAUCUCUUAUAUUUUAACCCCUUCCAUAAGUGACUUUGCGUAGCCGUAAAAAGAAGAACUAUAGAAAAGAUGCCUUAGGUAUCUGCCGAUUAUUAACUAUAUCUAGUAAAAGAUCUUACACGGUGUUUGAAAAACUAUAGAAGAAGAUAAAUCUUGAAGGGGAGAUCAGUGGAAAUGGAUCUAUGACUCGCCACUCCAUGAUUUAUGGGCUGCUUAAACUUUGAUGAUGGGUUAUGGGUAGCAUGAAAAUUUCAGCCAGAGGGUGGUCUAUCAAUCUUGCUUGUUUCUUCAUGUUUUCACUUGGAAUUUGCUGAUGCAUUUAUAGAUACAAUCUUACAAGGUUAGUCAAUCACAACUUGUCAGACCAUUGUAUCUAUUGGUGGUGACUUUGAAUUAGGAUUCUUUUCUCCUGGAAACUCCACAAAAUAUUAUGUGGGGAUAUGGUACAAGAAAGUGUUAGAGCAAACCAUUAUGUGGGUAGCUAACCGAGGUUAUUCAUUCACAAAUCUGUAUGUGGUUCUUACUGUCAUUCCAGAUGGUAACCUCGAGAUUUGGGAAAGGAAAAUUUCAUACAAGGUGACGAACGUAUCGUCAAAUAGAAACACCAGUGCCACCCUGUUAGAUUCAAGAAAUUUUGUUUUGAGAAAUGAGAAGUUGGAUAUCUUAUGGUAGAGCUUUGACUAUCUAUUGGACAUGAUCUUGCCUAGAAUGAACAUUGGAUAUGACAGAAGGCUGGAAAAACAUGGUCAUUGGUGUCAUGGAAGAGCACAGAAGAUCCUAGUCCAGGAGUUUUUAUUAGAGAAUUCAUUACAAUAGAUUUUCUUGUUAGCUUUUUUCCUAUAAUGUGUGGCCAUAUACAAUUAUAUUUGUAUGAAUAUUAUUUAAGGGUAUCAAUUGAUAGGUAGGUGAAUAAAUUGACUGGACAUCCAAGAGUCUUGUGUAUGGAAUACUCAAAUUUAUAAAUGGGGAGUUAGAAAAUUUAACUCAUAUGAAUGUGGUGUUACAACUUUUGUAACCCCAUCAUUAUGAAAUUUAUUUGUACAUUAUGUUUAUGAGUAAUGGAGGAAAAUGGAAAAGUAUAACCUAUGCAAUUAUAUAGAUGCAUUCAAGUUCAUAACCUAUCAUUACCCAUUAAUUUGUACAUAAUAGGUGUAAAUAAUGAGUAUAACUCCCAUAUAGUCUUUGAUGGGAAGACUAAGAGAUGUACAAUUUUUUUUAUAAGUUGAGGUCCCAAGCCACACUCUCAUUCUUAUGUCUUUUUGUUGGUUUAUUUUUAACAACAUACACCACACAAGUGACCCAUCCACUUUAUGAGAGUAGUGAGUCGAAGACCUUGCCAAUCCAAUUCAUAAGGUGACUCAAUCUCACUUCAAAAGUGUUAUUGAUAUCAUGGAUCAAGGUAAGAAUAUGAUCAUUAUUUGAAUACUUAUAUUUAUUUUGUUUUAUGCAUCCAAAAUGGCUUUAUAAAAUAAUAAUUUCAGCAUAAAGUUUAUAAAAGUUUGGUUGACAUUUCUUUCUAUUUUUAAAUUCUUCUAAUUAGUUGUAAUUUCCUAUUUUUGUUGUAAUCCCCUAAUUUUAGGAUUGUUUCCUAUCUUUGUGUUUUGGGCUAAUUCUAGGAUUGUUUCUUAUUUUUGUGUUUUAGGUUUUGUGUAUAUAUAUUCAUUCUUAAUCAAUGGAAAAGUCAAGCCAUUGUUUCUUAAUGAUCCUCUCUCUGUUUCAACAGUUUUCUCCCUAGAGCAUGACCCUAAUGGAACUAGCCAGAUUUUAUCUUGCAAGGGAACAGCAGGUACUAGACUAGUGGCUUCCGGGAUGGGCAGGUUUUCAGCCUGCUUCUUGAAAUGCGUUUAGACAAUAUAUUGAAAUACAAUUAUUCCUUUAGUAAGGAUGAGAGCUAUUUCAAUUACUCUCUCUAUAAUUCUACCAUUAUAAGCAGAGUGGUCCUGGAUGUGUCAGGGCAGAUUAAGCAAAUGACAUGGAUUGAAGACACUCAUCAAUGGAAAUUGUUUUGGUCUCAACCCAGAACACAAUGUCAGGUUUAUGCUUACUGUGGGCCUUCUAGAAUCUGCAAUCUGGAUUCCUAUGAGUAUUGUGAAUAUUUGCCUGGUUUUGAACCUCGCUCCCCCGGAAACUGGGAAUUGCAAGACGGAUCUGGAGGGUAUGUGAGGGAAGCAGAUUUGCAGUGUGUCAACGGAAGUCAUGGUGAUGGGGAGAGAGACCAGUUUCUUUUGGUGUCUAAUGUAAGACUGCCCGAGUAUCCACUAACAUUGCAAGCAAGAGUGCCAUGGAUUGCGAGUCAGCCAGCCUGAAUAACUGCUCUUGCUCUGCUUAUGUUUAUGACAGCGAGGAGUGUACAGUAUGGAGUGGAGAUCUUCUAAACCUGCAACAGCUGUCGGAUUCUGACAGUAAUGCUGGAGAUUUCCAUCUCAAACUUGCUGACUCUGAGCAAAAUAGGAGAGGUAAGAAAAAGGGAAUGCUCAUACUAGUUGUUGUAGGACAUAAAGCAUAUAAAAUGGCUAUUGAUUCAGUUAAGUUAAAUGUCAUAUAUUUCCUUCUACAGUUUCAAGCAGCAAGUAGAAGCUAUGGCUCAUUGUUACACUAGCCAUUUCUGUAACUUUAGCCUUUGUCACAUUUGGAAUAUGGAGAAGGCUCCAAAGAAAAGGUCAGUAUUUCUCAUGGAUAGAAGAUGACCAAGCAAUUCAAGGCUAUUUAGAUUCCAUCAACACAUACAAAACCAUUUCUUGUCUGAUAUGAAUUCAUUACCAUUGUUGUAGAAUAAUUAAGUUCAUAUUAGAGUUUCAAUCUCCUGAUUACAGUAUUGAAUUAGCUUAUUCCCAUGCCAGAAUUCCUACAUUCGUAAGGAAUUUAGCAUCUGUUUGUUCUUUACCAAGCAGGGGAAGAUUUGUUACUGUUUGAUUUCAGUGACAACUCAGAAAAUACCAACCAUGAACUUAGUGAGGCAAAAAAGGUUGGAAAGGAGAGAAGAAGGAAGUUGAUUUGCCAAUCUUCAGUUUUGCGAGUGUAUCUGCUGCUACCAAUGACUUCUCUAUUGAAAAUAAACUAGAAGAGGGAGGUUUUGGACCAGUUUAUAAGGUGAGCUUAGUAUGACUAACAGUAAUGCCUCUCAGAAAAGAAAUGUGAAAAUUUUUGCUACUGUUCUACAAUCCCUCAACUGUAAAUGCCCAUUAGGCAAACACAAAUUUUCUUUUACUUGUGUGGUUGUUGUACUCAGUUGAAAUCCCCAUGACAAGGAAAGUCACAAAGAGGAUAUGAGGUAGUUGUGAAAAGACUUUCAAAAAGAUCUAGACAAGGUUGGGAGGAGUUAAAAAAUGAAACCAUGCUUAUAGCCAAGCUCCAACAUAAGAAUCUUGUUAGACUUUUGGGCUGCUGCAUUGAGCUAGAUGAGAAGAUAUUGAUUUAUGAGUAUAUGCCCAAUAAAAGCUUAGAUUUCUUCCUUUUUGGUUUGUAGUUCUCAACAUAUCUAAACUUUUGUUUAUCCUAUGCUCAAUAAAAAGCUUUUUUCAUUCAUUGUUGUUGGCCUCUUAUUUACUAACACCAGUUUGUAUUUAUUUGGUGUAAAAUAGGGAUAGAUCCUGCAAGACAUGGGAUUCUAGAUUGGGAGACACACAUUCACAUAAUUGAAGGGGUUGCUCAGGGAUUUCUUUAUUUCCAUCAGUACUCUAGAUUGAGGAUUAUUCAUUGAGAUCUGAAGGCUAGCAACAUUCUUUUGGAUAUAGACAUGAACCCCAAAAUAUCAGAUUUUGGAAUGGCAAGAAUUUUUGGAGGAAAUUAGUUGAUAGCAACAAAUCAUAUUAUCGGGACUUGGUAAGUGAAUCCUUGCAAACCGUAAAAUAUGUGGAUUCUCACAUAACAUGGCCUUUCUUUUAUAUAUAUAUAUAUACAUUUUUGUCACAAGGCAACUACUAAAUGAUUUGUUCUAAUAAUGAAAUUCAGUGGCUACAUGUCCCUUGAAUAUGCUUUCGAAGGCCUCUUUUCAACUGAAUCAGAUGUCUUUAGCUUCAGGGUCUUGUUACGGGAGAUUCUAAGAGGCAAAAAGAAUACCAGAUUUUACCAGAGUGACUCACUCAAUCUUCUUGGAUAUGUGAGUAACACAAUCUACAAUGUUCUAAUAUGUUAAUUCUUGAUUUACUAGUCAGUAAAUUUUCACAUCUUGUUUACUAGUCAAUUUUAAGCUGAUGUUCUUUGCAUGCAAUAAAAAGGACUAUACAUCUGUUUUUCUUUUUUGGAAAUUUGCAUCAAGAGAACAUUUUCUUUUCUUCAGGCAUGGGAUCUGUGGAAAAACAACAUAGGGCUGGACUUGAUGGAUCCAGUAUUGAGUUGGGAGGCACGGGUUCACAUCAUUCAAGGGGUGGCUCAGGGGACUUCUUUAUCUCCAUUAGUACUCUAGAUUGAGAAUUAUUCAUCGAGAUUUGAAGACUAGCAACACUCUUUUGGAUAAGAACAUGAACAAAACAUAUAGUUGGGACUUAGUAAGUGAAUAGUAACACAUUGUAAACAAUUCAAAACAUGUUAAAACAUUAUCAUACUCAUUUUUAUGUGGAAUUUAAAUUUUUAAAAUUUAGUACAAAACAAUUUGCGCUUAUAGCUUUUUAAAUAAGAAAACUAUUAUAUAUUUUUAAAAUAAAAUAAUGCAAUUGUGGCAUGUGAAGAAAUUUUUAUUUUUAUGGAUAAAUAUAUUUUACAAAUUUUAUAUAAAUUUAUUUUUUAUUUAUAUAUAUAUUUUUUUCAAUGUUUUUAGAAUCAAAUCAAUCAUUGAAUCAAAAAAGUUAUUGGUCCACGAUUCAUUGGUUGGAUCGGUGGUCGAACCAUGAUUGAAUUAGUGAUGUUAUAAAUAAGUAAUUUAUAUAUUAUUAAAAUUAAAAAUAUUAUAUAAAAUUUUUUAGAUAUAUAAAAAAAUAAAAAUCAAUAAUAUUUAUUUUUCAUCUUUAAUAUUAUCAAAUUAACAUAUAGAUAUAUUAAUAUUUUAACAUUUGAUUAAAUAAUAUAUAUAUAUAUAGAUAAUAUUUAAAUAUAAAAAUAUUUGUUGAAGGUUAUUUAAUUUCCUUUAUAUAUGUUACACUAUUUUAUUUAUAUUAUUUACAUUUUCACUCUUAUUCAAAAUUUAUGAGAAUUUUAUUAUAUAACGUUGUUGUGUCUGGCAUGUAUAUAACACGCACAGCAAAGUGGUGGUGUGUAUGCGUUUUGAACCCAAGGUUAGUUGUUCAAACCCAUGAGCUGCAGCCCAAGAUAUGGCACAUCUUGCACUAUGUUUGAGCCCAUUUUACCCAAUAAAAAUAUCCAUGAAAGAAGAGAAAACUCAUGAGCGGGCCGGCAUUCCGGCCCAAUUAGGCUACCCGGACUGGAUUAGGCUCCAGUUGAUGGUUGAACUGGCCAAUCCAAAACAUUGAUUUUUUUAUCUCAAUAUUCGUAUCUUAUUUAUUUCAUAUAAACUUUGAAAUUAUUCAUUUAAAUAACAAUUAUCCAUUAUCCAUUUAAAACCAAUCAUCCUCACAUUUCCAAAUGAAAAGUGAAUAUCACAUUGGAUGCAUUGAAUUGUUGUUUCCCUACCACCACCCCUUUUAACUUCUCUUCACUUUGACAUCACAACUUAAAACUAUUUUUUUGGGAUGUUGAGAUGAGAUCAUGAGACAAGCGUUCAGAGGACGUGUUGAGAGUUUCUGAUAUCUUCCACGACAGCUAAGACCAUGAAUCUGAAGAGAAAGAACUGAAGAAGAGGGAGGAAAGUGAGAGUUGGUUACUCCCUUAGUUUUCAAAUUUAGAAUGGAUGAUGAAGAUGUCAUAUUACACAUCCAAUGGGUUCAAUAAAUUCUUGGGUACCUACACAGACUGUUUCGUAGAAUUUUCCUAAAAGAUAUUUUGAAAGGUAGAUCGAUGGAAAGGAGACUUUGACUUACCAGUCGCCGGGCCGCCUCAGAUCCGCUACUGCCUGUUUUGGAUGGCUAUAAUAUUAUUGAUGGGCUGCGUAAACGCUGCUUAUGAGUUAUGGGUAGCAUGAAAUUUUCAACGAGAAGGUGUUCUGCUAAUUAUCUUGUUUUCUUGCUUAUUUCUUCAGGUUUUCACUGGCAAUUUGCUGAUGCAUUUACAGAUACAAUCUUACAAGGUCAGUCAAUCACAACCUCUCAGACCAUCAUAUCUGCUGCUGGUAACUUUGAAUUAGGAUUCUUCUCGCCUGGAAACUCCACAAAUUAUUAUGUGGGGAUAUGGUACAAGAAAGUCUCAAACCAAACCAUUGUCUGGGUGGCUAACCGAGAGUAUGCGUUCAAAAAUCGGUCUGUGGUUCUUACUGUCAGGACAGAUGGUAACCUCGAGGUUUGGGAGGGGAAAAUUUCAUACAGGGUGACAAGCAUAUCAUCAAAUAGCAAAACUAGUGCCACCCUGUUGGAUUCUGGAAAUCUUGUUUUGAGAAAUGACAACUCGAGUAUCUUAUGGCAAAGCUUUGACUAUCCAUCGGACACUUUCUUGCCGGGGAUGAAACUUGGAUACGACAAAAGGGCUGGAAAAACAUGGUCAUUAGUGUCAUGGAAGAGCUCAGAAGAUCCCAGUCCAGGAGUUUUCUCCCUGAAGUACGACCCUAAGGGAACCGGCCAGAUUUUUAUCUUGCAAGGGUCCACAAUGUACUGGGCUAGUGGCACCUGGGACAGGGAUGGGCAGGUUUUCAGCUUGAUUCGUGAGAUGCGCUUAAACUAUAUGUUUAAUUUCAGUUAUUCGUUUAGUAAGGAGGAGAGCUAUAUCAAUUACUCUAUUUAUGAUUCUUCAACUAUAAGCAGAUUGGUGCUGGAUGUGUCAGGGCAGAUUAAGCAAAUGGCAUGGCUUGAAGCCUCUCAUCAAUGGCAUAUGUUUUGGUUUCAACCAAAAACGCAAUGUGAGGUUUAUGCUUACUGUGGGCCUUUUGGAAUCUGCAAUGAUAGUGCAGUUGAUGGAUUUUGUGCAUGUUUGCCAGGUUUUGAACCUGCCUCCCCUAAUAACUGGAACUCGGGUGACAAAUCUGGAGGGUGUGUGAGGAAAGCAGAUUUGCAGUGUGGCAAUAGUACUCAUGCUAAUGGGGAGAGAGACCAGUUUCAUCGGGUGUCUAAUGUGAGACUGCCAGAGUAUCCACUAACACUCCCAACGAGUGGUGCCAUGCAGUGCGAGUCAGAUUGCCUAAAUAACUGCUCUUGCUCUGCUUAUUCUUACAACGUGAAGGAGUGUACAGUAUGGGGUGGAGAUCUUCUAAACUUGCAACAGCUAUCAGAUGACGACAGUAAUGGUCGAGAUUUCUAUCUCAAACUUGCGGCCUCUGAGCUAAAUGGGAAAGGCAAUAAAAGUAGGGAAUGGUCAAACUUUUUUUUGUAGAAGGACAGAGCAUAUGAUUUUCUUUUUCUUAAAUAUAAGAUGAAGUUCAUCAAAGAUUAGUUACAUUUAUUUCUUUUUGCAGUUUCUAGCAGCAAGUGGAAGGUGUGGCUAAUUGUUACACUGGCCAUUUCCCUAACUUCGGCCUUUGUCAUUUGGGGGAUAUGGAGAAAGAUCCGAAGAAAAGGUCAGUAUUUUUCAUGGAUAGAAGAUUAUCAAGCAAUUCAAGGGUAUUUAGAUUCCAUCUACACAUACAAAACCAUUUGUUUUCUGCAAUGAGCUCAUUACCAUUAUUGUAGAAUAAUUAAGGCCAUAUUAUGAUUUCAACCUCCUGAUUACAUGUGUGUGUACCUGCACUACAGUGUGAUAAAAAUCAAUAAUGAAUCAAUUUAUUCCCAUGCCAGAAUUCCUACAUUCUUAUGAUACUUGACAUCUGUUUCUUCUUUAUCAAGCAGGGGAAAAUUUGUUACUAUUUGAUUUCAGUAACAGCUCAGAAGAUACCAACUAUGAACUUAGUGAGGCAAAUAAACUUUGGAGAGGCGAGAAGAAGGAAGUUGAUUUGCCAAUGUUCAGUUUUGCGAGUGUAUCUAUUGCUACUAAUAACUUUCUAUUGAAAAUAAACUAGGAGAGGGUGGUUUUGGACCAGUUUACAAGGUGAGAUUAGUAUUUGUGAAUCUUCUUGGUAUAUACAAUUUUUCUUUUACUUGGUGUCAUUGUACUAAGUUGAAAUUCCCAUGACAGGGAAAGUCACAAAAAGGAUAUGAGGUAGCUGUGAAAAGGCUUUCAAAAAGAUCUGGACAGGGAUGGGAGGAGUUAAAGAAUGAAGCCAUGCUUAUAGCCAAGCUGCAACAUAAGAAUCUUGUGAAGCUGUUCGGCUGCUGCAUUGAGCAAGAUGAGAAGAUAUUGAUUUAUGAGUAUAUGCCCAACAAAAGCUUGGAUUUCUUCCUAUUUGGUUUGUAACUUCUGGCUACUGUAUAUUCAAUAAAAAACCAUUCAGUAUCAUUCACCACUUAUUUGCUAACAUGAGUUUAUAUUUAUUUGGUGUAAAAUGGAAAUAGAUUCUGCAAAUCAUGGGAUUUUGAAUUGGGAGACACGGGUUCACAUCAUUGAAGGGGUUGCUCAGGGUCUUCUUUAUCUACAUCAGUACUCUAGAUUGAGGAUUAUUCAUCGAGAUUUGAAGGCUAGCAACAUUCUUCUAGAUAAGGACCUGAAUCCUAAAAUAUCAGACUUUGGAAUGGCAAGAAUAUUUGGGAGCAACGAAUCAAAAGCAACAAAUCAUAUAGUUGGGACUUAGUAAGUGAAGCCUAACAAAUUCUAAAAUAUGUGAAUGCUCAUACAACUUUUUUUUUUCUUUUUUCUGCACAUAUAUUUAGAAUCAUGCAGCUACUAAAUCAUUUUGUAAUUAAUAAUCAAACCCAGUGGCUACAUGUCCCCUGAGUAUGCUUUGGAAGGCCUCUUUUCGACUAAAUCUGAUGUCUUUAGCUUCGGGGUUUUAUUACUAGAGAUUUUGAGUGGCAAGAAGAAUACUGGAUUUUACCAAAGCGACUCCCUCAAUCUUCUCGGAUAUGUGAGUAACACAAUAUUUCCUCAUUGGUUGUCUUGGGCUACUGGUAAAUUUUCACAUUAUGUUUACCACACAGUUUGAAAACUUAUUUCAUAUGAUUGGCUACUAUAGAAAGGACUUUAUUAUCUUUUACUUUUUAGGAAUUUGCUUCAAUGGAUAAUUUUCUUUAUUUUAGGCAUGGGAUCUGUGGAAAGACAGCAGGGGGCAGGAAUUGAUGGAUCCAGUGUUGGAAGAGGCAUUGCCAAGACACAUUCUGUUGAAGUACAUCAAUAUAGGCCUUCUUUGUGUUCAAGAAAGUGCAGAUGACAGGCCUACGAUGUCUGAUGUUGUCUCAAUGCUUGGCAAUGAAAGUUUACAUUUACCUUCUCCAAAACAACCGGCAUUUUCAAAUCUGAGAAGUGGGGUGGAACCACAUAUAUUUCAAAACAGGCCUGAAAUGUGUUCCUUAAAUAGUGUGACACUUUCAAUUAUGGAAGCACGAUAAUGGUUCAGAACUUAAUAAAUAAUGUGCUUAAAUUUCAGCAUAUUGUCUUGCGUUGUUUUUGUGAAUUCAUAGCUCAUGUAUUGAAAUGGACAUGUAAUCUGUGUGAAUUUUUCUUCCAAAACACUUCAAUAAUCAUUCAGACCUGUGUCUAAUAUUUUUAUCUGAAACUGUUAUGAAGUCUGAUUUUAUCCAGUUGAAUUUGGAUUUAAUUUGAUUAUGAUCUGUACCCUCAUCAAUCCAAAGAGUGAAGGACAAUUUUCAGAGCUCAAAACCAACAAAUGGCACCUUUAGGGCCAAUCCAGCUAUAGAGAGUCAACUAUCCACCUUCCACUUAUUCUCUUAUAUGUGUUUCCAAAUGCCCUGGCAUAUGUAUAGCAUGUACAGAUACAGUUCUGUACUACUGUAUAUUUACUACGAGACUGACUAAGUUCUACUGUUUUGACAAUAGUGCAGUGUAUAUAUCUUGCAAGAAUAUUCUAUGGAGCAUAAUUCCUUUGUGAAAUCAGAUGUUUCCAGCUAAGGAGUUGAUUGUGAAUCCUGUGACAAGAGGAACUCGAAAUAUUACCUCUCACUGAGAAUCCUGUGAAUUGAAACCUCCUUAACAUCUACCAUAUGAAAAUGAAUGAUUUUUUUUUUUUUUUUUUCUGUAAUUUUAUGUAUUAGCAUGGUAAGUGAAUUCAGUUUUCACUGGGCAUCUGAAAGAAGAUAAUUUGAAACAGUUUUUGGUAUGGGGAAUGGGGUAUGAGGACAAGAUGCUGUAAUUGAUGGAUAUGUCAGUGGGGAAAGAAAUUAUCAGAACCCAGGUGUAGGUAUUAACUUAGCUAUAAUGGGGGAAGGGAGUGAACAGAAGCAGGGUUAGCUUCAAUUUCAGAUUCAUAUCAUACAGUGCUUCAUUCAACUAGUAAUAGCGAAGACAAUUCAGCUACUCAGCAUAGGAGGGAGGAAUUAGUUAAGCAGUUGUAGAUUUUUCGCCUUCCAAAUCCAAAGUGAUUAGACAAUUUUCCAGAAAAAAAAAAGUGGUAUAACGUUUCCUGUGACUUAUAACACUUCCCAUUUGUUUGGACAUAGUUUGAGUAAAACCCCUUUGGUUGCCAAGAAAACCAAGGAAAAUGCAAAAGAGAAAUAACUUGAAGUCUACAAUUUCUGUAGUUUAUGAUGGAAAGCUCAAGUUCAAGCUCAAGUAAGGCUAAACGAGCCCAUUGAGCCUCUCUCAUCUCUACAACAUAGACUUCAAAAGCAAAAUGGGUGAAAUAAUGGUCAUUUAUGGGCCCCUGCGCUUAGCUUGGGGAUCAGUUUCAUUGAAUAUUUUAGGAGAGAGAACAUAUAUCAAGUCAAAAAGUAGAUAAUUACAAACUAAUUUUGCCGUCCAGCAUAGAAAAUCUAAUCCCAGUGGGGCCUCAAGUACAUGAAUUUAGUGUUCUUUCCAUAAUUCUUCUCAUUCUGGGCAUGGUCUAGAUUGAAGAAAGGUCCGAUACAAAUUGGAAAAGUCAUAGAAGGAAAUAUAUCUAGGAGGGAAUCCUAACAAAAGGUCUUUCAAAACUGCUACACCUUGCUUUGAAUGGUAGUUGGUCUCUGCAUUGAAUGAGUUUUUUUUUUCCUAUGUACCCUGGAGACAGAAAAUCUGAAAACAUUUCUAAAUGGUUCUCCAAAAUACAGUGCAUGGGAGGUUCCAAGACUUUGAGGGAAAGAAAAGCAGCAGAACCAGCUGGGGAAAAUCAGCAUGAAAAGGAUCAUUUCCUACCACUCUAAUGUUGUUUAAUCUAUUCAACCACGGAAAUUAGGAAAGACUUUGACGAAAAUGAUGCGAUCGCGGUCAAGUUCUGCUACCUGCUACAUUGAAUUAUGCUUAUCUAGGGAAGAUGCAUUAAAGUCUUAGAGCAUUUGAGAUUUUUUUUUUCUUUUUUUCUUUUAAGACACAAUUAAUUGUCCAUAAAUUAAUAGAUUGGGAACAAGGAAAAUCAAUUAAUUAAGUGAAUAUUAAUUGUGUAUUAAUUAAUAAAUCAUUAAUUUAUCAAGAUAGUUCUUAUUUUUUCAAAAUAUUGUAUUUAAUAUUAUUUAUUAUAAUUGUUUGGAAGUGUCCCAAUUUCCUAAUUAGUAUAAAUUUAUUUUUUGUAAAGAAUAUUAUAUGAAUAUUUUUAGGUUAAUAUAUUAUUGUAAUAUUAGAUUUUCUUAUAGGGUAAGGAAGGUUAUUGGAAAUAUCUUUAUACAUAUUCUAGGUCAUGAGGAGAAAAAGUUAUGAGAUGGAAAUGGGUAUGUAAAGAUUAUACGGGGUAAAUAGAGAUGUGAGGAAGAACGGGAGGUACUCGGUGGAGCGAGAUGACUUGUGGUAGGGUAGGGAUACGAAGAGUAGGAAAACAUGAGAUGUUUCGAGAACCCAAUAAUUGUAUCUGGUUAUGUCCUCUAUAAUGUUUUGGUUCUAUCCUCUGUAAUGUUCUCUAUUGUAUAGUGGAAUGAUUCUCUCUCAUCUGUGGACGCAGACAUGGUUGGCCAGAUGUGAUGAGGGAGCAGCAACACCACUCUUCAUCUCUGAACUAGACUGUGAUGUAGACUUUGGGAUGGAUCUUGACCCCAACUCAACCUCCACCUGUGUGCUUGAUUUUUGUUACUCUUUAUCACAAGAAUCUCUAAAAGAUGAGUCAUGAAGCAUAGUAGUUUCAUAAAAAAUAACAUCUCUAUUGACCAUGACUUUCUUGGUUUUUAGACACCAUAGCUUAUAUCCUUUAACACUAGAAUUAUAGCCAAGGAAGACACAUUUUAUAGACCUAGGUUCUAGUUUUCCAUUAUCAACAUGAGUAUAGGCAGGACAUCUAAAUACCUUCAAAUCAAAGUAACUAGCAGGAGUACUAGACCAAACCUCUUGUAGAGUUCUUUUGUUAAUAGUAGUUGAGGGAUAACGAUGAAUGAGGAAACAAGAUGUAGCUUUAGUCCAAAAAGACUUAGGUAAACCAACAAUGGAAAGCAUACAAUGUACUUUCUCCAUCAAAGUCCUAUUCAUUUGCUCUACCACACCGUUUUGCUGCGAGAUAUGACGAACUAUAUGAUGCCUUGCGAUUUCUUUUGACUUGCAUAGAUCAUUAAAUUCAUAAGAACAAAACUCCAAGCCAUUAUCAGUGCGAAGACGUUUUACCUGCUUCCAUGUCUGCUUCUCAAUCAUAAUCGUCCACUCCUUGAAUGUAGCUAACAUAUCACUCUUUUUCUUCAAGAAGAACACCCAAACUUUUUUGGAAAAAUCAUCAAUGAUAGUUAACAUAUAACUAACACCUCCCUUAGAAGGCACCCUAGAUGGUCCCCGAAGAUUAGAAUGUAUAUAAUUGAGUGUCCUCUUUGUUUUGUGAAUGUCUUUUGUGAAUUUGACUCUUCUCUGCUUCCCAAAAACGCAGUGCUCAUAGAACUUCAGUUUUCUAAUACUCUGACCAUUAAGAAGUCCGCUUUUGCUCAAUUCAAUCAUCCCAUUCUCACUCAUAUGCCUAAGGCGCAUAUGCCAAAGUCUAGUAACAUCACCAUCUAAUAAGGAAGAAGUAGCAACAAUUACAUCACUUAUAACUGUGGAUCCCUACAAGACAUAUAAUUUGGUAGAUCUUUUCUGCCAUUUCAUCACAACAAGAACACAUUUACUAACCUUUAAGACUCCACCUUCACCAGUAUACUUGUACCCUUUUGAAUCAAGAGUACUCAAUGAGAUAAAGUUCCUCUCUAGAUUUGGAAUGUGUCUCAUAUCACCAAACAUAGAUGAACAUUCAAGAAUAAAGAUUAGAAUUAGAUUUGAACCCAAACAUCAUUUAAAUAAGAGAUUGUAUAGGUCAUUAUGGAAGAUUAUUAUUAAAUUUGGCCCGAAAAAUAAAUCUCUUACAUUUUACUCCCUACUAUACUUACCACCAGCCUAAAAAGAAGAAAUGUGGGCCUAAUGAGGGGUUUUUUUUUUUUUUUGUUGAUAUUUUCCAUUUAUAUAACUAACUUGAACAAUGUUGUACCCUUAAAAGUAGAAAAGAUCCUUGUAGUAUUCUUUGGUUUAUUAUGGUUAUGUUUGGUUAUGAGAAAAUUUAAAGGAAAAUGUGAAGAAAAUAAAAUAGAAAAGAAAAAUAAAAGGAAAGAAAAUUAAAAAUGGGUUUAAAUUCAAUGAAUUAUUUUUAUAUGCUUCUCCAAAUUCAUUUCACUUUUUUUUCUUCAUUAUAGUAAGAUUAAAUAAUUUAAAAAUAUAUAAAAUUUUAACUAAUUUUAUUUUAUUUUGUAUUUUUUCAUAAUGAAACUAAAUAUAAGAAAACUAUUUUUCUUAACUUUUUUUUCUUAAUAUUUUCCGGAGACUAAAUAUAGCCUAGAUGUAUCUAGUAGAAAGAUCCAACAUGGGGUUGGAAAAAAAUCAUAGAAGAAGAUAUAUCUUGAAGGGGAGAUCAAAGGAUAUUAAAUGGGACUAUGACCCACACCUCCUAGAUUUAUGGGCUGCUUAAUGGAACAAACCAGAUUUUUAUCCACCAUAUUGAAUAUUGAAUAUGGUAUUCUUCCAAUUAUUAAAUGUAUUUAGCGAAAAGGUCCAAUUGUUAGUAAAAGAAGAACAGGUCAAACUAUCGUAUUAGGGUGCUAUGAGUGAGAUUGUGAUUACAUCAACUUUUAAUUAUUUAGAAUAUUGUCCAUUAUAUAUUUUAAAUUUUUAUAAUAUUAAUUUAUUUUAUUGAUUAAGAAUUAGAAUUUAAUGUAUACUUAACAUUAAAAUCUUAUAUAGUUCCAAUUUCAUACAAGUAACUAAAUUUUUUAUAUUGAUCUCAUCUCUGCACCCAAAUGCCCAUUUCCUCUUGAAGAUUAAAAAUUAAAAAUAAAAAUUAAUCCAUCUAACAACCAAGUUAAAAUGUAUUUAUAUAUCAUAAAAAAAUCAUCACCGAAUAAACCAAUAACCAUAAAAAUAAAAAUGGAAAAUCAUCGAUAAAUAAAUCAAAACAAAAUAUAAAAAGAAAUUAAUAUUUUCAUGGUUGAUUAACCCUAUGAGUUGGAUGAUAAAAGCGUUAAUAUCGAGUGGAAAGGAGACUUUGACUCACCGGUCGUUGGGCCUCAGGUCUGCCACUGCCUGUUUUGGAUGGCUAUAAGAUUAUUGAUGGGCUGCUUAAACGCUGCUUAUGAGUUAUGGGUAACAUGAAAAUUUCAACCAGAAGGUGGUCUGCUAAUCUUGUUUUCUUGCUUAUUUCUUCAGGUUUUCACUGGCAAUUUGUUGAUGCAUUUACAGAUGCAAUCUUACAAGGUCAAUCACUCACAACCUCUCAGACCAUCGUAUCCGCUGGUGGUAACUUUGAAUUAGGUUUCUUUUCUCCUGGAAAGUCCACAAAAUACUAUGUGGGGAUAUGGUACAAGAAAAUCUCAGAGCAAACCAUUGUGUGGGUAGCUAACCGAGACUAUUCAUUCACAAAUCCAUCCGUGGUUCUUACUGUCAGCACAGAUGGCAACCUCGAGAUUUUGGAGGGGAAGAUUUCGUACAAGGUGACAAGCAUAUCAUCAAACAGCAACACUAGUGCCACCCUGUUGGAUUCUGGAAAUCUUGUUUUGAGAAAUAAGAAGUCAGAUGUCUUAUGGGAGAGCUUUGACUAUCCAUCGCACACUUACCUGCCGGGGAUGAAGCUUGGGUACGACAAAAGGGCUGGAAAAACAUGGUCAUUGGUGUCAUGGAAGAGCGCAGAAGAUCCCAGUCCAGGAGAUUUCUCCCUGCAGGUCGACCCUAAUGGAACUAGCCAGAUUUUUAGCCUGCAAGGACCCAACAGGUAUUGGACUACUGGGGUGUGGGAUGGGCAGAUUUUCACCCAGGUUCCUGAGAUGCGUUUGCCCGACAUGUAUAAGUGCAAUAUAUCCUUUAAUGAGAAUGAAAUCUAUUUGACUUACUCUCUUCAUAAUCCCUCCAUUCUGAGCAGACUGGUGCUAGAUGUGUCAGGCCAGAUUAGGUCUCUGAAUUGGCAUGAAGGCACACGUGAAUGGGAUUUAUUUUGGCUUCAACCAAAAACACAGUGUGAGGUUUAUGCUUACUGUGGGCCUUUCGGAACCUGCACUCGGGAUUCUGUUGAAUUUUGUGAAUGCUUGCCAGGUUUUGAACCUCGCUUCCCUGAAGACUGGAAUCUGCAAGACAGAUCUGGAGGGUGUGUGAGGAAAGCAGAUUUGCAGUGUGUCAAUGAAAGCCAUGCUAAUGGGGAGCGAGACCAGUUUCUUUUGGUGUCUAACGUGAGACUGCCCAAGUAUCCAGUAACACUGCAAGCAAGGAGUGCUAUGGAGUGCGAAUCAAUUUGCCUGAAUCGCUGCUCUUGCUCUGCUUAUGCUUAUAAGAGAGAGUGUAGAAUAUGGGCUGGAGAUCUUGUAAACGUGGAGCAGCUACCAGAUGGUGACAGUAAUGGUAGAAGUUUCUAUAUCAAACUUGCUGCCUCUGAGCUAAAUAAGAGAGGUAAGAAAAAAGAGUCAUAGUUGUUAUUGUAGGAGGACAUAAAGCAUAUGGGUCUUGUUUUAUUUUCAAUAUAAAAUGGCCAUCGAUUCAGCUAAAUUUAAUAUGAUAUAUUUCCUUCUACAGUUUCAAGCAGCAAGUGGAAGGUAUGGCUAAUUAUUACACUGGCCAUAUCUUUAACUUCAGCCUUUGUCAUUUAUGGGAUAUGGGGAAGGUUCCGAAGAAAAGGUCAGUAUUUCUCAUGGACAGACGGAUGGCCAAGCGAUUCAACCGUUUUUAGGUUCCAUCUACAAAUAAAAAACCAGUUCUUUUCUGAAAUGAGUUCAUUAGCACUGUUAUUGAAUAGUUAAGGUAACAUUAGGAUUUCAUGUUCUGAUUACAUGUACUGUGUAUGUGGAAUCCAAUGUGAGAAAUAAUUUAUUCACAUGCCAGAAUUCCUACAUUCAUAUGAUAUUUAAUGUCUGUUUGUUCUUUACCAAGCAGGGGAAGAUUUGUUAGUAUGUGGAAUCCAAUGUGAGAAAUAAUUUAUUCACAUGCCAGAAUUCCUACAUUCAUAUGAUAUUUAAUGUCUGUUUGUUCUUUACCAAGCAGGGGAAGAUUUGUUAGUAUUUGAUUUCGGUAACAGCUCAGAAGAUACCAGCUAUGAGCUUGACGAGACAAAUAGACUUUGGAGGGGCGAGAAAAGGGAAGUUGAUUUGCCCAUGUUCAGUUUUGCGAGUGUAUCUGCUUCUACAAAUAACUUCUCUAUUGAAAAUAAACUAGGAGAGGGCGGUUUUGGAUCUGUUUACAAGGUUAGAUUACAACCCCUGACAAUAAUGUUCUACAAUCUAUCCUGGAAUGUAAAGGCCCACUUGAUAUAUACCAAAUUUCUUUUACUUGCUGUAAUUGUACUUAGUUGAAAUUCCAAAGACAGGGAAAGUCACAAAGAAGAUAUGAAGUAGCUGUGAAAAGGCUCUCUAAAAGAUCUAAACAGGGAUGGGAGGAGUUAAAAAAUGAAGCCAUGCUUAUAGCCAAGCUGCAACACAAGAAUCUUGUGAAAGUUUUGGGAUAUUGCAUCGAGAGGGAUGAGAAGAUAUUGAUUUACGAGUAUAUGUCCAACAAAAGCUUGGAUUUCUUCCUCUUUGGUUUGUAACUUCCACAUACAUAUACUUCCAGCUACUAUAUAUUCAAUGAGAAAACUUUACACAUUCAUCAUUUUUCACCACUUAUUUGCUAACAUCUAUUUAUUUGGUGUAAAAUGGAGAUAGAUCCUACAAAACAUGGGAUUCUAAAUUGGAAGACACGAGUUCACAUCAUUGAAGGGGUUGCUCAGGGACUUCUUUAUCUGCAUCAGUACUCCAGAUUGAGGAUUAUUCAUCGAGAUUUAAAGGCUAGCAACAUUCUUCUGGAUAAGGAUAUGAAUCCUAAAAUAUCAGAUUUUGGAAUGGCAAGAAUAUUUGGAGGCAACGAAUCAAAAGUAACAAAUCAUAUAGUUGGGACUUAGUAAGUGAAACUUGACAAAUUAUAAAAUAUGUGAAUGUUCAUACAACAUUUGAAAUCAUGCAGCUAUUGAAUGAUUUUUCUCAUUAAUAAUCAAAUCCAGUGGCUAUAUGUCCCCUGAGUAUGCUUUGGAAGGUCUAUUCUCCACUAAAUCUGAUGUCUUUAGCUUUGGGGUCUUGUUAUUGGAGAUUUUGAGUGGCAAGAAGAAUACUGGAUUUUACCAAACCGACUCGCUCAAUCUUCUUGGAUAUGUGAGUAACACAAUAUUUAUUCACUUACAUAACUAUUUAUGAUGUUUUGAUAUGCUAAUUCCUAGUUUUCAAUUCCCUUGUUAUAUUACCUAUCCAGUUGUCUUGGGAUACUAGUAAAUUUUCACAUUAUGUCUACCACUCAGUUUCAAGGCUUAUUUUAUAUUGUUGGCUGAUAUAAAAAGGACUUUAUUAUCUUUUACUUUUCGGGAAUUUGCAUCAAUGGAUAAUUUUCUUCAUUUAGGCAUGGGAUCUGUGGAAAGAUAGUAGGGGGCUGGAGUUGAUGGAUCCAGGGUUGGAAGAGACAUUGCCAACACACAUUCUGUUGAGGUACAUCAAUGUAGGCCUUCUUUGUGUUCAAGAAAGUGCAGAUGAUAGGCCUACCAUGUCUGAUGUUGUCUCAAUGCUUGGCAAUGAAAGUGUACGUUUACCUUCUCCAAAACAACCGGCAUUUUCAAAUCUGAGAAGUGGGGUGGAACCACAUAUAUCCCAAAACAGGCCUGAAGUUUGUUCCUUAAAUGGUGUGACACUUUCAGUUAUGGAAGCACGAUAAUGGUUCAGAACUUAAUAAAUAAUAUGCUUAAAUUUUAGCAUAUUGUCUUGUAUUGUUCUUGGUGAAUUCAUAGCUCAAAUACUAAAAUGGACAAGUGACCUUAUGUGUGAAUUUUUCUUCCAAAACAGUUUAAUAAUCAUCUUGUACUCAAUCCCUAUGGAUUCAGACCUGUGUCUCAUCUUUCAAUCUGGAAUUGCUACUAAAUCUGACUUUAUCCGGUCAAAUUUGGAUUUAAUUUGAAAAUGAUCUGUUCCAUUGUCAAUCCAAAGAGUAAAAUGCAACUUUUUUCAUUGCUUAGUAGCUAACAAAAGGUGCCUUUGGGGCCAAUCCAGCUAUAGAGAAUCAACCACCCACCUUCCACUUCCUCUCUUAUGGAUGUUUCUGAAUGCCCUGGCAUAUGUAUAUCAUGUACAUAUACACCACCAAUUUGGCCUGGGAUGAGUUUCAUCGAAUAUUUCAGGAGACAACAUAAAACAAUCAAAAAGUAGAUAAUUAUGAACUAAUUGGCCAUCCAGGACAGAAAAUCCAUCUCCCAAUGGGGCCUUAAAGCACUUGAAUUUACUGUUCAUUCCAUCAUUAUUUUCGUUCUAGGCAUGGUCUAGAUUGAAGAAAGGUCCCAUACAAAUUGGAAAAGUCAUAGAAGGAAAUAUAUCUAGGAGGGAAUCCUAACAAAAGGUCUUUCAAAACUGCUACACCUUGCUUUGAAUGGUACCUGGUAUCUACAUUGAAUGAGUGUUUUUCCUAUGUCCCACCAUUAAAAUGAAUGGGAGUCUUGCAAAUUACAUAGAUUUUUUUUUAUAAUGUAUUAUUUUAUAAAUUUCAUAGAAUUAUUAAUUUAGUAUUUUAGCCCCAAAGUCCCUAAAAAACAUUAUUUGCUUGAGGGGUUCAUAUUAUCAUGUAUUAAUUUAUUGAAAUUCUACUAUUUUUUCCUUAAUUAAAAAGUGAAUUUUUUAUUUUAUUAUUUUAUUUUUCUUUAACAAAAAAAGUCACUUUUUCUCUUUUUUCUUUGAAGUCCUCUAACUUCAUAACACUCGAACUCAUUUUCUCAUACAAAAUAAAAUUAAUCAAAUUCAAAUUUGAAACAUUGAAAAUUAAUCAAUAACAUAAAAAUCAAUUAGAGUUACCUUUGUUUGAUUUGAAACAAAUUAGAGUUACCUUUGUUUGAUUUGGCUACCAUUAAUACUGCUACUAACAACUUCUGUGUCAUAAAUAGAACUGGCACAGGCAGCUUUGGUCCUGUUUUCAAGGUAACAUUUGAUUGUAAGACAAAGUGUGUUUCCUAUGAGACAAUAUGCAGGGCAGUUUGUCAACAGGACAAGAAGUAGCAGUGAAGAGGUUGUCAAAGAAUUCAGGACAGGGUCUUUAAGAGUUUAAUAAUGAGGUUUUUUUAAUUGCCAAACUCCAACACAAGAAUCUUGUGAGGCUUUUAGGCUGCUGCAUUCAGUUCGGAUUAUUUUAUUUUCGGUUUGAACUUCUCAACCCUUUAUAUCUCUUUGGAUUGGUUUGGGUACAUGAUCAUCCAUACCUUACUCAUGCAUCUAUAGAGUACAAAUAGUUAUAAUCACAAUUUACAAGGGUUGAAAUGAUGUGCAGAUCAAAACAGAAGAACGUUAUUGCCAUAGAAAAAGGCACUUUGACAUUGUUAUGGGGAUCGUGCAAGGACUUGUUUAUCUCCACCAAGAUUCCAGAUUUCAAAUCAUUCAUUGGAAUCUUAAGGCAAGCAAUAUACUGCUAGAUGAAAACCUGAACCCCAAAAUUUCAGACUAUGGCUUGGCAAUAAUUUUUGGAGGGGGAUGAAAUGGAAGCAAAAACAGAGUAAUUGGAACAUAGUAAGUUCUGUACUUCGACUUUAGAAAUGAUGUGCUUUUCCUUGAAAUAACUUAUAUUUGAAAUCUUCAUGCAGUGGCUACACGUCCCCAGAGUAUGUGCUUGAUUGCAAAUUUUCUGUUAAAUUUGAUAUCUUUAGUUUUGGUGUGCUUCUGCUGGAGAUUGUGGCUGGUAUAAAGAACAGGGGUUUCUAUCAUUCAAACUACCACCAUAAUCUUCUGGGACAUGCAAGUAGAAAGAAUGAAAAUCCACCUCUGUCACACAUACACAUCAAAGACGCAUGCCCUCUCUUGCUUUUCUGACAAAGUAUAUGGCUUCCAAUUGCUUUAGACAUGCUUUGGAAACAAGACAAGGCCUUGGAAGUAAUGGAUGCAUGUUUGGAGGACUCAUGUAUUGAAUCCCAGCUACUAAGAUGCAUACAAGUCGGUUUAUUAUGUGUUGAAAACCUCCCAGCAGAUAGACCAGCUAUGUCAUCUGUGAUUUUCACGUUGGGUAAUGAGGGAGCAACACUACCUUAACCUAAACAUCCUGGUUUCUUCACAGAAAUAAGUAUGAUCGAUACAGAUGCAACAACAGGACGUGAAGAGUUACCUUCAGAAAAUGUAGUAACCAUCUCAGUGCCAGAAGGUAGAUAAAGGAUUCAAGCACUAUGUCAGCAUGUGCAGGGUGCAUCCAAGGUUUAAUUCAUGUAGGAUAUAGCACUAGGCUCUUCAAUGGAUGGGCACCAAUUUCCUUAAGGUUGCAAAACUAGAUUAUAGCUUGGGCCCAAGGAGGCUAAGGUAUUGGAUUUACUGCACUAGAACCAUAUCUGCUGGGCUUCAUAAUCCUCUAAAUGUAUGAAUAAAAUGUGCUGGAGUGUGUCCUCUAUGGCAGCUCAGGGCAGUGUGAUUUGUAACUUAAAACUCACUAGUAAAACUUUUGAAAUUCAUAUUUUCACAGGAUCAAGUUGCGUAUACGCACAAGAAUGUGGAUUCUGCAGUGACCUUAGCUGAUUCGCUUUAUUUUCCUCAGAGUUUACAUUUGCAGGGCUUGUAUAGAUGCUGAGCUAUACAAAAAAUCUAGAUUUCAAAUCUCUCAAGAAUUUCUAGAGGUGUUCAAAAUCCUUUGAAAUGUCCUUGGGAAGUGCAAUGAGCUUGCAACAAAUUGGAGUGAAUGGAGAUAAACAAAUUGAAAAUCAAAUGAGAGGAUUUGAAGCUUAAACAAAUAAUCACCUUCACAUAAUAAGGUGUGAAUCUCUACUGUCUCUCUCAAGUUAGAAAUUAUGCUGUUGAGCAAUAACAAGGCAAUAUGCUUCUCCAAGAUUGUGUGCAAUUGAUUAAAUAAGUGGAAUAUAUACAUCUUUUAACUUCUUUUCAUCUUCCCAGAAGCUUCAAAAUUUUUUGCAAAACAUUAACUUGAAUACUGUACAGUGGCAAACCUUAGUGGGAGCUUUCAAAUUAUUUAGGAGAAAGAAUUCAAGAACUAUGUAACAGAUGAUUCACAUAGGUUCUUUCCUUAGGACUAACAUGGAAAGAAUUCAAGUAAAUGGAGAUGAAUGUUUAUCAAAUUAAUAGAGACAAACCUACCAAGCAACCAUUGAGAUGCUACAAGCUCAAUUCAGAUAGUUUGAUCUUGCAACAUUUUUUCCAAUUAAUUGAGGGGGCAUAAGAGAAGACACUGAUUUUACAUCUUAGUAACUUGUUUUUCAUUGGAUUUGGAAAAUUCCAAGUUACCCUGUUCAGACAAUUCUUCCAAUUGAAAUAAUUGAGCUUGCAUAGCACGGUACUCUGUUAAGAUUCUGGAGUCCUUGAAGACUGCAACCUGAUCCACUUGAUGCUGUGUCAUGGUUCAAUUAACUAGCUAGUCAUGCUUGAGAGGACCUGUCUGACAAACUCCAAGAAAAAUCUACAUUAGCAACUAUUUUAUUUUAAUUUUCUUCCUAUGUCUAUAAGCAGAUAGCAUAGAGUGAUUUAUGGUAUAUCUUCAAAUUAAUAAAUGGUAGUUUUUUCAUUUUUUUUCAUUCGUUCAUGUACAGAGUAUAUAUAGAGGGUAAUUACCAUUCUAAGAAUGGGAAGGAACGAUACAAGGAAAGAAUGAUAUAAGGAAAUAACAACUAAUAUCCUAAUAUCUCAACUUUCCUAAUAUCUCAAUAUUCUUAAUAUCUCAAUAUUCUUAAUAUCUCAAUAUUCAUAAUAUCUCAAUAUUCCUAAUAUCUCAACUUUCCUAAUAUCUAAACAUUCCUAAUAUCUCAACACUCCCCCUCAAGUUGGUGCAUAGAUGUCACACAUGCCCAACUUGUCUAAAAAUUUUGAGAACACUUGACUUGAGACAGCUUUGGUGAGGAUAUCGGCCAAUUGAUUUUCUGAUUGAAUCUUAGACAAUUCCACAAUCUUAUCAUCCAACUUUUCCUUAAUGAAGAAUCUAUCCACCUCGACAUGCUUUGUACGAUCAUGUUGUACUGGAUUAUGAGCAAUGUCACAUGCGGCUUUAUUGUCACAAAACAAUCGGAUUGGUUGCUUAGAUAGGUAACCUAAAUCCUGUAAGAGGAGUCUUAGCCAUAAUGCCUCACAAAGUCCUAGAGCCAUACCUCUAAAUUCCGCUUCUGCACUUGAAUGGGCGAUGACAUUCUGCUUCUUACUUUUCCAUGUCACAAGAUUACCACCUACAAAGGUAAAGUAACCAGAUGUAGAUCGCUUAUCAUCCACUGCACUAGCCCAAUCAGCAUCAGUAUAUACUUCUAUACUCUGAUGAUCAACAUUUUUAGCGAACAAAAUUCCCUUCCAAGGAACAUUCUUCAAAUACCUCAAAAUACGCAUGACUGCAUUCAUAUGUUGCUCUCCAGGAUUAUGCAUGUAUUGACUCACUACACUCAAUGCAUAAGCAAGAUUUGGACUUGUAUGAGCUAAGUACAUUAACUCCCCACAAGUCUCUGGUAUCUUCCCUUAUCGGUUGAUACUUGAUUAGGCUCAACACACAAUUUCAAACCUUCUUCUAUUGGUGUAUUAACAGGUUGACAUCCCAACAUUCCAGUCUCCUGUAAAAGAUCUAAGGCAUACUUUCUUUGAGACAGAAAAAUUCCUUCACUUGAUCGAGAAACUUCAAUCCCAAGAAAGUAUUUCAGAGGACCUAGAUCUUUCAUUUCAAAUUCUCUAAAUAGAUAAUUUUGCAAAGCUUUUCUUUCUUCAGGAUCAUUUCUUGUAACUACCAUGUCAUCCACAUAUACGAUAAGUGUCGUAAUCUUACCAUGUUGCUUUUUUAGGAACAAAGUGUGAUCUAAAUUACUUUGACGAUAGCCAAAAGCUCUCAUUGAUUUUGUGAACCUUCCAAACCAUGCUCUCGGGGAUUGCUUCAACCCAUACAAUGACUUCUUCAAUUUGCACACCUUCUGACAUUGCUUUUCUGACACCAUGCAUCCUGGUGGAAGAUCCAUGUAUACUUCUUCAGAUAACUCGCCAUGCAGAAAGACAUUUUUCACAUAGAACUGUUGUAAUGGCCAAUCUAGGUUUGCAGCUAAAGAUAGUAAUACUCGAACUGUGUUGAUCUUAGCUACAGGUGCAAAUGUCUCUGUGUAGUCAAUUCCAUAAGUUUGAGUGUACCCUUUUGCUACCAGUCUUGCUUGAAAUCGUUCAAUACUACCAUCUGCCUUGUUCUUCAUAGUAUAGAUCCAACGACACCCAAUUGGUUUCUUUCCUGGUGAACAUUUUACGAGUUCCCAUGUUUCAUUAUUCUGCAAUGAUUUCAUCUCUUCAUUCAUGACUGUUUUCCACCUUGGAUCAGCUAAGGCUUCCUGCACACUGUUAGGAAUAGCUACAAUAGAUAAUUGAUUUAAAAAUGACUUAUUUGAUUCAGACAAAUGAUGGUUAGACACAUAGUUGCUCAUGAGAUAUUUGACUUUGGUAGACAAUUCAGGUUCAUAUGUGGGUUUAGGAAUACCUCUAUUAUGACGGUGUGGUAACCGUUUCAUGAAUGGAUCAGGUUCCAAAUUAAGAACACCCUCAACAGACGACGAUUGGUUUGGUAUUUCAGUGAAGACACAUUCGAACCCAAAUUGUUGACCACUCAUAUCCAACUCACCCGCUUCUUGGUUCACUAGUUCAGAUUGUCCAAAUUCAUCCUCCUCAGAGAUAUGAUAAUCGUAAUCGAGAGUCUGAAUUUCCUUAUGGUACUCUCCCUAAAGUUCAGACUCAGAUGAANNNNNNNNNNNNNNNNNNNNNNNNNNNNNNNNNNNNNNNNNNNNNNNNNNNNNNNNNNNNNNNNNNNNNNNNNNNNNNNNNNNNNNNNNNNNNNNNNNNNAUGCAUGAGAAGUUAACUUGGUGCGUUGGUGUUUGUGUAGAUGCACAAAUUCCAUGCAACCAAAAACACGAGGAGGUAGAUUUGGGACGGUUGGGGCAACUAUGGCAUUAGUAAGAGCUUGGAGAGGUGUUUGGAAGUUAAUUAGGCUAGAAGGCACCCGAUUGCUCAAGUAUGUGGCAGAUGUGAUUGCUUCUCCUCAAUAAGAUAUCGGUAUUUUUGCUGCUAUCAAGGAAGCACGAACAACCUCUAAUAAGUGCCGAUUUUUUUGUUCAGCGACUCCAUUUUGCUAGGGUGUAUUGGAACAAGUAGUCUAAUGAAUGAUGCCAUGUUCUUUCAAAUACUUUUGAAGAUCAGAACUUUGAUAUUCUCCACCAUUAUCACUACGCAAAACCCGAACCUUUGCAUUGUACUGAGUUUCAAUCAUUUUAUGAAAAUUUUGAAACAACAAGUUCACUUCAUCUUUGGUCUUCAUCAAGCAUAACCAUGUCAUUCUGGUACAAUCAUCAAUAAAAGUAACAAACCAACGUGAGCCACUCAAAGUUGGGACUUUGGAUGGGCCCCAAACAUCAGAAUGUAAAACCAUAAAAGGAAGCGGACUUUUAUUCAAAAUUAACGGAAACGAAACACGAUGACUUUUAGCCAAUUCACAAAUAUCACAACGGAAACCAGAAAUAUCACUCUUUGCAAACAAACUAGGAAACAAUUUUUUUAAAUAACCAAAGGAAGCAUGUCCCAGACGUCGAUGCCACAACCAAAUUUCAGACUUUUUCUUCUCCUUCUCAGAUCCAUCUGCCAUCAAGGCUUGUUGCAACUUAUUUGAAUCCUUUGACUACAAGUCCAAGUAAUAGAGUUUUCCCCGCUUAAUACCCUAACCAAUCGUCUGUCUUGUUUGGAUGACCUUAAUCACACAAAAUUUAGGCCAAAAUAUGACAAUACAAGAUAAGGCUGCAGUGAUUUGAGAAACUGAAAAAAGAUUGUAAUAUAGAGAUGGAACAACUAAAACAUAAUCCAAAUUCAAAGUAUCAGUAAGAGUUAAGGAUCCUUCCCCAAUGACUGGGGUUGUGUUACCAUUGGCUGUGGAAACAAUUUUUUGUGAGGAAGGUCUAAGAGGUGAAACCUGUCUAGAAUCAAAAGUCAUAUGAUCUAUAACACCAGAAUCAAUUAUUGAUUCGUGUGCCUAGCUGGUGUACCUUGAGUUUGGUCCUCAGACAGGAGUAAUCAACAAAAUUUAUAACCUAUAUCACCAUGCACUAGGAUAGCCUUAGCUAAUAUAGCAUAGUGGCUCUAGGAUCGUUCACUGGGAAGGGUUUUCAACUUAUAACUGAUACCAAUUCAAAGUUGAAUUGGUGUUUUUUCAUUUCAAGGUUAGCUUCAAAAGAAAACAUAAACUUUUGUUGAAAAAUGAUUUGUUUUAAGCUAACUAAAAAGAAAGUAAUGGGAAUUACUUAUGAAGAAAACGUUCCUUGGAGUUUUAGGAUCACUGGGAUCAGGCUCCUCAUGCAAAAACAGAGCUCCGGUCACUUGAAUCUUUUCCUCGCAUUAAAGAAUUAACAUGUAGUUAAUUCUCUAACCGGUGUUGUACAGAUGCUUCCCUUUUAUGGAUUUCAGCACUAAUUCCUUCUUACUGAUGCAUCUUGCAAUGGCUCGUGCCUCUCACCUAGCAUUUGUCAUUCAAGGUGAUCAUUAACCUUGGACUUCCUUUCUCAAGCUCGCAAGAGAUAACUAAUGGAUGUCUCCUUAGAGUCCAAAAGCUUACCAAGUGUUGGCAAUUCUAGAAAUCCUACCUUCAAGUCACCUCCCAAAGGCUCGUAAAAGGUAAACUAGCGCAUCUCCAUGGACGGAGAUCAUUUGCCUUACCAAGUGUUGGUCCAGGUGAAUUGAAGGCGUUUUAAGUUAACUAAAAACAUAGAAACCAUAAACGGGUCACACUUUCUCUUCAUUAACAGCUGAAACAACAAAACUACCAAUUCUUGCACUCGGGGCCUUACCCAGCUACCUUAGCUCCAAGAGACAAAAAAGUCUAGCCACUCAUUCUCUGAGGAAACAUCCUCAGAGCUUGUUUGACUAGUAAGAAAAAUACAAUCAAAGUGAGUAGGUAAGGCAGAGCAAAGCUCUGUAUUUUACUUCCUUCAAAACUAUACAAAAAGUUGUGUCUCUGAGAACAAGCUCCCGAGAUGUCUCUGUAAUGAAAAUUACAAACAAUAUAUAUAUGAGGUUAUUCACCCUUUGUGCUUACUUAAUAACUAAGGAAUCUUAUAAUUGGUGGAUUACAAGGAGAGAAUGGGGAUUUAGACAUCAAAUAUCUGAAGCAAAAAAUCUAAAAAUAUCGAUCGCAAAUAUCUGGAAGCACUCUGGAGGAUUUCGCAGGUGUGCAAGAUGGCUGUGAAAUUUUACAACCUGAAGGACACCAUUUCGCAGCCAAAGGCUGAUUUCCCAGCCAUCACCUUGUGAUUUCGUAGCCUGCGGAAUUGACCUUCAGCUUGGUGUGAUUUGCUUGCUCUAACUUCUUCAUUUCAACUCCGAAUCGCACAGCAUUUGAAGCGUUGGAUUGCUGACUUCUCGAGCUUCGAAACAACAUAUAGUAUGCAUAAAUUGAGCUCUAGGAAAUGCUCCAAAAGUGUCCAACAAUUGCUAUCCUCUUGAAUUCUUCAUGUUAGAUUUCUCUCUUUGCUUUCCCUCCUUGUAUUCAUGAUUUGCUUAUGGGAAAGGACUAUAAAGCUUCAAAGCUUAGGUUCUUCAUGUUAAUGAGCUUUCAAUUGCUUUGCCAUGGAUUCCAUAGAACUCUCCUCAAUCUUGGAUUGCUUUGGUGAUCAAAAUACUAUCAAAAACACCAAAACUUACACAAUUUGAUUAGAAAUGAUUGCAAAGGUACUUAAUAUGCUAAUUGAGUUAAAAGGUAAUAACUACUACUCAAAAGUGUUUAAAAGAGUUAAUUACAAGCUAUCAAAUAACACUUUUUGAGUAGUAAUCAAUUAUCCAUGCACUAUUAAUAACAGGUGUAAAAGUAUUUAAAAACUUACCACCAUGAUCUAUAGCGGCUACCAAUGCAGAGGCUUUCUCAGCAACAUUAGCCUUUAUUUUUAUUUCGGCAAUAGUUGCAGUCGAGGUUUUCUUGGAAUCCUUCUUCCGUUGAUCACGAUUAUUGUCAUUAAUAACAAAGUGGUGAUAGCCUAAACAUGAUCUAAAGGUCUAUGGUUCAAAUCCUCGGUUCCUCAUUGUUUUCAUGGUCAUACCAAGAGUCGUUGCUUUGAAAUUGUGGGAUAACCAGACUGGUGGGAUCAGUCUUAUUGCAGUGAGUGCAUUUGAAGGUUGACUUAUCAAUAUUAGGGCUUGUCUUAGGAUGGUUGAUCACUGUUGGACUACCAUAGCAACAAAAUAUCCAGGAUGUCAAUUCCAUGGAUCUGAUACCAUCUUCAAAUUGAUAAAUGGUAGUUUUUUCAAUUUUUUUUCAUUCGUUCAUGUACAAAUAUAUAGAGGGUAAUCACCAUUCUAAGAAUGGGAAAGAAUGAUACAAGAAAAGAAUGAUAUAAGGAAAUAACAACUAAUAUCCUAAUAUUUCAACUUUCCUAAUAUCUCAAUAUUCCUAAUAUCUCAACUUUCCUAAUAUCUAAACAUUCCUAAUAUCUAAACAUUCCUAAUAUCUCAACACUAACUAAUAUAAGGAAAGAAUGAUAUAAGGAAAGCAUUCCUAAUAUCUCAACAGUAUAUCCUCUAUGGCACCAUGUUUUUCCAUAAACACAUUGAUGAUGAAUAAGCUUUCAUAAAUUAGAUAGGGCAUGAGCUUUCCAUGUGGCACUAUUUUUUUUUUUUUUUUUUGUGGAAAAUAAUUUAGUAUUUUAAGCUUUACUAUAACCCAUAAAACUUUUCCUUCAUUUGGAAAAAAUGAAUCUGAAGCUACCCAGAAGCUGACCUGAAAAGACAUGUCUUAAUUGUUCUUUUAAUUAUUAAUUUUAUUGUGGGCAUGACCUAGGUUGAGAAAGGUCCAAUAAGGCUUAGAAAAUUCAUGGAAAGAUAUAUAUAUAUAUAUAUAGAAGUGAUAGGUCAAGUUCAUUCAUCCGCAUGAAAAGGACCAGGGUCGACUUCUUAAUGGUUCGUACUUACUAACGUAGAAAUUAGGGAAGAAAUCACGACAGGUGCUGCUACCUAGGAAAGGUAACACCAUUGCACUUGACUAUGAUCCUCUACCUCAUGUUCAUGUGAUGAUUAUGACGUAGGUGACAACUGUUUUAUCAGAUUGGAAGUAUAGAAUUCCAAGAAUAUUGAAGACAAAUCAAGCGCAAAUGAAGGCGAAGAUUAACAGAUGGAUUAUUACUCACAAAGGAAACUAAGGGUGAAUCUUCCCAGACAACGAUACAGAAAUGAGUGAUGGGUGCUGCAGUCCCUGUUUCAAGGCGGCUGUAUCGCCUACAAUUAAUCAAUCUCUACAAAAAGUGAUUAAAAAGUGAAUUUUUUUAACAAAAAAAAAGAGUUCUUUUUUCUUUUUUUUCUUUGAGGUCUUAACUCUAUAACACUCGAUCUAAUUAAAACUAACAUGGAAAGAAUCCAAGUAAAUAGAGAUGGAUGUUUAUCAAAUUAAUAGAGACAAUCCAGACAUCAAGAUUGGCAUGCCAAGCAACCAUCGAGAUGCUACCUUCCAAGCCCUAUAACACAAACUCAUUUAAGAUAGUUUGAUUUUCUGACAUUUAAAAAAAAAAAUUCAAUGAGGGAACAUUUGGGAGGACUUUACAAUUUUACAUUUCAGUAACUUGUUUUUCAUUGGAAUUGGAAAAUUCCUAGUCACCCUGUUGAGGCAGUUCUUCCAAUUCUAAUGCUUGAUCCCUUAAACCUACAUAACACAAUACUCUGUUGGACUAAGACUGAAAGCUUGACCAAGUCAAAAACUGCAGUGUUGUCCUCUUGAUGCCGUGUCUUGGACAACUUCCAGGAAAAACCUACAUUAGAGAAAUUUUAGUAUUUUUUUUAACUAGUGUAUAGAAGUUUUCCUUCCAUUUGUGAGAAAUGUCAAUGGAGACCCAUAUUUUCUUCUCCAUCUUUUGUGCUUGGAUUUGUCUCUUUCCAUUGGAGUUUUGUAUUGCAGCUGAUUCGUGCCCAAUUGGUGUAUCAGCUGAUUCAUGUCCAGUUGGUGCUCCUUGAUUGAGGGAGUAAUCAACAAAAUUUAUAACCUAUUACACCAUGAACUAGGGUAGCAAAGACAAAGCUACUAUAGCAUAGUGGCUCUAGGAUCGUUCACUGGGAAGGGUUUUCAAUUCAUAAAUGAUACCAAUUCAAAGUGAAUUGGUGCUUUUUCAUUUCAAGGUUAGCUUAAGAAAUAAAACACAAACUUUGAUUGAAAAAGGUUUAGGUUUAAACUAACGGCAAAGGAAGUAAUGGAAAUUACUUAUGAAGAAAAACAUUCCUUGGAGGUUUAGGUUCACAGGGGAGGUUUCUCAUGCAAAAACAGAACUCCGGUCAUUUGGUUCAUUUCCUCUCAUUAGAGAAUUAACAUAUAGUCAAUUCUCUAAUCGGUGUUGUACAGAUGUAUCCUUUAAAUGGAUUUCAGCUCUAAUUCCCUCUCACUGAUGCAACUUGCAAUGGCUUGUGCCUCUCACUUAGCAUUUGCCAUUCAAGGUGAUCUUUAACUUUGGACUUCCCUUCUCAAGCUCGCAAGAGAUAACUAAUGGAUGUCUCCUUGGAGUCCAAAAGCUUACCAAGUGUUUUGGCAAUUCUAGAAAAUCCUACCUUCAAGUCACUUCCCAAAAGCUCACAAGAGGUAAACUAGUGCAUCUCCAUGGACGGAGAUCACUUGCCUUACCAAGUGUUGGCUCAAGUGAAUUGAAGGUGUUUUAAGUUAACUAAAAACAUAAAAAUCAUUAAAGGAUCACACUUUCUCUUCAAUAAUGGCUGAAACCACAAAGCUACUAAUUCUUGCACUUGGAACCUUUCCCAGCAACCUUAACUCUAAGGAACUAAAAGUCUAGCCACUUAUUCUCUGAGGAAACAUCCUCAGAGCUUGUUUGGCUAGUAAGAAAAUACAAUCAAAAUGAGAAGGUAAAGCAGAGCAAAGCUCUGUAUUUUUCUUCCUUUGAAAACUAUACAAAAGAUGCGUCCUCCCCUAUUUGAUCGAUAUAUGAUCGAUAUCUUAUGUAAAGGAAAUUACAAACUAUAUAUAAGAGGUUAUUCACCCUUUGUUCUUACUUAAUAACUAAGGAAUCCUAUAAUUGGUGGGUUACAAGGAGAGUUUGGGGAUUUAGACAUCAAAUAUCUAAAGCAAAAUAUCUCAAAAUGUCAGUUGGACAUAUCGGGAAGCUUCAAGAGAACACCGCGGCACUAUGCAGAAAAAUAUCUCAAAAUGUCGAUCGGACAUAUCAGGAAGCUUCAGGAGAACAUCGUGGCACUGUGCAAAAUGGUUGCGAAACUCUCCGGGUAAGCGCUAUCAGAGGAUUCGGAUAUGUCUGACCGGGGAAGUUGAAACGCCCUCCUCUCUCAUCCGGUGUCAACCGCCGGAUGUGAAACAUUCGGAUGGAAUGUCGGCGGAGAAGAAUUUCGGAUGUGAGACAUCCGGGUGGAAUGUCGGCGGAGCAGAAUUCCGGAUGUGAUACAUCCGGGUGGAAUGGCAGCGCGCUCCCCUAUCCGGACUCCCUUAGGGAGAAGCACACGGCACUCGCGAUCAUUACACCCUGGACGAUAGCAUAUCCUAUCAGGAUAUGUGGUCCGUAUCAUUGGCUAAAGUGCACAAGCCUUGCUACGUCAUUCCGAUAGCCUGCCACAGCUCACAUUCUGCCGCCCUCUGAUAGUGUGUCCGGACGCCCUGUCCGGACAUCUUUUGCCAUGGAUUUCAAAGAACUCUCCUCAAUCUCGGAUUGCUUUGGUGAUAAAAAAGCUAUCAAAACACCAAAACUUAACACAAUUUGAUUAGAAUUGAUUGCAAGGGUCCUUAAUAUGUUAAUUGGGUUAAAAUGUGAUAACUACUACUCAAAAGUGUUUAAAAGAGUUAAUUACAAGCUAUGAAAUAGCACUUUCUGAGUAGUAAUCAGCAGCUGAUUCCAUAAGGAUGGACGAAUCCAUAAGCCAUGGUGAGACUUUAGUUUCCUCAGGCCAAAGUUUUGAACUAGGCUUCUUCUCUUCUAGAAGCUCCAAAAACAGGUACUUGGGAAUAUGGUACAAGAAUACACCCCAAACAGUUGUAUGGGUUGCAAACAGAAACAACCCAAUUGUAGAUUCUUACGGAGUUUUAACCAUCAUCAACAAUGGCACACUUGUUCUUCUCAACCAGUCAAAGAGUGUAAUCUGGUCUCCCAAUUUGUCAAGGGUACUUGAAAAUCCAGUUGCACGGCUCCUAGAGACUGGAAAUCUUGUUCUCAGGGAUAAUAGUAAUGAAAGUUCUGAAAGCUAUAUAUGGCAGAACUUUGAUGAUCCAUCAGACACAAUGUUGCCAGGCAUGAAGGUGGGAUGGAACUUAAAGACUGGUCUACAACAAAAAUUGACAUCAGGGAGAAGUGCUGAUGACCCAUCCAUUGGAGACUUCUCUUACAGAAUUGAUAUUAAUGUGCUGCCUUACAUGGUUCUUGGUGUGGGAUCAAGCAAAAAAGUCCGUUUCGGGCCGUGGAAUGGACUUGAAUUCAAUGGUGUUCUUGUGUUGGACUACUUGGUUUACAAAGAAGUUUUUGUUAACAACGACGAUGAGGUAUAUACCCUCUGUGAGUCUAACAACAAUAAGAUCAUUUCAAGACUAACAUUGAACCAUUUAGGUUUCCUCCAGCGUCUGAUAUAAAAAAAAGGAAGCUCUGAAUGGGAUGAAUUGUACUCAAUUCCCAGUGAACUUUGUGAAAAUUAUGGCCAUUGUGGUGCUAAUGAUAUCUGUAGAAUUGGCAAGACGCGGAUUUGUGAGUGUUUGCCAGGUUUCACACCAAAUUCACAAAAAAGGGACAUGUUUAAUACAUCAAGCGGAUGCACACGAAGAAGGCAUUUGGAUUGCCAAAGUGAAGAGGGAUUUGUAAAGGUUACAGGGGUGAAAUUGCCCGACUUGAUAGAUUCUCAUGUGAUUAAUAGUGUGAGCCUUAGGGAGUGUGAGGUGUUGUGCUUGAGCGACUGUUCUUGUACAACAUAUGCCUAAUCAAAUGCAUAUGCUUACUCAAAUCCUAAUGGAAACAAUGGCUGUUUGAUGUGGUCUGGGGACCUGAUUGAUAUCAGAGAGUUAACUUCAGAAAAACAUGCGGAGGACAUCUAUAUCCGCAUGCACACUUCAGAGCUAGGUAAGACACUUGAUUUUCUGUAAAUCACUUUUUGAUUGUAAGCUAUUGGGGUUGUCUCCAAUAGCCUAAGCCCUAAGUUAUCCUGGUAAAUUAAGAUGCAGAAUUACUUAUUUUCCAAAAUCAGAGAUUCAAUUUGACAAGAAUAUUAUAAUCUAGUUAAAACUAAGACCCUAUAUUAUAUUCCAGAAGAACCAUAGCUGUUAGGAUUCAAGUUAAUUAAUGAUGAACUGACUUGUAAUAAUCCUAACAAACAGAAAGCAAAUAUCCAAUUCAUUUUCCGAAGAAACAGGAAAAUCUGAAGAAAUGGACAAAGCCUACUUCUGAAAGUACUAAUGAACAAAAGGAUUUAUAUGAAAAGUGGGAGCGCUCUAAUCGCAUGAGUCUAAUGAUUAUGAAAGGUUCAAUCACUCCUGCAAUUCAUGGAGCAAUCCCGAAUUCAGAUAAUGCAAUGAGCUAUAUUAAAUAAGUUGAAGAACAAUUCUUAGGAACUUCCAAGUCCUUGGCAAAGUACUCUUAUGAUCAAAAUGAUAACAAUGAAAUAUGAUGGUCAUAGUGGUGUACGUGAGCACAUCAUGAAGAUGAGUGACAUGACUUCUCAAUUAAAAGGAAUGAACAUGGCAAUUUUUGAAGGUUUUCUUGUUCACUUCAUAAUGACUUCCUUUCCUUCACAAUUUGGUCCUUUCAAAAUUAAUUAUAAUACUCAGAAGGAUAAGUGGAAAAUGAAUGAACUAAUUACCAUGUGUGUUCAAGAAAAAGAGAGGCUUAAAAUGGAAAAGCCCGAUAUGGCUCACUUCACUAUUGGUCCAAAUAAAAAAUCCUUCAAGAAAGGUAAAGGUAAGAAAAAGAAGCAAGGUAAUGAUGUAUCUCAUAAUGGGAAAAAGGACGAAAAUAAGAUACAAUGUCAUUUUUGCCACAAGAAAGGUCACAAAAGAAGAUAUUGUUUUGGCUUUAAGGCUUGGUUGGAAAAGAAAGGCAAAACUCAAUGCUUAGUGUCUUAUGAAUCUUAUUUAGUUUAUAUACCACCAAACUCUUGGUGGAUUGACACUAGUGCAAGGAUUCACAUAAUGAAUUCAUUGUAGGGAUACCUUACAAGCAAUAGACUAAGUAAAGGAGAGUGAACCAUUACUUUGGGAAAUGGAACGGAAGUGGAAAUUGAGGCUAUUGGCACUCUUCGUUUAAUUUUGGAUACUGGUUUCAUUAUGGAUUUAGUAGAUACAGUUUAUGUUCCUGUUUUUACUAGAAACCUAAUUUCAGUUCCAAGACUUGAUUCUUAUGGUUAUGAAUUAAAGUUUGGAAAUAAUGGAGUUUCCUUGUUCUAUAAUUCUUGUUUGGUUGUCUCUGGCACUUUACAUGGUAAUCUUUAUUCAUUGAAUUUAGAUUGCAAAUAUUCACAGUCUCUUUUAUCUUAUCAUGUGUAUGAAUCUCUAAAAAACGAAAUCGAGUGAAUGAAAAUUCAUCCAUAUUAUGGCAUAAGCGAUUGGGUCACAUUUCAAGAGAAAGGAUGGAACGUCUUAUUAAAGAUGAAAUUUUGACUUCACUUGAUUUUUAUAAUUUUACUAGUUGUGUUGAAUGCAUAAAGGGAAAAAUACACUAAGGUUAAGGAAAAGGGUGCCUCAAGGGUCACUGAAUUGUUAGAAUGUAUUCAUUCUGACAUUUGGGGACCUUAUUCAAUUCCAACUAUCAAUGGACAUAAGUACUUUAUUUGUUUUAUUGAUGACUUUUCAAGGUAUUCUUAUGUGUAUCUUAUUUGUGAAAAAUCUGAAGCAUUAGAUGUUUUUAAGAUUUAUAAAGCUAUGAUUGAAAAUCAACUCAAUCGGUGAAUUAAAAGUGUAAGAUCUGAUAGAGGUGGUGAAUAUUAUGGUAAGUUCACUGAAUCAGGUCAACAUCUUAGUACUUUUGCCUUAUUUUUAAGAGAGCAUGGUAUCAUUGCAAACUACACAAUGCUUGGAACACCAGAGCAAAAUGGUGUAGUAAAGCGACAGAAUCGUACUCUAAUUGACAUAGUGAGAAGUAUGAUGAGUAACUCAACCUUGCCUGAAUUGUUGUGGGGUGAAACAUUGAAAACUACUGUUCACAUUCUCAAUCGUGUUACUAGUAAGGUUGUACCUAAAACUCCUUAUGAGUUAUGGGUGGGUAGGAAACCAACUUUGAAUUAUUUACAUGUAUGGGGAUGUCCAGCUGAAGCUAAAUUUUUUAACCCACAAAUAAAGAAAUUAGAUUUUAAAACCAUAAGUUAAAAUUUCAUUGGCUAUCCUGAAAGAUCAAAAUGUUUUAGAUUUUAUUGUCAUGGCCAAUGCCCUAAAAUUGUUGAAACUAGACAUGCUGUGUUUUUGGAAAAUGAAUAUUUUAGUGGGAGAACUGAGCUUAAAAAGUUAACCUCUAAUGAAGUAUCAACACCAAUGAUGGAAUAUGGUGUGACUCAAGGGGUUUCUUGUAAUGAAAAUGAGAAUGUCCCAACUACUAAAGUAAUUUUACGUAGAUCACAAAGAGAGAAAAGACCUGCUAUAUCAAAUGACUACGAGGUUUAUCUUAAUGAGUGUGAUUAUGAUGUUGGCUUGGAAAGUGAUCCUACUUCUUAUGAUCAAGCCAUCAAUAGUGAAAAUUCAACUCUAUGGCUUUAUGCUAUGGAAGAAGAGUUGAAAUCAAUGAAAGAUAAUGAAGUUUGGGAUCUUGUAGAAUUGCCCAAAGGAAUUAAAACUAUUGGUUGAAAAUGGAUUUUUAAAACCAAAUAUGAUUCUAAGGGCAAUGUCGAAAGAUACAAGGCCAGGUUAGUUGCAAAAGGAUACACUAAAAAAGAAGGAAUCGACUACAAGUAAACAUUUUCUCCCAUUUCCAAGAAAGAUUCCUUAAGAAUAGUCAUGGCUUUAGUAGCUCAUUUUGACUUAGAGUGACAUCAAAUGGACAUUAAAACUGCCUUUUUGAAUGGUGACUUGCAUGAAGAGGUUUAUAUGGAUUAACCUGAGGGUUUUCAGGAUAAAGGCAAGGAACAUAUGGUAUGUAAACUUAAAAAGUCCAUAUAUGGUCUAAAACAGGCUUCUAGACAAUGGUAUCUUAAGUUCCAUGAAAUUCUCAUCACUUUUGGUUUCAAAGAGAAUCUAGUGGAUUAAUGUAUAUGCCUUAAGAUCAGUGAGAGCAAAAUUUGUAUUAUUGUAUUGUAUGUUGAUGAUAUGUUGCUUGCUAGCAACAAUAUGGGAAUGAUUUUUGAGACCAAACAAUUUUUAUCUAAGAAUUUUGAUAUGAAAGAUCUUGGUGAAGCAUCCUAUGUGAUAGGAAUUGAAAUUCAUCGAGAUAGGUCACGUGGAUUAUUAGGAUUAUCCCAAAAGAACUAUAUUGAAAAAGUUCUUAAAAGAUUCAAUAUGCAAAAUUGUUCUAGCAAUGUUGCUCUUGUUGUGAAAGGGGACAUAUUUUGUGAACUUCAAUGUCCUAAAAAUGAUCUUGAAAAGAAACAAAUGGACAAAAUUCCUUAUGCUUCUGCAGUAGGGAGUAUCAUGUAUGCUUAAGUAUGCACUCGACCAGAGAUAACUUAUGUGGUAGGCAUGCUUGGUCGAUACCAAAGUAAUCCAAGUAUUGAUCAUUGGAAAGUAGUUAAGAAAGUAUUACGUUAUUUACAAGGGACUAAGGACUACAUGCUUACAUGCAGAAUAACAGAUAAUCUAGAAAUUAUUGGUUAUUCUAAUUCUGAUUAUGUUGGCUAUAAGGAUACCAGAAAAUCUACAUCUGGGUAUAUUUUUAUGUUAUCAAAUGUACCUAUUUUAUGGAAGAGCCAUAAGCAAUCAUUGAUAGCUUCUUCUACAAUGGAGGCAGAAUAAGUAGCAUGUUAUGAAGCCACAUGUCAUGCAAUAUGGUUGAGAAACUUUGUAUCAGGGCUUCAUGUUAUUGAUUCGAUAAUGAGACCAUUGAGAAUAUAUAGUGAUAAUAGUGUUGUUGUUCGAUUCUCUAAAAAUAAUAAGACUACAGGAGGAUCAAAGCACAUUGAUAUUAAGUAUUUGGUUGUAAGGGAGAAAGUUCAAAAUGGAGUUGUCUCUAUUGAACAUAUUGAAAAUACACUCAUGUUGGUAGAUUCAUUGACAAAAGGUCUUCCACCUAAGCUUUUUAUGGAUUAUGUUGCGCACAUGGGCUUGGUGGCAAGUUUGUCAAUUUUAGAUUGAUUAAGAGUGUAAUGUAUGUGAUCACAUUAUAAUGAGAAUAAAGUUCUUGAUUAUGAUAUAUUGAUGAUUAUUAUGUUACUUUUAUACAUCAUUUUUGUGCACAAUCUAGAUGUUUAAAAGUUGAUGGGACCAUUAUGUGAAUGAAUUAGUAUUAUCACCUUAAUGUUGCUAAUGUCAUAAAAUUCAUUGAUUCAUGUUAAUGGAGGUGCUAGUACUAUAAUCCUUGAAGAAUAUUGGAUCAUUGUGUGAUCCAAUCAUUUCAAUGAUUUUGUGUUAGUGGUUCUAUGAAACAUAAUCUUAAUGUAAAGGAUGCCUAUUUUGAGAAAUUGUUAUGGCCAUAUUAUGUUUUAAUCUAUUCACUACUACAAAAAAACAAAACAAGGACGCUCUUAUCCUUGGCGUUUUUGAAAAAACGUCAUUAUUUAGUUAGAUAUACUAAAAUGUUGACGCUUGUUUACUACGACGCCUCUAUAAGCGUCAUUGAACUGUAAAAGUUUAAAGACGUUGGCGCUUAUUUUAAGCAUCAUUGUAUACACAUUUCAAUAGGCGUCCUUGGCGCUAAAAAGCGUCAUUUUCUUUCUUACAUAGUAUGUAAUAUAUUUCCCAUUACCUCCAUAUAAUUCGCUGCACCUGUCAAAAGACAAAUUUAGCACCCCGACAAGCCUUAGAAGACCAGUUGUGAGUAUCGAAACCCUUCGAAGACCUAAACCCUCAGAGCAUAAAAAACCCUAAGCCUUCACUCUCGUUGAAAACCCUAGGCUUUCACUCUCGUUGAAAACCCUAAGCUUUCUCUCUCUCUAUUGAAAAACCUUAACCUUUGGAAGAGUACUAUAUUCAGACUCUAAUCUACAACUAUUCUUAACUAGCUUGUUGGUAAUGGAAUCUCAUAGAUUUGAGUGGCAACGAAAUCAAAAGUGAGGUGGGAGACAAUAUUGGGGUGAUAUAUCACAUUGUGAAACAACGACGUGUAGUUGGUGAGUAGCCGAGUUGUUUGGGGGUUUUCAUUUUCAAGAUCCUACUCCGAUCUCCUCUGUGAAGCAACCAGAAAAUGUGAAGGUUUCUGUUCUUAGACCAACUCGAAUAUGAUCUACAUCUGGUUAGGAAGAUUUAUUUUGGGGGUCAAUGUAUGUAGUUCGAAUCAAAGGACCAUCCAGAUAGAGGAGUCCAUGGGUUGGAAGAAAAUGAAGCUUUAUGGAGAUGAUGGUCACUGGAGGUAGCAUAGGCAUGGAAAUUAGAAAUCUUAUUGUGGAAGGUAAAAUUUUUUAGCAAAAGUGAAAAUUUUUAAUUGGAAAGAUUUCAGAAAUUGGGACUCCGUGGAUUGUGAAUUUGUGACUUGAAGGGUUGGCUGUUUAAUAUGAGUUUUUGCAUUUUUGUGGAAACAAAGCUGCAAAUUUUCAUAUUUUUAUGGAUGAAUAAUCCUCUGCAUGUAUAAGAUCCUUGUAGGAUUUGAAAAUGUAUCAAAUUUCUGUCAUCACUAUAGUGGCAAUUCCUACUUGUAUCAUGAUUCUUGACUUGAAUUCCUAAGUUUCCAACUUAGUUGGAGGUGUGGCAGUUCUAUUGCUGAUUUAUCUUCUAUGUCAUUAAGUAAAAGGGAUGUUUGGUAAGUCUUGUAUGGUAUACGAUGGAGCAUUUUUUAUUGGUAAAUUCACAUGUUGUUUUUCCCAUUGAACUGCUGUUUUUCUUUCUUUAUUUUUUUAAAGCUAAUUUUGGUUGUAAUUUUGUGCAUAGUAUUUAGAACAGAGCCUCCUUGAGAGUUAUUCAUCUAGUUGAAGGCUUCCCUUUGUGGUAUUGCUACUUUAUGCUUGCUAGAAAUAUUUAAUCAUCAAUUAACUAUCUUGUGUUUAUCUCAAAAUAUGAUGGGCAGUUUGCUAUGAGGGAUUUUAUCUGCAUUACUAGUUGAUAAUCACACUUUGGAAGGUGAAAAGACCUUCAUUUAAUAGAGGAUCAUAUUUUUGAUCGGAUACCGAAUUUUGUUUACCACUUUGUCAGGCUAUGCACUUCAAUUUGGCAUUGGGUUAUCAUUUCUAAUUCAAAUUCCAUUCCAAUUGUUACCAUUUCCGAAUAGUGCAUAGCAAUGACACACAACGUUUGGAAAUUUCAAAAUCUUAUGUACAGGAUGCCAUGAAUUUAAACAAUGUACUAAUAUUUAUUAUGUAUUACCUAUCUUUCCGCCCUUGGAUUCAUGUUGUGGUUGUUCAAAAAUACCCCAUUAUGAUUCAAUUCAUACUGUGCAACAUGAAAGAAUAAUGAAACUUGAAGCUUCUGCCAAGGCAGGACAUGGAUCCUUUCUACUCUUGAUAGCCAGUUAUAAUAUUUGAAUCUAUAUUCUGUUAUUUAUAGUCAUUGGCAUUGGUGUUUAGUCCCUUGACUUCUAUAGUAGUCCAUGGUGACAUGAUGAAAAAGGAAAUGGAGGCAAGUGCUCUGCUGGGGUCCAUGGCUUUGCAGUGAAGCUUAAUGUGGUAAUACCAUUCAGAUCAAGAUUUUGUUUUCUAGUUUUCUUUCGUACUUCGUUUUACUGGGGUUAUGUGUUCACAUCCACUGUUGACAAUUUGGAGAAAUUUAUGAGGUUAUGCAUUUUAGACUACAUUUGAACAUAUGAAUUUCAAUAUUUUCAUCUGGGAAGUUAUUUUCCUUAGUCUCCAGUCUCCACUGUAGUUUCCAAUAAGAUGUUUUAUAUUUUGUGGUUUAUGGAUUAUUGCACUUGGAAAUAUUUUUUGCUUCUUGGAACCUAUCCACAUUGUAGUAGUUUUGGGUAGAUGAUUAUAUUAUGUGUUUGAUAUACUUCCUGUUUUUUGUUUCUAAAGAUAUAAGACAUAAGGUAAAUCCAUACUUUUCAUAUAAAAAUUAUGAUAUUUCAUGUUAAAGUUACUACAAUUUUUUAUUUAUUUUUAAAGAUAGAAGCUUACAUGUUAUCCUUGUAAUGUUGUUACUAUUUUUCAGUUUUAAUCUCUAGUAGUGUUUUUCUUGCUAUUUUGUAGUCUUACCAUUUGAUUUUUUUUUGCUCAAAAUCUCUCCAAAUUUCUUCUUGGUUGACUGAAAAACAUGAUGAGCCUAUGUUUUGCAACGAAUUUCCAUCUAUGGUCACUAUUUUCCUCACCUCCCUUGAAUCCAUUUCAGAAGUUUGUGCAUGUCCAUGGAAGAUUCCACAAAGACCCUUGAAAUUAAAUGUGAAUUUUUUUUAAUUUUUAAAAAAUAAAAGGUACAAAAAAAAUUUCCUUAUUGACUAAACAAGAAGAAAAUUAGCAUAACACACUUAAAAAUCUUCUUUGUCAUCCAUAUGUAGAGAUGUAAGAGAAAUUCAAGUGUUAUAAUAUCAUUAUUGGAAGUGAUUACAUCAGUUAAGAAAAAAAAAAAAAGAUGGAAGGAGCAGCAUUGGGUCAAAGGCUUACAAUAAGAAGAAAGCAUGAGCCUAUCUGUUAAGCAUUGGUAAGAUUUGUGUUGGGCCACUUGAAAGCUAAUGUUUGAGAUAAAAAAAACCUAUAGGUAUAGAGCUGAUUGGAAGGGAUUCACUUAUUAAUGUCAUUCAAAAUAUGAUUCUCUUUCUUGUGUUUAUCUAUUCUAAGCAGAAGAUUUUCUAGCAUUAAACUUUGCUCUGUGACAAAAGAAUGCCAUUCAACCAUACUAAUUAAACUAUCUUGAAAUUAGGAAUUUGUUAUUUAUAUAAAAACUGAAACAAUUGUUCUUUGAAUUAGGUGGCAAGAAAAAAAAAACACAAUUGUAAUGCUUUCUUAAAGAGGAAAACAUAAGCUAGGUGUUCCAGAAUGUGACAAAAAUCACAAGGUAAAAUUCCCAUUUCAAUGUUGAUUCCCAACACCUAAAAAAAUGCAUAAAACAGGAAACAUAAUGGAAUUCUUUCUAAUUUUCUUUUACUUGUUCUUUAUCUAGUCUCUUAUGGAUGGAUUUCUUUAGAUAUAUGAGAUUUGGGAUUAAGAGAUAGGUUGGAGCCCUAUUUAAGUUUCAGUUUUUUGAGAAACUAUCACAAUUUGGAGAUCUACAACCAUUUUGUCCUUACAUUUUUCUUGUUAAACAUUGCAAUAAUCUAUUUUGAAUUUUGCCAAAAGACCUAUAAUUGAUGUGAAUGUUUAUUAGAAUAUGUGUGGUGUUGUUGAGAUUGCUUCUAUUCUCUUUAUAUAUAUAAAAAAAUAAUUGGUAUUUUUUCUAUGGUGGUGAAGAAGCAUAAGAAUAAGGGGCUUGAAUCACUUGUAUCCUAUAAUAAAUAGUUUGGACUAAAUGAAGAAAAAUUCUGGUAUUUGACCCAUAGCCUCAUGCUGGUAUUUGACCUUUAGGAAAACACUUCAAUGAAUCCCAUUUAUCAAGCCCAAGAUGCAGAUAAAAAUUCUGGUAUUUGACCCAUAGCCUCAUGAUUCCAAUGCAUGGACCAUGCUCUAAUUAAACAUUUAUUGCCUUUGCCUCCUGUAGGUCUCAAGGUGUAUUAGGUUUUCUACUCCUUCAGUGGAGCUUAUGAAGUUCUAAGACUGCUGCAGAAGGCUUGAUCUCGAAUUCAGGUGAUGCACUCCCACUUCUCCAAUGUUAAUGAAGAUUAUAUCUAAAGUAUAAUAUAUGUGAGUGACCUUAUUAGUAUAUAUAGAUGGAAUCUUGUGAUGUGUUACCUUAUUGGUAGUGCUGAUUUUUCUAAUAGUAAACAAUGGUUGAUAUAGUUAUUUAAGAAUUUUGAUUUUCAAUCCUACUUGAUUUCUAGAAGGAAAUAGAAAUGUUAGAGCAAAGCUAGCAAGUUCAUCAUAAUCUUUAGAUCAUUCUUGCGAACACCAAUGCAAAGAGGCUUUUUGGAUUUUAUUUUAUAGAUCAUAUCCACCAACUUGUCUGUUUCCAAAGUACUAUAAUGAAAUGAAUUCUAAUAAGCCAUAGCAAAGGGUUAAAACUUAAUUGGGAAAUCAUAUUAUUUAAUUUAGAUAUGCUCAUUGAAAUUUUGGCUUAUUGUCAUAUGAUGAACUUCUCUACUGGCCUUAAUGAGCAUCCAAGUUCAAGUCAAUCUUCAAACCUUCUAGGUGCAACUUUUGUAACUUUUUGUGAUUAGUUUUUUCAUAUAUAAAUUAAAAAUGAAAUUCCCUAUCAUUCUUCCUUCUCCUAUUUUAUCCGAUGAGCUACACAAGCACUACCUAUUCUUUUUCUCUGAAUAAACACUACAUAUCCUAAAUUUCAUUAGGAAUUCUCUUGAAUCUUCCUGUUUUAGAAUUUUUGAUCCAAUGACCUAUACUUUCUACCCUACUCAAAAGGUCUUAGGCUCUCUUGCUACUAUUGUGGGUGAUUCUGAAAAGGAAGGGAAAUCGAAUCCAACUUAACUAUUUCUAUCUAAAAUGCAUCUCAUCCAAAACCAAUAACAGGAAAUCUCACCUAGUUGUUUACUUUGUUGCAUUUUAUGUUAGAUGCCAUUAAUGUAAUUUUUCUUGCUUAUAAAAAAAAAAAAAUUGCAAGCCACCCACCUCUCUCAAAUUCUUUAUUUCUAUAAUUGAUAUACUCCUUCACAACUAGGGCAUCAUCAAGAAUUUUUUCUACCUUCUCAAACAUUAUUCUGAGAUUCUAAGAUCAUCUCAUCAAUGACCCUUUUUAGCCUUUGAACAAUUUUGCCAUGAGUUUAUAAUGACCCCUUACCAAACUAUAUAUAUAUAUAUCAACAAAUUUUUAUGCUUAGAUUUAGUUCACAGAAAAUUUGAACCAAGUAUAAGGAGAAAAAAAACAUGAAAAUGAAAAUAAACAAAAAAAGAAAAAUAUAAUAAAAAUUUAAAUUAAAUUCUUAUUUUUCUACCACAAUCCUCCAAUUUUCUUCCUCUAAAAUUGUAUAAAUUCUCAAAAAAAAAAAAUUCUAUUUCAUUAAUUUUUCUUUAUAUCUUUGAAACCAACUAAACAGAAAAUCAAAUUGCCUUUGUGUUAUUUAUUCUCUUUUUCUUACUAUUUCUCAAGUUUCAUAUAAAAUCUCACAAAAACUAUUUAUUUAUUUAUUUAAAAUUAAGUUUUUUCCUAAAUAACCAAGUAAUUAUCCAACUAGGAGUCAUACUUUUCAUCACUUUCCCAACCAAGUAAGUGCCCAACUAGCUCAUUUGCAUUAACCUAAUAACUAUAAAUCGCAUUUACUUAAUUGGCCAAUCUUCUUUAAAGCUUUAAAUGUGUCUGGAUCCUUACAUUGUACUAAUCCAAAUCCUUUCUUAAAGCUUUCAUUCUUCAAACUUGUACUCUUAUGAGGUUCUUUAAGAGUUAUUGAGAAUAAUUUGCUCCUUGUUUCAACUUCUCUAAUCUCUAACACCAUUUUUUCUCAUUCCAAAUAUUAAGGUUGGUAAAAUCUAACUCCAAAUAAAAAGUAAGUUCUAUUGCCUUAGUUAUAAUAAUUUCAUAGUUAUAAUAUUAAGUAUGAUUAAACCCAACUUAAUGUUCAUAGCUAAUUGCUUUUCUUUCAAAUUUUAAAGUCAAAACUUGAGAUGUUUUUUUCUGAACAUCAUCAUGCUUGUGAAGAAGUUGAUUCAUUGUUGCUUUCAUAGUAUAAUAAAGGGUCACCAUUCUCAACCCAACUACCUUCUCCUUUUUCCUUGCUAAUUUUGCUUAGGUAAAUUUUCAUCUUGUUGAAUAUUUAUUUUGGGUUAGUUAAUGUUUAUGUCAUGUUUCAUUUAUCCUCUUAUUGUUUUGGGGUAUUAUGAUUUGUCACUUUUAAAUUUUGAUGUUAUAUCAUAUUUGGAAAUAUAUUACUCGUAAAGAAUUUUUUUUUUUUUUUACUAAUGAAGAAUUCAAAUUAAAUUUCCCUUAACUUUAACAAAUUGAUGUUUCUCUCUAUUUCUUAAUUUGGGGUUGCAACAAUUAUUUGGCUUGUUUUAAUGAUGUAGGAGAUGAAUGGGCCUUAAAGAUUCAAAAUACUAACUUAAAUUGUACCAACAGUAAUUUUGGCUUAGGAAUUUGACAGUGUUGGUGAUUGAUUUUCCAUGUUUUCUUUCUAUCUUGAAUUGUAAUUUUAGUUGAAUGUUAAUAGAAAUAUUAGACACCGUCACAACAUCUUAUCUCUCUUCUUCAUGUUUUCAUUUAUUAAUCAUAAUUUUUCUUUUUUAAUAUAUUUAUCUAUCUAUUUAUAGAUCACUCUCCUUUUCCUAGCUUGGAAGAGAGAGAGAGAAAGAAAUAGUGAAAGAUAGAAAGGGAUAGAGUGUUCUACUCUACCAUCUAAGUAUGUGAUGAAAAAUGAGUACAAUUGAACUCUUGUUACUAUUUUUAUUAUUUUUGAAAUUUCUACGGCUAUUCUCCUCGGAUUGAUUUAAUUCUAUUGCUCCUAAUUUACCAUCCCUCAAGGCUGAAUCACAGCCUAAAUCACAAUUUUUUUAUUUAUUUAAUUUCUCCUUAGAUCUAGAAUAAAUUUAUUAAAAUUGCAUGACUUCUCUAUCAUUUAUUUCAUAAAAACAUUCAACUACUUCUUGAACUUUUAGGUUGAAUAUAUAUUUCGUUAAUAUUUAGUAUUGUGAUUGGGUUUCUUAAUUAUUUUCAUUAUGUCAGUUGUAUUUUCCUUAUUGACUAUUAUAUUACAUAGUGUAGUUAGCUUAUUAAAAUUUAAAUGAGUCUAAAUCUCUUAAGCUGUUAUAACAUCAUAAUAGUAGUUGCUCCUCCAUUGCAUAUUAGUAGCCUCUAUAUAGAAGAGGUGCAUGUUAAGGUUUGACUUCUUAGUAUCCCUUGUUCUUGUUUUAUUUUUUGUAUUAAAUGUUAAUCAAAUUAUUGCCAAAAGUUACUCUAGAUGGCUUAUUAUUGACCACAACUAAUACCGGUAGGGAAAUACAAAAGUUUGACUAUUCUAUAGAUGGGUUCAUAAAUUUGUGUUCUCCUCAACAUGUUUGUAUUUUUCUAUCUUUUCUAAAAUAUUUGUUUAUAAUAUUAAUAAACAAGAGAUCCAACUUUCAAUAUUUUUCAAUAAUAUAUCUUCAUAUUGUUCAGUGCAAUUAGUUGCACUAAUUAGACAAAGUGGUCUUCUAUCAAGGAUAUAGAAAAAGAAUAAAAGAAAAAAAAAACAAGGCUAUCAUUCUAUAUGAGAACAAGAGUAGGAGGUAAUGAUUGUGACAACUAGGAGUAAGGGGUUAACUACUAAUAAGAUAGAAUUCUAUUUGUACUAUAACUUUAUAAUUUAAUUAUUUACUUUUAUAAUUAGAUAAAAUUUUGAUCAUAACAUAGUGAUAACAUGAUGGUUUUCAUCGUGUUUGGACCUUGAUAUUUUUUUUUUAUUGUGCAUUAUAAGACUUAUUCUUGUAUUCAAGAAUGCUUUAAGAGGUCACCAUUAAAUGUCCAUACAGAGCAACCCUAACUCAUAUAUACACUUUAUAAUAAGCAUUUAAUGCAUAUUUAUUCACUUAGAGUCUAUGAGUUUAUUAAAGAUUUAAUUUAACUGUUAAUUUAUACUAAAAAUACAAUAUUUUAUCUCAUAAAAACAAAAUUUAUUUCUUCUAUGUUGUUGAAUAAAAAAUUGAAGUACAUUUUUUUCCUUAUUUUGGGGAAAGCAUAAUAUGUUAGUUGAAAUUGUAGUUAAGGUAUUUUGUUGAUAGAGUACGAAUUUAUUUAUUUAGCUUCAACUCAUUGGUCUCCUUAAUGAAAUAUUUGUAUGUCUAGUUUUACUUUGAUGAAUUCUUUAUGAGGUCUUUUUCAAAGUAAUGCUCUAAAGGUGCAACAUAGAGAUGACAAUAGAGAGCUUUUUAUCUACAUUAGAAUAAUUUGUUAUAUUUUAUUUCGAAAACACUUCAUAAUAUAAUUUUUUUUCUUAUAAUGAAUUGAAAGGAGCACAAUCCAUGUAUCUAAGAGGCUAAUUCAUGUAAGCAAACUUGAUAACCUAAAUUAAUUUUGUGAAAGUUAUACUUUCAUUUAUGCUUAUUAUUUAUUGUAUGUAUAUAUAAUUUAGAUGUUUUCUACUCUUCCUUAUAUUUAUUUACAGGUUACAAAGGAAGUUUGCUAAAAGAAGAGAAGCCAUUAUGCUAAAGAAGGCGAAGUCAAAAACCAUGAAGAUUACAUCAGUGAACUCAUUAGGAGGUUGAACUAAGCUUUUAAAGAUUAUGGUUUAUUUUAGUAGUCUUGAUACCAAUGUUUGUUCUUAUGUUAGAAUUAGAAAUUCUUAUUGAAAUAUUUUGGUAUAAUUAAUAAGUUUAUGUGUAAUUAAUAUAUAUAGGUGGUUACAUUAACUGUUUAAACUAGGUUCAUGUAUAUCAAUAUUUGGAUAUAUUUUAAUUAAUAAAAUUUGAUUUUAUUUUAUAGGUUGUAAUUGUUUUUUAAAUUUAAUUAUAUAAGAAAUCAACUAUUUUAAUAAUGGAAUCAAAAUAUUAUUUUUUAAUAGAAAUUGUUCAAAGAUGAUGCUUUUAUAAGCGUCAUUGUUAACGUGAAACAAAGAAGACAUUUUUAAAAGUGUCAUUAAUAAAAUUAAAUCAAAGAUGGCGUUCACAUAAGUGUCAAGAAAGGUAAUUUUAUACAAAUUAUUUCAACAAAAAAUGUUCAAAGAUGACACAGGAGCAUAGAUGACGCUUCAGGGAAGCGUCAUCUUUUACCUUUCUUGACACUCAAAAAAUGUCAUUAUUUCACUUUUUUCUUGUAGUGAUUACAAAUAUAAUUAUGUAGGCCAAGUGAGAGAUUGUUAGCUUUUUUCCUAUAAUGUGUGGCCAUAUAUAAUUAUAUUUGUAUAAAUAUUAUUUAAGGCUAUCAAUUGAUAGGUAGGUGAAUAAAUUGAUUGGGCAUCCAAGAGUCUUAUGUAUGGAAGACUCAAAUUACAAAUGGGGAGUUAGAAAAUUUACUUUAUAUGAAUGUGGUGUCACAACUUUUGUAACCCCAUCAUUAUGAAAUUCAUGUUGUACAUUAUGUUUGAGUAAUGGAGGAAAAUGGAAAUGUAUAACUUAUGCAAUUAUAUAGAUGCAUUCAAGUUCAUAACCCACCAUUACCCAUUAAUUUGUACAUAAUGGGUGUAAAUAAUGAGUAUAACUCCCAUAUAGUCUUUGAUGGGAAGACUAAGAGAUGUACAACUCUUUAUAAAUUGAGGUCCCAAGCCACACUUUCAUUCUUAUGUCAUUUUUGUUGUUUAUUUUUAACAACAUACACCACACAAGUGACCCAUCCACUAUAUGAGAGUAGUGAGUUGAAGACCUUGACAAUACAAUUCACAAGGUGACUCAAUCUCACUUCAGGAUCAAGGUAAGAAUAUGAUCAUUAUUUUAGUAUUUACAUUUAUUUUGUUUUAUGCAUCUAAAAUUGUUUUUUAAAAUAAUUAUUUUCGCAUAAAGUUUGGUUAACAAGAAGAGAAAAAUAAUUGUGUCUUACACAUCAUAUUUUGCAGGGCAAUCUAUCUAGAGUAGCAGUAGCAGUGAAAAGAUGAAUUUAGCACAGGGUGUUCAAGAGUUCAAGAAUGAAGUUGUUUUGAUUGCGAAACUUCAGCACAAGAAUCUUGUCAGGCUUUUGGGUUGCUGCAUUCAAGGAGAAGAAAGAAUAUUACUCUAUGAAUAUAUGCCUAACAAAAGCUUGGAUUAUUUUAUUUUUGGUUUGACCUUCUUAUCCCUAUCUGUUAGGAUUAGUUUCACUUUUUGAUCACCCAUAUUAUGCUCAGUCGUGUUCAAUUCAAUUCACACAUCUAAGUAAUUAAUUAGGCCUAAUAAAAAAAUUUAUAAAGGCGGAUGUAUUGUGCAGAUCAAAACAGAAGAGCAUCAUUGGCAUGGGAUAAGUGCUGCAAGAUUGUUAUGGGGGUAGCACAAGGGCUUCUCUACCUCCAUCAAGACUCUAGAUUUCAAAUUAUUCACAGGGAUCUCAAGACAAGCAAUAUUUUACUGGAUGACAAUCUCAAUCCUAAAAUUUCAGACUUUGGCUUGGCAAGAAUUUUUGGAGAGAAUGAAAUGGAAAUGAGAACAAAGAGAAUUUUUGGGACUUAGUGAGUUAUAAACCUUUAUAAUCUUAUAAAAUGGAAUUUAUCCCUUCAAAUAACUUAUACUUGAAAAUGUUAGUGCAGUGGCUAUAUGUCCCCGGAGUAUGUGAUUGAUAGGCAUUUUUCUAUCAAAUUGGAUGUCUUUUAGCUUUGGUGUUCUUUUACUAGAGAUUGUGAGUGGUAAAAAGAACAGGGGGUUCUCUCAUCCAGAUCACCAUCAUAACCUUCUGGGACAUGUAAGUAGAAAGAAUGCAAUGGUGUUUACUCUCUCUCUCUCUCUCAAUUUGUCUCUACUCUCUAGCUUUUUCUGUCUUUUUUGAAAGAAAAUAAAUAUGAUUUUUGCUCUAGGCAUGGCUGCUGUGGGAACAAAACAAGGCCUUGGAAUUAAUGGAUGCAUGUUUGGAAGAUUCAUGUGUUGCAUCGCAAGUAUUACGAUGCAUACAAGUAGGUUUACUAUGUGUUCAAAACCGUUCAGUAGACAGACCAGCAAUGUCAUCAGUGAUUUUCAUGUUGGGCAAUGAGGGAGCAACAUUGCCUCAAGCUAAACAUCUUGGUUUCUUCACGGAAAGAAGUUCAGUGGAUACAGAUACAAUGUCAGGAAAGAUAGAGUUACAUUCAGAAAAUGAAGUAACCAUCUCAAAGCUAAAAGGUAGAUGAAGAAUUCAAACAUCCGCUAAGUGAAAUAGUUAUGCAGGUGCCAGCUUCUCUUGAUAAAACGGCUUGCAAAGGCUCCUCCGUUGCAGCUCAGGGCACUGUAAUAUGCAACUUAAGACUCACUAGUAGAAUUUCUAAAUUCAGAUUCCCUCUGGAUCAGGUUGGUAGUAAGCAGAAGAACAUGUAUUCUACAGUCACUUUAUUAGCUACUGUCUUUUUUUUUUUUCUCCUCAGGAUGCAUGGGGCUUGUAUGGUUGGUGAAGUGUAUGCCAAACUAUAAUUUGGUUCCAACCAUUUGCUUUCAAUUAUCUUGAUAAUUUUUGAAGUUCUAAAAUCAAUUAGGUAGUACACAGUGGGAGCGCCAUAAUGACACCCCUCUAACUUUAUGAGAGGGAGAACUGGGGAAAUAUUUGGUCCUUAUAUAACAAUUUAAGCAUGUUUCACCAAAGCCCAAGCCAAUCUGAAGGCUAGGUUGCUACUUGUGUUGCAAGGUAUUUGAGGCUAGGUUUGGGCCAAGCUUCCACUUGUUGUAGAAGCUCCAUAGGGGCUACAGCCGAACACCCAUUAAAAGCCCAAACCAAUUGAGCCUAGAGGAUGAGUACCAAAGCCCAAUGCAAUCUCAAGGCAAGGUGUUUGUACCUUUGAUCCACUGAGCUUUAAAAGCAAAGGUGAGGCCAUUGAGCUAUAUGUCAUGCUACAGUAAUAGCUUUGUAAAAUUAAAUACAUAGCAAGAUUAAUGGUUUUUCUUCAAAAAUUUUUUAUGUAAAUAUUAACUAAUCAUACUAGACAGUGGCAAAGAGCUUUCAAUUUUUUUGAAAGAUAUUAUCAUGGUUUGAAAUAUCGAUAAAUAUAGAUAUAUCAGUACUUAAAUUUUAAGGAUAUAUUGGAAAUAUUAGUGGAUAUUUUGACAAAAAUAUCGAUAAGAUGAAAAUUAUUCAAAAUUCAUAAAAAUAUUUAGAAAAACUUAAAAAAAAUGAUAAAAUAAAUAAAAAUACACAUAUUAAAGUUAUUUUUUAUAAUUGACAUAGAUAUGAUCAAAUAGAAAAAUAUCAAUUAAGAUAAAUCGAUAUUAAUAAUUUAUUGUUUAUCUAAUCAAAUUAAUUUUAAUUUGUAAAAUUUUAGAACUUCAUUAUUAUUAUUUUUUAUUUUAGUAUUUUUUGAAUAAAUUUAUAUUUUUAAUAUUUUAAAAUAAAAGCAUUCAAAUUAAAAUAAUAAAUAUAAAAAAUUUAAAAGUGAAGUGAUAAUAAUUUUUUAAAAUAGGAUUAAUGAAAUAAAUGAUUAUACAUUUAAUAUUAAAACUAUAAUUUAUUUAUUUCAAAUACAUUCGAUAAUAUAAAAUAAAUGACACAAUGCAUAUAUGAUUUUUUAAUAUUUAUAUUUUUUAUAUUUAAUUAUCAUAUAAAUGAUAUUAAAAAAUUGUUAAAAAAAUUAUAAUAAUGGUUUCAAUACAUUUAUUAAUUAAAUAAAUAAAUUUUAAAGUAAAAUAAAUAAAAUUAAUUAAUUAAUUUUUUAAUAAUGAAGUUUAACUAAUUUACUACCAACAUAUAUUAAUUGGUGUGAAAUUAGCUUAGUGGUAAUUUUGAAAGGGGGCAACAGCAGUGACAGGCAGAAACAUGAUUGGGCAGCAGCAGCCAAUAUAAUUAAAGGGUUGACCGAAGUUGACCACGGAAAAUAUCGGAAAAUUUCCCAAAAAAAUGAGCAAAAUUUGAGAGGGGUACAAGCAAGUACCUAAAUUCUUUUCAUGUUAGUCCUAAGCAUUUAUCGACAUUUUUGCCGAUUUUUUAAGAAAUUUCCCGAUAUUUUUUAUGGUCAACUCGAUCAACCCUUCAAUUACAUUGGCUGCUGAUGUGCAAUCACGUUGUUGCUUUAUGGAGAUGAAUGUAUAUCAAAUUAAUAGAGACAAACUAGACAUCAAAAUCGGUAUGCCAAGCAACCAUUGAGAUGCUAACUACUUCUAGGCCCUAUGAGGCAAACUCAAUUCAGAUAUUUUGCUCUUGCAACAUUUUUUUCCAAUUAAUUGAGGGAGCAUUAAAGAAGACACUACAAUUUUACAUCUUAGUAACUUGUUUUUCAUUGGAAUUAGAAAAUUCCAAGUUACCCUAUUCAGACAGUUCUUCCAAUUGAAAUGAUUGAGCCCUUAAACCUUGCAUAACACUCUACUCCGUUAGACUUUAACUGAAAGCCAAGUGUAUUCGAAGACUGCGACCUGAUCCACUUGAUGCUGUGUCAUGGUUCUAUUAACUAGCUGGUCAUGCUUGCGAGGAGCUAUCUCACAAAUACCAAGAAAAAUCUACAUUAGCAACUAUUUAAUUUUAAUUUUUUUUCCUAUGUCUAUAAGCAGAUAGCAUAGAGUCAACUAUUUAAUUUGGAAAAAUGGAAUCUGAAGCUACCCAGAAGCUAACCAGAAAAGACAUGUCUUUAUUGUUCUUUUAAAUAUCAAUUUUGCUUUGGGCAUGACCUAGGUUGGGGUACAAGGCUUAGAAAAGUCAUGGAAAGAGAUGUAUAUAGAAGGGAAUCUUAAUAUAUAAAAGUGGUAGAUCAUGUUCAUUCAUUGGCAUGAAAAGGACCAGGGUCGACUUCUUAGUGGUUCCUACCUACUAAGCGUGGAAAUUAGUGACGGCAAUUGUGGUUUCUUCUCCUGCCUAGGGAAGGUAAGACCAUUGCACUUGACUAUGAUCAUCUACCUCAUGUUCGUUUGAUGAUAAUGAUAACAAAGGUGGACAACUGUUUUAUCAGAUUGGAAGUAUAGAAUUCCAAGAAUAUUGAACAAAAAUCAAGCGAAAAGGAAAGAGAAGAUCAACAGAUGGAUUAUUACUCAGAAAUGAAACUAAAGGUGAAUCCUCCCAGACAACCAUACAGAAAUAGGUGAUGGGUGCUGCAGUCCCUGUUUCAAGGCAGCUGUAUCUCAUAUAGACAAUCAAUCUGUACAAAAAUUAAUGUUUUAUUGUUUAAGAGACUUUAAUUUUGUUCAAAUCUCUCACCAGUCUUAUGGUGUAUAAUCCUGUGAAAUUAUCACUGAAAAAAGUACUACCCACCAGAGUAUAAUAGUCAUUCGAUCUUAGACUAAGUAACAGAUGAUUCACAUAGGCUCAUUCCUUAGGACUAACAUGGAAAGAAUUUUCAGGUGAAUGGAGAUGAAUGUUUAUCAAAUUAACAGUGACAAACCAAACAUCAAGAUUGGCAUGCCAAGCAACCAUCGAGAUGCUAGCUACUUCCAGGCCCUAUGACACAAACUUAUUUCAGAUGGUAUGAUCUUCUGUAGCUUGUUUUUCAUUGGAAUUGGAAAAUUCCAAGUCACCCUGUUGAGGCAAUUCUUUCAAUUCAAAUGCGUUAACCCUUAAACCUACCCUGUUGGACUUAGACUGAAAGCCUGACCAAGUCAAAAACUGAAACCUUAUCCUCUUGAUGUUGCGUCUUGGACAAAUUCCAGGAAAAACCUACAUUAGAGAAAUUUUAGUAUUUUUUUAAACUUGUGUAUAGAAGUCUUCCUUUCAUCUGUGAGAAACGUCAAUGGAGACCCAUCUUUUCUUUGCCUUCUUUUGUGCCUGGAUUUGUCUAUCAAUUCCCUUGGAGUCCUGUAUUGCAGUUGAUUCCAUAAGGAUGGACCAAUCCAUAAGCGAUGGUGAGACUUUAGUUUCCUCAGGUCAAAGCUUCGAACUAGGCUUCUUCUCUCCCGGAAGCUCCAAAAACAGGUACUUAGGAAUAUGGUACAAGAAUACAACCCAGACAGUUGUAUGGGUUGCCAAUAGAAACAACCCGAUUGUAGAUUCUUAUGGAGUUUUAACCAUCUUCAACAAUGGCGCACUUGUUCUUCUUAAUCAAACAAAGAGUGUAAUCUAGUCUCUCAAUUUGUCAAAGGUACCAGAAAAUCCAAUUGCAUAGCUCACGAUCCAGAGUCAUUCUUCUUAUUUAUGACCCAGAGUCAUUCUUAGCAUUUAGAGCCCUGAGCGCAUGACCUAGAGUCGUUCUUCUUAUUUAUGACCCUGAGUAAUUCUUAGCAUUUAGAGCCCUAAACUCACGAUCUAGAGUCGUUCUUCUUAUUUAUGACCUAAAGUCAUUCUUAGCAUUUAGAGCCCUAAGCUUACGAUCCAAAGCCAUUUUCACCCUUUAGGCGUUCAGAGUCACCACUUUCUUUCAAGGGUGUUUAGAAUCGUAGGCCUUCAGAUCCAUUCCUCACUUAGACAUUCAGAGCCAUCUCUUUUAGUUUUAGGCAUUUAGAGCCAUUUCUCUUCCAGUUUUAGGCAUUCAGAGCCAUAUUUUCUAGUUUACGUGUUCAGAGCCACCUUCCUCAAUCAGGCGUUCAGUGCCACCUUGCUUAAUUAGGCGUUCAAUGCCACAUUGCUUAGUUUUUUUAGUGUUCAGAGCCAUCACUUUCUCUCAUAGGCUUUCAGAUCCACCUUGCUUAGUUUAAGCAUUCAAAGCCAUUUUUCUUACUUAAGCGUUCAGAGUCAUCUCUUCCAAUUUUAGGCAUUCAGAGCCAUAAUUUAGUUGUUCAAAAUCGUUCGUCUCAGUCUAGGCAUCUAGAGCCACAUUCUGGGCGUUCAGAGUUGUGAUGUUCCAGAGUUUGUCCUCCUCUAUUGUGUGUGAUAUAGCCCUUUGAGCUUAUAGCUUAUGUUUUGAUUGUAUCAUUGGUGCCCUUCACUUUGCGCUCUUGUAUGGUGCAUGUAUAUUUUUCCUUCUAUAUAUGUUCAUUCCUAUGUUCCUAGGUGGUUCGAAUGCCACUCAACUUUGACAUUAAUUUUCGAGUCACUUUUGGAGACAUCUUAGAGGGAGUCUGGAUCCAUAGUGCAGCUUUAGUUUUUAGGAUUUUAGAGCCCUUUUUGUUCAUUUGUGGGUUUGAGCCAGUUUGUGGUCUACUUGUGUACCUUUAGGGGGUUUUUUUUUCUUUGGUAGUGUGGACCCGCAUCUUUCACGUGCGCCCCCACUCGAUCGGCGAGACUCGCUUUUUAUUCGUGAAAAAUAACUUUUGGAAAAGUCGGAGUCGCCACUUAUUUUAUUUUUAUUUUAAAGGGAAAAUAAAACAAGAAAGAAAAACCCUAAAAUGUGACUCCAUAAUUUUUGGAAAAAGCAUGUCUUUGAAAAACCCGAGUCUAAGUCCGGGGAUCAGAUUACCUAUUGGGAAGGUACCUUUAAAAGGUAGCACCCCUCUAAGCCCUAUAAAGGUCUCUACUAACUAAGUUAAGGGGAAUGUGGCAAUUAACCGGUUAAUUAUGGAUACCUAAGUAGGCUAGAUGGUUCCAAAAAAUAGCAUGCCAAACAAGAUCAAAUCAUAAUAAAGGAAGGUUAGGAUGCGUACCUGGACCGCUUCUCAAGUGCUAUCAUAAAACAUCAAUGGUUAAUUUAAACAAUAUAUCAUCCAGCAUGUAUUUUAUUAGAAAUAAUCAAACAAUGAAACAUGUAUAUCAGAACACUCAAGCAUUAUUAGACAUAAGCAUUAUUUCACAAUGACAAGCAUAUUCACAGAAUUCAGAAAGUAGGUGAUAGAGGACAUACCUAGAUAGCAUAGAUAAUUUGUAACGUGCUUCCUCAAGUUGUAAGGGGUUAGAUAAAUAAUAAAAUAUAGAAAUCCUAGCAUGCUCGUUGUCUAAUUAGCAUAGUAGAAGUGAUCAAAGUAUACAAAAUCAUCAAUUAUCACAUACAUCUUGUAUAUAAUUCCUAAAAAAAAUAGAUAUGAUUUCAAUAAAUGGCAAGGGUGACAGUAAAGAUGAGUUUUAAAAAGAUGAUUUUAUGUAGGGGUUUCACCAAUUCCCCAAUUGAUAUACACAAAUAUAGCUUGGAAUUAAAUGUUAUCACUUUCAUAAAAAUAAAAAAUAAAAAAUAAAAAAUAAAAAAUAAAAAUUCAUGAGUAUUAAAAAAACAUUUUUUUGAUAGUUUUAAUGAAUUGUAUUUAUAAAAUAAAGUUUUGAUUUACUUAAAUAAGAAGGCUUUAAUUUCAUGCAAAGAAAAUAUUUUUUAAAAAAGUUUGUUCACAAGAAAAUAAAUGUUAUCACUUUUAUAAAGGAAAUGUUUCAUAAGUAUUAAUAAUAACAAUGAUAAUAAUAAUAAUCGAUUCCAUAGUUUUAAUGAAUUUUAUUUAUAAAAAGAAGCUUUAAUUUAUUAAAUAAAAAUACUUUAAUUCCAUGCAAAGAAAAUGUUUUUAAAAAGUUCAUUCACAAGAAAAUAAAUGUAAUCAUCACUUUUAUAAAGGAAAUAUUUCAUAAGUAUUAAUAAUAAUAAUAAUAAUAAUAAUGAUAAUUGAUUCCAUAGUUUUAAAAAAAGUUUUAAUUUAUUUAAAUAAAAAGACUUUAAUUCCAUGCAAGAAAAUAAAUGUAAUUAUCACUUUUAUCAAGGAAAUAUUUCAUGAGUAUAAUAAUAAUAGUAGUAAUAAUUGAGUCCAUAGUUUUAAUUAAUCUUAUAAAAGGAAGUUUCAAUUUACUUAAAUAAAAAAAGCUUUAAUUCCAUGCAAAGAAAAUGUUUUUUUAAAAGAAAGUUUAUUCACAAGAAAAUAAAUGUUAUCACUUUUAUAAAGGAAAUAUUUUAUGAGUAUUAAUAAUAACAAUAAUAAUAAUAAUAAUUGAUUCCAUAGUUUUAAUGAAUUUUAUAGAAGGAAGCUUCAAUUUAUUUAAAAAAAGACUUUAAUUCCAUGUGAAGAAAAUGCUUUCAAAAAAAUUCAUUUACAAAAAAAAGAGAAAGAAAAUUAAUUAAUUAAUAAUGGUAAUAAUAAUAAAACCUUAUAAAAAAUAUAUUUGAUGAUUUAAAAAUAUUUUUUUUUUAUGUAAGAAUAUCUUUUAUAAUUUAAAUUUUCCUUUAAUAAUUUUUUUUAACUUUAUUUUAUUUACAAGAGGAUGAUUUCCACAACUCUUUAUUUAGAAAGCACAAAAUUUUUUUUUAUUAUUUUUUUAAAACAUAAUAAAUUUUUUUUAAAUAAGAUAAACAAUUAUUUUAUAUUUUAAUCCAAGAGAACAAAAAAAAUGUUUAAAAUAAUUUAAAUAUUACAACUUUUUAUUUUUUAUUUUUGAACAAAGCUAUCAUAAAAAUUAUCAAAACACUUAAAAAUUCAAACUUUUUCAUCAUCAUAAGGAAUUAUCCCAAAACUAAAAAUUAAGCACAAUAUAAAUUUUCAUUAAUAUCCAAAUUAUUGAAAACUAAAAAAAACUUGCAAAAUAUUUCAACUUUUCAUUAACAUCACAAAAUUAUCCAAAACGAAUAAAACAUCUAAUUUUUAAAUUAUCAUCCCGAAUCAUCCAAGACAAAUGCCUACAAAAAGUAACAUGAGAUUAGCAAUAAUAAUAAUUAUAACUAAAAUAAAAUAAACAAAAUAAAUUCAAAAAACCAAAAAAAACUAAAAAUCCUAACUUGAUUUAUAUUUUAUUCAAACAAUCAUUAACACAUCUCAUAUAAAUACAUUAAAUCCAACAAAACACUCACCGAAAGACAUUAAAUCCUAUUAUAACCGUCCAUGAUUUCAUUCCCUUUUUUUUAACAAAUAAAUAAAAACAUGCCAAUAGCAUCAUUUACAUCAGGACUGACCAUAUAUUCACAUUCGUUUGCAUUUUAAAUCCAACAAAACGAAGUCAAAGAACACUAACCUUGCUUGCAGCUACCCUCUUUCACGAUUGUGUCACUUUUUCUUCUCAGUCUAGUUAUGUCUGCUUCUUCGAUCUGGCUCUUGUGUUCCUUCACCACAAAGAGUCCCCAAAUCAGCCUAUGCGUCCUUUAGAAGUUCCACCCGGAAAUGUGAUCUCCAUGUCUACAAUUUUCUUCUGAAUCUCAUUAAAAAAAAUCCACCAAAAUUCUUCCAGAACUCUUUUUUUUCUUUCUUCUCCCUCAGACGUCUCCCUCUAUUUUCAAGCUCUCCUCUCCAAAAAAUCCUCCUCUCUCUCCUCAAAUGUCUUUCUCAUAUUCCCCAAAAAAAAAACCUAAAUCCCCUUCAUCACGCCUCUUCUCCCUUUUUUGCAUGUGAGUUGACUUUUCUUUCCUUCUAUGAAUUCCCCCUGCUCUCUUUCUUGCAAAAUACAGUCUGUCUAUUCAAUAUGCCACCUCAAUUCUUCCUAAAAUAUAUCAUCUCUUUUCCUUUUCUGUUUAAAAUAUGCUUUAACCCAAAACACUACUGAAUCCUCCUUCCAUCAUCACAUGAUUCUUUUUCCAAAAGACAAAUUACAUUACCUUCUUUGCUGCUCAUCAUUUCUUUUUUCAUACAUAAGCUGAAUCUUCCCCAUAACAUGGCUCCAUUCAUUUUUUCCAUAUGUCUACUCUUGGAACCAAUAUGGUAGCUACCCACUCCAAGCUUCACAUCAUAGGCACUUUCUUAUCUUUCUAUUGGUGGACUUCCUACAAAAUUUCAAAGUUAAUAAAGUAAUAGUAAUAAUAAUAAUAAUAAUGAAAACGUUUAAACAAAAUUAUUAAAUUAAACUAAAUAAGUAAAGACAAGUAUUAUGGAAAAGUGAUAAAAUAAUAGGAAAAUAAAAUAAAUGAAGAAAUAUACAAAAUAAUAAAUAAAAUAAAAUAAACAAAAAUAUAAAGGUAAAAAAAAAGUCAAGCAAUGUGAUUUUACAAAAACGAGUCUUGCAAGUCAUACAAGCCAUGCAACCACGCAAGCCAUGCCCAUGCAAAAAAUGAUCUAAAUGGGCCUAAGGUGCCUAAAUGGGCCUAGAAUGCCUAAAUUGGCCUAAGGUGCCUAAAUGGGCCUAAGGUGCCUAAAUGGGCCUAGGGUGCCUAAAUGGGCCUAAGGUGCCUAAAUGGGCCUAUGGUGCCUAAAUUGACUUAAGGUGCCUAAGUGGGCCUAAAGUGCCUAAAUCGUCCUAGGGUGCCUAAGUGGACUUAGGGUGGUGCUUAAGUAGGUCUAAGGUGCCUAGGGUGUAUCUAAGUGAACCUAAAGUGCCUAAGUGGGCUUAGGGUGACGCCAAAUGGGCUAGGUGCGUCUAAUGGGCUUAGGGUGUACUAAGUGGGCCUAGGGUGCCUAAAUGGGCCUAAAGUGAUCUAAGUGGGCCUAAAGCGUCUAAAUGGGCCUAGGGUUACCUAAAUGGGCCUAGGGUGCCUAAGUGGGCCUAAUGUCACAGGAUGCUUCAAAUGACCCUCCCCAUGGGCUUAUAUAGGCGGAGGGAAGCUUCUGGAGACUCCUGGAGCCAUCUACACUAAGCCAUUGGUGGGAAGAGUGUGGAAGGUUCUAGAAAUGCCUAGAGAUGUCCACACAUCUCUACACUAUGGUGGAAGGCAUGAGAGGAGUCCAAGGCUUUCUAGAGACUUCUAGGAAUCUCUUGUAUAUUCUUGUACAUAGGGAUGUACAUAGAAUAGGGUAGGAUGUUCUAGAAUAUUCUUGAUUUGUAAGGGAACCCUCCAAGGUUCUAGAGAGUUCCCUUGGUGCUUAUAAAUAGGUGAGGGCCUCAUUUGGCCAAGGCACCACCCAAAUCACUUCCUAAUCAAGCAAGUGAGCAUCCAAGCACUUGUAAAGGCUUCUUGAGUUAAUAGAGCUUCCAUUCUUUCAAGAGUUGCCUACCAAGCUUCUUAAGCUUUUGAGUCGCAAGUGUCUUAGCCGAGCAAGCUAAGCAUUGGGGAGCAAGGCUGACUUAGCAAGAUCAAGCGUCUUGGCUUGUCUAAGUGCCGCACGAGCUUAGUGAACGACUAAGUCCGUGACACUAAGGUGCCUAAAAGCUAUCCUAAAAAAAACAAGAAAAGCCUAAGUCUAAGUUAGGGCUGCCAAGGGUCACAAUAAGAGGUCAGAUAAUCCCUCAACCAAAGUCUCCGAGGUGACUUAAAAAAGAUAGGCUACACGAGUAUUAAUGGGCCACCAGGGAAUUGCUAUAAACGACAUGUGCGAGGAAGACAAAAUGGAGGGUCUACAGGUAGAGUUCACUUCAUUCCACUCACUAUUCACACUUUCUUUUCACUCUAGUGUUCAUAUUCCUUACACUUGUGAACUCUACCGAAGAGGGGCAUAUUUGUAAACCCCUCUUGGACUAGGGGAUUUUUUUCUCACUCAGAGGAGCUAGUUGAACAUUUCAUUUGGAGUGGGGGACGACUUCCAGGUGAGUUGCAUGCAUAAGAUGUGUGGCAAGGAUGUGACCACCUUGCCAUGGUGGUGGUUGAAGUAGUAGAGUUGGUGGUGAAGUCUUCGCUGAACCAGGAGCAGUGAGAGUGGGUAGAGGCUUGGACUGGAAGCUAAAGAAAUAAGGGGAAGAAAACUAGCUCAAGGGGGGACAGGAAAAGGAGGACAGAGAGUUGGGAACCUGGGAGAGUUUAAAAUAGAGAGUUGGGUACCUGAGAGAGAAAAAACGAGAGGGUGAGUGAGGAAGAAGAAAAAUUUUCAGCAGUGGAGUUUUCAGAGGAAUGAGCUAGGCAUAGGGGGACGGGGAUUGAGAGAGAACAAAUUUUUUUAAAAUGGGACGUUUUGAGAGAAAAACAAGGGAGCUUUUUGGCAACCCCUCCACCAGCAACUCCAUCAUUGGCUACUCCGCCACCAGCAACCCCUCCAUUGGCUCCUCUUGCCUCUCCAUAGUAGCGAUUCCAACGUAAGCUCCAAGCACGAAGGUGAAAUCUUUGGCCUUGGCUCCAUCGCCACUUACGAACAGUCCACUGGCACCACCAGUGGAGGCGUCUGGACUGAUCUCAGGCGGAAACUCACCAGGCCAGAUGCGAACGAUGUGAAUGGAGUGGAAAGGUUAUGGUUGAUGAAGAAGGUGGUCGAGAGCUUGGCAUUUGGACUAGCAUUGAGCUUGAUGAUUUGAAAGAGAAAAAACAUCGAGAGAAAGAGAGAGAAGUCUUCCAAGUGAGAGAUUUUCUCUUCUUAUAUCUACUUCUAGAUGUUAGUUUUUCUGCUAAAAAUUCAUAAUGGGUAAGAGGAAGGUUCACGUCAACAUUGUCGUCAUUGGCCAUGUCGACCAUGGCAAGUUGACCACCACUGGUAAUUUGAUUUACAAGCUUGGAGGUAUUGACAAACGUGUUAUUGAGUUGUUUGAAAAAAAAGCCGCUGAAAUGAAUAAAAGAUCAUUCACGUAUGCUUGGGUCUUAGAUAAGCUCAAGGCUAAGCGUGAACAUGGAAUUACCAUUGAUAUUGCUUUCUGGAAGUUUGGGACCACAAAGUACUACUGCACUGUUAUUGAGGCUCAUGGUCAUUGGGAUUUCAUCAAGAACAUGGUUACUAGCAGCUCACAGGUAGGCUGUCUUGUUCUCAUUAUUAAUUCCACCACUGGUUGAGCAUGCACUACUUGCUUCCAUCCUUGGUGUGAAGCACAUGAUUUGCUGUUGUAACAAGAUGGAUGCCACACAUCCUCUUAAUCCUUCAUCUCUUGGUGUCAAAAAAAAAAUAUAUAUAUAUAUAUAUAUAUAUAUAUAUAUAUAUAUAUAUAUUAAAAAAAAUCCAUUUUCAAGUAAUUUUUCGAAAUUUCCUUUUAUAAAAUUUAAUUUGUAAAAAUUCCAUUUUCAAAAUCCCACUUUUCAAAUUUAAUUUACUAAACUUAAUUUUUUCCAAACAACUUUUCAAAAUCCCAAUUUUCAAAUUUAAUUUUCAAAACUUUCAUUUUCGAAUAAUUCUUCAAAAUUCCAAUUUUGAAAUUUAAUUUUCAAAACUUCCAUUUUCAAAUAAUUUUCCAAAAUUCCAAUUUUCAAAUAUUUUUCCAAAAUUCCAAUUUUCAAAUAAUUUUUCAAAAUUGCAAUUUUCAAAACUUCCAUUUUCAUUUUUUUUUAAAUUCCAAUUUUUAAAUUUAAUUUUUAAGAUUUCAAUUUUCAAAUAAUUUUCAAAAAUCUAGUUUUCUUUCAAAUAAUUUUAAUUCCACUCCAGUUUUCAAAUAUUUUUAAUUCUAUAACUUUUCAUCCUUUAUUAGGGUUUUAGGUAAAAAAAAAAAAUCUUGUUUUUUAAUAAACUUGCUAUCUUUCCCUUCAGGUAAGCACUUUCACAAAUUUUCUUUGAUUUUCAAAUAAUCUUUUGUUUCUCUUGAUUUUAAAUAAGUAUGAAUAUGAUUUCCAUAAUUCCAAAACAAUGGAAUUUGUGGGAUUAAUUCAUGCAAAAUCAAUUGGGCUUUGGUGAGGGCCCUAUAUAUGAGUUUUCUCUACUGAUUGUCAACUGUUAUACUUAAUGAAUAUUGUUUGAUCUUUGUCUUGCUCUUUGAUAUGCAUGUGAUGAUUUUAUACUUUAGCUAACCUUGUUUCCAUGAUAACAUACUAUUACUUGUUGCUAAGGUACGAUUUCACUCCCACUUUGCUUAUUCUUACGCAUGAUUUGUUUUAUUAUCUGAUCAUUCCAUUGAUUUCCUAAUGAAUUGUCAUGUUUACUUCACCUUAUUUAGUAUAAACCCAUUUUUUAGGGCUUAGAGGGGUGUUGCGGUCUUUACCGUACCUUCCCAAUAAGUAACCUGAUCCCCGAACCCAGGUUUGGUUUUUCACAUACCGUUUUUUCCAAAUAAGGAGUUACACUUAGGGUUUUCUUUUUUUAUUUUGUUUUCCAUUUAAAAAUAAAACAAAAAUAAGUGGCGACUCCAAGUCUUUUUCAAAAAAUCAAAUUUUCACCAAAUAAAUAAAAAAACGAGUUUCACUAUCGAGUGGGAACGCAUCAAGCGAAAUGCGGGGUCCACACAUACAUACUUUAGCAAAUAAAAUUAUUUUCUUUUCUCUUUGAAGCUAGAAUAAAUUCAUAAAUAAUCAAAUCAAUUGGUUCAAUGAAUGAAAUGAUAAUUCCUUUCCCUUCAUUUAAAAUAAGCUUGUAGUUUAAAUUAAAAAAACAAAACAAAAAAAAAAAACUAUUUUAACUAGCCAAAAUUAUUAUUAUUAGAGCUAUCACUAUCACACUUAUCGCCUUUUCUUUAUUUUAUUUUAUUUUUUUAUUUUAAUUAAAAUUGACAUGUUUAAUUAAGAUAUGUGCCCUUGGUUCUUCAAUUUUCUAAAUAAACUUCAACAAAAAGAUUGAUUCAUUUGAAAAUUUUACUCAAUAGAUUUGCUAAUAAAAUGAUGGUAUCACCAUUUUCAAUUAAAUUGAUUUAAAUUAUUGCUUGGGUUAAAAUGAAUCUGACCAAUUCCAAAAUUAACUUGACAAUUAUUCCAAAAUUUUUUUUGUUGUUGUUGUUUUAUUUUUUAUUUAUUUUAUUUUUUAAAAUCAAAGGUAACAUAUUAUCUUAUUUGAUUAAGUAGUUUCGAGAUAAAUUUUCAACUUAUGAGUAUUUUUCGAGAAAAUGAUCUUUUUCAAUUAUUUGAGAAGGAUCAACUUUAAAGAAUUUUCUUUUUAUUACUUCAUAAAUAUUUUUCCCAUUCAAAUAGCUUUCAAAUCAAGAUUGUUUUGACUUCAAUUAAAACAAUUAAUCUACUUAGUACUCUUGCCCUUAAGUAUCCCAAAACUCAUUUAAUAUUUCAAAUAAAUAAUAACAUGAUUAUUUUGCAAUCCAAAUAUAAGCAAUCAAUUAAAUUAAUGGAGACAUCAUAUCCCUUCACCAAGCAUUCCCUUAAUUCUAUUGGUUCAACAACAAUGUCUAAGUUGUUGAAAUCAUAAUUCGACUUAAAGUCAAAUUAGAAUAAGUUUAGGAAUUGGAUAAAUAUUAGGAAUUGUAAUUUAUUUAGCCUUCCUAUGUUAAUUAGGACUUUUAGUCUAAUAGGAAUUGAAGUUUUAUUACAAGUAUGAUUAGUUUAUUAUAAAUAGGCUUGUUAUUAUGUUGAAAAUUAGAAUGCAAUAAAUUUAUUUUUUUAGUAAAGUAUUAUCAAUACCCAAUUGUGUGGGUUUCAACAAUUGGUAUCAAAGCCAGAAGAUCAGACAAGGUGAAAUGCCAUAUCAGAGCUAGAAUACCAAGGAAUGUGCAUAAUUACAAGAAAGUUCCAAUCUUGUUGAUGAAAUUAUAGCUACGAAUAAUAACUCAAUUCAUCUUCAACUCCUAAAAUCCACAGGUAAAAUUUUUUACUAUUGGUGUAUUCAAAUGCAUGUCUUAUUUAGAUUUCAAGAUUUAUGGGAUCUAGUGAAUAUUAGUUACAAUGAAGUGACGGAUUCAAAAGAAGUCGAGGCACUAUCAAAGGAGCAGAAAAAUUAUUUGAAAGAUUCUUGAAAGAAAGAUCAAAAAGCACUUUAUGCCAAUAUUCCAAGUAGUGGAUGAAUCCAUAUUUGAGAAGAUCUUAGAGACGGAAACAAAAAAAGAGGCAUGUGUUACUUUACAAAAGUUAUACAAAUGUGAUGAACAUGUCAAGCGAAUGAAGUUGCAAACAUUAAGAGGUGACUUUGAGUCUCUUCGCAUGAAUGACUCUGAAUUUAUCUCAGAUUAUUUUGAUCGGGUACAAACUAUUGUUAACCAGGUGCGGGUUAAUGGUGAGAAGCUUGAUGAUCAACGAAUAGUAGAGAAAAUUAUGCACUUUUUUAAGUGCAAGAUUCGACUAUGUUGUUGUUGCAAUUGAAGAAGAAAAGAAUAUUUUCACUCUCACUGUUGAAGGGUUGAUGAGUUCAUUGUGUUCACAUGAACAACGAAUGAAUUACAAAAUCAACUCUACAAAUUUAGAGCAAGCCUUGUAGAGUAUAGCAUAUACUGGAGGUCAUGGUGGCCAACUAGGUGACUGAGGCCGUGGUCGUGGCAGAGGUAGAGGAGGAUAUAACAACUUCAACAAUAAAUAUGGAGAUGGUGAUACAAAUUCUUCUAAAGGAAUGGGAAGCACUUUUAAACCUAAAGUUAAGUCACACAUACAAUGUUUUAGGUGCAAAAAGUAUGGACAUUAUAAGUCAGAAUGUCAAACAAAAUUGUAAAAUGAAAUAGAUGAGCAUGUAAACAUCGUCGAGGUAGAAUAGAAUUUGGUGUUGGCUUGCAAUGUGGCAACCAGGGAUUGAAAAAUCGGAAAAUGUCGCCGAUAUUUCGAAGAAAUAUCGGAUAUCGGACGGCGUCGAAACGAUAAUCGUCACCGAUUAUCGAUCAACGGAAAAAUCGACAAAAAAUCGGCAAAAUCGCCGAUAUAUCGGCGAAAUAUCGGCGAAAUACCGAUUUAUCGGGAAAUUUCCCGAUAUUUUCCUACCAGUCCAGCCCGCGCACAGGAUACAAAAUCUGGCUCAAAAAUCGUGGAUUUAGGGUUCGUGAAAUUUAAAUCCAAUGGCACAACAACAAAGAGACCCUUAAAACAGAUCCAGAAAACACAGGGAGCAAAAGAAAAGCAAAUUUUUUGGUUUUCUUUGGGGGUUUUGAAUGGAUGGAUUUUCUCGGAAAUCAAACGAGAAUGAAUUUUCCCGGAAAUCAAAUGGGGGAUGGAUUUUCUUGGGAAUCAAACGGGGGUUGCAAAAAAAAUAAUAUGAACGUGAUUAGAUUAGUACCUGCGAGGAUUGAGAGUGGCAGAGGAAGAUAGGUCUUUUUAGGAAGAGGAACUCUUGGCUGGAGGGCAGCUUCAGAAAAGGGGAAAGGGGAAUUCUCUCGGCUGGAGGGCAACUUCAGACGUGGGUGGCCCUUUUAAUUUUUAGAUUUAGUAGAGGUAAAAAAAAAAAAAAAAAAAAAUCAUGAGAGCAAUUUUCCUCUACCCAUAUAAAUAAUUAUAAAUUAUUGAAUUUUAUUUUGAUUAUUAAAUAAAUUAAUAUUAAUAAAAAAAAGUUGUUACUAUAUGUUUUUAAUAAAAUUUUAAAAAUUAAAUCUCAAAUAAAAUAUUUAUAUAAAUUAAUUUAAUUUUCAUUUAAAAUAUAAUAAAACAUGUUUUAAUAAAAAUAUUUUAAAAUUUUUUAAAUAAACAUUAUCUUCAGCAAAUUGGGUCAUCUUCAUCUAACAAUAUAAUGAAAUCACAUCGAUCUCUUCCUUAAUAUAAGGACUAUUGUAAUAUCAUAUGUAUUAUAUUUAUGUAUAAAUUAUUUUUAUUCAAUAAAAUCAAAUAUUUUUUAAUUUAAUUCUAACUCUAUAUACUUUCAAAAUUCAUAUAUAUUAUUUUUAAAAUUCAAAUAUCGAAUCUAUCAAUAUAUCUUUAUUUAAAAUAUCUUCUUAAUUAUAUAUAUGUCAAUUACACUUACAAGAUAACUUUAAAAUGUGUAUUUUUACUUAUUUUAUCAUUUUUUUAAGUUUUUUCAAACAUUUCUAUUAAUUUUAAAUAAUUUUCACUUUAUUGAUAUUUGUGAAAAAAUAUCCACGAUAUUUCUCCGAUAUUUCUCCGAUAUUUCCGAUAUAUCCGUAAAAUCGAAGUACCGAUAUAUCCGUAAAAACCGAUAUUUCAAUCCUUGGUGGCAACAUCAAAUGCAGAUCGACAAGAUGUUUAGUAUCUUGAAAUAGGAAAUUGUCAACAGAUGUUUGAAGAUUUUAGGGAGACAAUGAAACAACAAUUUGAAAUGAUAGAUUUAGGAUUAAUGUCCUAUUUUCUUAGAAUUGAAGUCCAACAAACAAAUGAUGGUAUCUUUAUCUCACAAAAGAAAUAUGCUUUAGACAUUCUAAAGCAUUUCAAGAUGGAAAUCAUCAUCAACAAUCCAUACUCCUAUUGCAGAGCGACUAGAGAUGAAAAAGGAAGACACUAGAGAAUUAGUAAAUCCCACAUAUUUCAAGGGCAUAGUAGGAAGUCUUCGUUAUUUAACUUCUACUAGACCGGAUAUUGUUUAUGGAGUCGGAAUUAUUAGUUGAUUUAUGGAAAAACCAUAUUAAUCACAAUUGCAAGCGACAAAGCGAAUUUUCAGGUAUGUAAAUGGUACUUGUGAUCAUGGAAUCUUCUACUCCUACUCAAACAACUUCAAUUUAGUGGGCUACACAGAUAGUGAUUGGGGAGGUGAUGUAGAGACUAGAAAGAGUACUGUUGGAUAUGUUCUUUUUUAUCUUGGAACAAGAGCAUUCUCAUGGUCAUCAAAGAAGCAACAAGUUGUAGCAUUAUCAACUACAGAAGUUGAAUAUAUGGCAGUUACUUCCACAUCAUGUCAAGUAGUUUGUCUUCGUAGGAUGCUUAGUGAAUUGAAGUAUGAAUAGAAGGGUCCUACAAAGAUUUUGUGUGAUAAUAAGUUUGCUAUUGCAUUGACAGAAUCUGAAGUUUCAUGGUAGAAACAAACACAUAAGCAUCAAAUUUUAUUAUAUUAGGGAACUUCUGAAAAAUCAAGAGAUUGAAAUUAAGUUUUGUAGAUUAGAAGAUCAAGUUGCAGAAAUUUUUACCAAGCCAUUAAAAAUGGACAUGUUUGAGAAGUUUAAGAUGAUGCUUGGUGUGAUUGACUUUACAAUUCGGAUUAAGGGAGACUGUUGAAAUCAUAAUCCGAAUUAAAUUCAAAUUAGAAUAAGUUUAGGAAUUGGAUAAAUAUUAGGAAUUGUUAUUUAUUUAAGCUUCAUAUGUUAAUUAGGACUUUUAGUCUAAUUGGAAUUAAAGUCCCAUUACAAGUAUGAUUAGUUUAUUAUAAAUAGGCUUAUUAUUAUGUUAAAAAGUAUAAUGCAAUAAAUUUAUUUUUUUAGUAAAAUAUUAUCAAUAUCGAAAUGUGUGGGUUCCAACAUAAGUCUGAGAACUUAAACAAAACUAAUCAAGCCUAAAAUAGAAAAAAUAGUAAAUUUAACUAAAAAAACUAGAACCCAAACUUGUUUGAUAAAAGGGAAAAGCACUUACUAGGCAAGAUGGGCAUUGGGCACCUAAAAUGUGAAAUGCACUCUUACCACCAGGCACUGAUGGACACUCAGAGAAUAAAUAGUAGAAUUUGAUUCGAACCCAAACCUUCUUUAAAAAAAAAAAGAAUGUAAAGAUGAUUAUGAAAAAUUAGGUGUUGGCAUUUUUUUUUCCUAAUUUUUAUUUAUUUAUAGAAAAUAGCUUAUUUUUAGAUUUCAGAUAGUUUAUUUUUGUACUUUUUGUUAAUAUAUAACUUAUUUCUUAAAUUUUUUAUUUAAAAGAAAAAAAUCAAAAUAUUUUACUUUUUCUGAUUACUAAAAUUAAUUUAUAGCCUUUUCUUUAAUUCUUAAAUACUUAAUAAAAAUAAAAUAUGAAAAAAAACAAAUAACUUAAUAUUUAACACUAUUAAAUACUAUUUAGUUUUAAGUUCCGAAUAAAAUUAAGUCAAAAAAGUAACACCACCUUAGAAUUAAAUUUGGUUGAAAAAAUAAAACUCUUAUAAUUUACCUUCUACCCAUAAGUGACUUUGUGUCAGCAUACAAAGAAGAAAUGUGGGCCUAAUGGGGGAUUUUUGAUAUUUUCCUUUUUUUUUUGUAAUACAAUAUUUGUAAAAAAAAAAAAUGUAGUUAUAUAAAUAAUUUUAAACAAUGUUGUUUCCCAAGGGGACCUCAUUCGGUACAAAAAAUGCAUGUGGUAUUCUUCCAAUUAUUAAAUUGUAUCGAGCGAAAAGGUCCAACGCAUAUUUGAAAAAGGGAGAAUUCCCAUUUAGAGUAGGCUGCUAGUGAUAAUGAUUAUUAAAUUGUAUCUAGCAAAGGUCCAACAUGUAUUUGAAUAAGGGAGAAUUCCCAUUUAGAGUAGGCUACCAGUGAUAAUGACCUAAAAGGAUCAUCAUAUUUGCAAAUUCUUAUCAAGUCCUUUGAAAAAUUAAUCAUUUCAAAAUCCCAGUUAUACAUUUUUUUUUUGUCCUUUUCUUCUUUUUCUCAUUUAAUUUUACCUUUUUAUUGUUUUUCUUUUAUACUUUUUUACACAUUAUUAUUAACUAUUAAUAUUAUUAUUUAUAAUAUUAAUGUUUUGAAUUAUUCAUGUUACUUAUUAAAAUCAUUCUUAUUAAUAUUAUCUAUUUUUAUGAUUAUUAUUCAUAUUUUUAAAAUAAUAAUUAGAAGAAAAAAUAAAACAAAGAAAAGACAAAAUAGAAAAAAGAUAAAGUAAGGAUAUGUUUAACUUUAAAGCGAAAGGUAUAUUUGAAUUUUUUUAUUUUGAGAUACUUUGAAGAAUUAUCAAAGUUGAUGACCCUUUAGGAUCAUUAUCAUUCAUAGCCCACCCUAUAUGAUAAUUUUCCCUUAAAACAACUCUUCUGUGUCAUACCUCUAAUGACCACAAGUGAGAUUGUGAUCAAUCAAGACAAUUACAAUAAAAUUUAACAACUAAUCACUUUCAAUUUUUUUAUAAUAUUUAUUUUAUUGAUUAAGAAUUAUAAUUUAAUAAAAAAGGAGGUUGUUAUUCACAACAUCCCUUUUGCUAAACGUAACACUUUUUUGUCAUAUUUUUUUUCUACAUAUGCCCUUUUAAAUAAAGAACUCUCUCUAACCUCCUCUCAACAUAUUGAACCUAAAUUCUAAUUGGUUAAGGCUAUGAAUCACAUACGAAAUACAAUGAAUGAUGAAAUUCAAUCAUUUGAUGACAAUUUUUAGGUAAGAUUUAUAACUUUCAUUUGUUUUUAUAAAGAAAUAUAUAUAUUUAUCAAAAAAUAAAAAUAAAAAUCGGCAACUUGGGUGGGGCUCUAGCGUCCUGGGAGGCGACAAUGACCACAGUGGUUAUGGUUUGGAGUAGGGAUGGAAGUCAGUGACCAUCGGCAACGGUGGUUGGGCUAAAUUUUUUGUUUAUAAUAAUUAUAAAAAUCGAAUUUUUUAUUAUUAUUUAUAAUAGUUACUAAAUUACUUUUCGUUUAUAAUAGUUAGAAAAUUCUUCAUGACAUAAAUUUUUGCUUAUAAUAAUUAUAAAAUUCUAAUUCUUUUAUUUGUUUAUAAUAUUUACUAAAUUACUAAUUUUUUUCUAAGAAAACAUUAUAGUAGCCACAUAAAUUAUUAAUUUAAACAAGAUUUGUUUUUGCCAAUUUUCACCAAUUUUACUAAUUUCAAUGUUUUAAUUUCUUUUUUUGAAAAUUUUAACUAAUUGCUUCAUGUUUUAAUUUUUUAAAAACUGUCAUGUACAUUCUCAUAUAAUUUGGAUAAUGUUAUUGUCUUCAUGAUAUAAAUAGAAUUUUUUAUCUAUUUUGUAGGAUGAAUAUUUUGUGGAGGAAUUUCCAUCACAAUUGAUAGAUUAUGGCAAACAUUUCACUAUACAUAAAAGAGUCAAAGACCGAGAAGAGUUUAUUGAAGAGGUUAAACAAAUUGGAGAACAACAAAAUAUAUUUGUGAUUAUUUGUCGUUCCACUAAAGCUGAUGGUUCAGGAAGUGGCAAAGUAUGGAUAGGUUGCGAGAUAUUCGAAGGUUAUAGACCGUAAUAGAACAGAAAAACUGAUGUGGUGCCUAGAAAUUGAACUAGGACGAAGAAGUGUCGUUGUCCCUUUAUGUUGAAGGGUAUUGAACAGGAUGAUGGAUAUUGGACAUUAGUCAUCAUUAAUGGCAACCACAAUCACUACCUUGGAAAGUAUCCUCACGAUCAUUCAUCGGUUGGUAAAUUAAAGGAAAUAGAGUUCAAGAUAGUAGCUACAAUGACCGAAAGUCAUGUUAAGCCACAACUUAUUUUAAAUCACGUCAAAUGGGAGAAUCCAAGCAACUUGAGUUGUGGGAAACAUGUCUACAAUGCCAGACAAAAGCUUAAAGAUCAGAAAAAGAAUGGUUGUUCAGUGAUGCAACAACUACUAAAAUUGCUAAUUGAUCAUGGUUAUAUCACCACUGGUAUAGAGAAGUGAUAAGGUUAAUUUUGAGGAAGAGAAGGUAGAAGAGAAGAAGAGGACGGAGAAGGAUUUUUGGAUUUUUCUGCUAUGCUUUAUUGAUCAUAAUACCGACUAUUUAUAAUAGUCUUACAACUGGGAAAUAAAAAACAAUGCUAUAACUUAGGAAAGAACUAAGGCUAGUCCACUUGGCAAAACAAAUAAAACAACACGUUGAAGACUAUCUCCGACCAGCUUAUUAAGUGGAGAAUAGUUAACAGACUACUGACUAAGUCUUGUAAGGCUCACGUAUCAUGCCUCCCCCUCCUUAAGGAUCCUUGUCCUCAAGGAUAAAAAUCUAGAUAGGACCUAUUGAAGCGUCAUUCGUUCUCCCAGGUUGCAUCUUCCCUUGGUGCUCCCUUCCACUUGAUUUAAACUUUAGACCUUGGACGGUAUUUCCCUUUUUGAAUAACUCGUCGAUCAAGUACAACUUCAGGUUGUGGUAGUAUAACAAAAUCUUCUGAGACUAGAGGAAGUUGAUUCUGAACUAGAGUAUGUACUGGACCCAAAUGUUUCCGCAACAUGCUAACAUGAAAUACAUUGUGAAUUUGAGUCCUCAGAGGGAGAACUAACUGAUAAGCCACUGGAUCUACUUUUCCCAUAAUUAGAUAAAGGCUAAAGAAACGUGGAGCAAGCUUCAUUGAAGCUCGAAAGGCCACAAAAGUUUGGCGAUAUGGUUGGAGCUUCAGAUAGACAUAAUCACCAAUAUCAAAGAAGACUUCUCAUCGUUUCUGAUAUGCUUGACAUUUCAUUCGUUGACUAGCUUGUGAAAGGUUGUGGCGUAGCACACUUAAGAUGGUGUCACAGUCACGAAGGUAUUCAUCAAUUGCUUGAAUGCGAGAAGUACCUGGAACAUAAGUUAGAAUGCUUGGUGGAGGAAUUCCAUAGACGACUUCAAAUGGUGUCAUUUUGGUUGAGGAAUGUAUGAAAGUAUUAUAGCUAAACUUAGCCCAGGGAAUCCACUCAAGCCAUUUUCGUGGUUGAUCACCUGCAAAACAUCGCAAGUUUUGUUCCAAAGUGCGGUUUACUACCUCGGUCUGACCGUCAGUUUGUGGGUGGUAACUUGAGCUCAUGCGAAGCUUGGUUCCUUGUAGCUAGAAUAGUGUUUGCCAAAAAGAACUGAUAAACACUUUAUCUCGAUCACUCACUAUGGAUGUCAGAACACCGUGGAGGCGAACCACGUUGGCUAUAAAUGAUUUAGCAAUAGUGGCUGCGGUAUAUGGAUGUCUUAAGGCAACAAAAUGAGCAUAUUUUUUUAAGCGAUCAACAAUUACCAUGAUGACUAUGUGUCCAUUUGACGGUAGUAAUCCUUCGAUAAAAUCCAUUGAUACUUCAGUCCACAUCCAAGUAGGAAUGGGUAAUGGUUGAAGUAAGCCAGCUAGUUUCAUGCAAUCGGUUUUGUACCUUUGAAAUACACUGCAUUGUUAUAGAAACUCCUUCACUACUCGACGCAUACUAGGCCAUCUGAAGCUGAGCUUGAUGCGAGAAAGUGUUUUAUGGAAUCCACAAUGCCCCCUAGUUGGUGAUGAGUGGCAAUCUUCAAUUAUUUGGUGAAUUAAAAUUGAAGUGGGACUUAAGUAGACUUUGUUGUUUUUGAACCAAACUUCAUCUCGAAGUGUUAGCUGGUAAGGAGAUUGUGUUUGGCUCAACUUCUUAUAAAAAGGAUCUUUUUGUACUUCCUCUUAAAAUUUUGGCUACCAAUUUGCAUGUGGCAUAGAAAUGGAUAAGAACUGAAAUUCAACUACAAGAGAAAGGGAGUCAACAACUUGAUUUUCAGGCCCACGCUUGUACUCAAUUUCAUAGUCAUAUCCAAGGAUCUUUGGGAGCCACCGGGUUUGUGCUGGUAUGGUAAUUCGUUGCUCAAGUAAAUAUUUGAGGCUCCUUUGGUCGGUGGGCAUCGUAAAUGGUUUGCCCAGAAGAUAUGGACGCCACUUUUGAAUUGACUUGACAAUGGCCAACAUUUCUUUCUCAUAUGUAGAUAACAAGGCUGACCUCUUCAGAGCUUCACUAAAGUAAGCUAUGGGUCGAUUAUUUUGAGAAAGGAUUGCUCCGAUUCCAAUCCCACUAGUGUCGCAUUCAAUUACGAAUAUUUGAGAAAAAUCUAGAAGGCCUAGGACUGGUGGAGAUGUGAGUGUUUUCUUUAGUCUUCGAAAAGCAAGUUCCGCUGCAUCGUUCCAUUUAAAUCCUUCUUUGGACAAAAGUUGCGUUAAUAGAGCCGCUAUACCUUCAAAAUGACGAAUAAAUUUGCGGUAAUACCCUGCAGCCCGAGAAACCCACGCACUCCUUUUGUUGUGGAAGGUGUUGGCCAUUCAAGAACAACUUGUAUUUUUGUUAGGUCUACUGCCACUCCAUGUUCGGAAAUGAUGUGUCCCAAAUAGUCCACCUAAGAAACACCAAACCUGCAAUUGGUUGCCUUAGCAAACAAGUGAUUAGAUUUUAAAAUAUUAAGGACGGUCCGGAGAUGUGAGAGAUGGUCAUCCCAUGUCUUUGAAUAAACUAGAAUGUCAUCAAAGAAUACCAAGAUAAAUUUUCUGAGAUAUGUGCGGAAAAUUUCAUUCAUGAGGCUUUGGAAGGUGGAGGGUACAUUGGUAAGGCCAAACGACAUUACAAUGAACUCAUAGUGCCCUUCAUGUGUUCGAAAAACUGUUUUUGAAAUAUCUUCUUCAUAUACCCGAAUCUGAUGGUAUCCAACCUUCAAAUCUAACUUGAAGAAGAAUUUGGCUCCGUGAAGUUCAUCAAGGAGUUCAUCAAUUACUAGAAUUGGAUAUUUAUCCUUGACUAUGAUGAGGUUCAGUGCUCGAUAGUCAAUGUUGAUGUCUUGCGUCCCAGGGAUCCACGUUGCUGCCAGGUGGACGCACGCUUUCAACCAAGAUUGAAUUCUGGCUCAAUCGAUCUUGCAAAAGAUGUCCGGACAGGAUGUCUGGACACACCUUUCGAUGGUUUUGUUAGCCAUGGCUCCAGAGAUUAAGUUGUCGGCCUUUUUCAGGGAUAGCAAGCUUACCUUCUUCCUUGUAUGAAGGCCCUUUUAUAUAGUGUCAGAAGCUCUGCCUCCCUCUUUAAUGGUGGGAAGACUUUUUAGCUCGUCAUGAUGUCCUCAAGGUGGUGGUAGGGUCAUCAUCACCCUGCAGGCGGCUGUCAAAGAUCGUGAGAGGCAACUUGCCAUCGCUUCUGUCCUUUCGCUCUACAGGCGGCGGAAUGUGGGUUGUGGCAGGCUGUCGGGGAUGACUCAACAAGGCUUGCUCGCUACAGUCAAUGAUCCGGACAAUAGGUCCAGAUAGGAUAGAGCAUCGCCCGGGUAUGAUAUUUGAGAGUGUUGUGUGCCCCCUUGGGGGACCCGGAUAGGGGUGUGCACCAUGUGUCCUCUUGGGGAGUACAGAUAGAAUUACUCCGGAUAGCGAUGCGCGCCACGUGUCAUCGGGGGGAGGGAUUCCUACAAUGCCUCCCUUUUAACUUGUCGAUUUUGCCCGGGCAAAAUGGGUGGGUUAAAAGUGAUUGUUUUUACAACUUAGGUUACUUUUUUGCGCUCAUUGGGCCACGUGGCGCGCGUAGGUGAAAAGGAAGAAGAGCAUUUAUGACGAGUCGUCGUCCUUGGGAAUUCCCAGGCAGCGUGUCUUUUCAAUAACGGCACGGCUGGGCGUUUGGAAUACCGAGGGGCUGUUUCUCUUUAAAUAGCAGGCCGAGCCCCCUACGCCUGCAUUUUUUCCUUCUGCAUUUCUGCUGAUAGUGUUUUCUCUUCGACUUUUUGCGUAUCUUCGGCUAUAAGUGAAGUUCUAGGGUUUCUGCUAGCGAUAUUCGUGUUGUGAGGGUGACUGCAUCGCGGGCUUCAUCUUCGUUUCGCCAGUUUGUGCUAGGUAUGUUCCCUAUUCUUGCCUUUUCUUCGUUGUGUUUGUUUUUUUUAUUGUUUCUAGCUUGUUGGGUAAGCUACUUGUGAUUGAGGGUCGGUACUGGGGUUCAGGGGUUUUUCGAGGGGUUUUUGGUUUCGUUUUGGGUGCGUUAGGGUUCCUGUUGCACCCCUGCACCUUUUGCGAGUUACCGAUCCUGCUUUGGGGUAGAGCCAAGGGUUAGGAUGGGGAUGUUGGGUAUUUUAGGUUUUUUGGGCGUUUUUGUUAUUAGGGUUGUGGGGUCGGGUCAUUGUUUUUUACUGUUGGCAUCCUGCCAUGCAGGUUCCAUUUCGGCCCCACUCUUUAAAAUGCCUGCGAAAAAGGACAUAGCUUGGUCCAGUGUGGUCGGGUAGAGCGACAAGGAUGCGUCCGGGGUGGUCUAUGCGGAAAGGUUUGUUGACAAGCUGAACGUGAGGCAGUUCUGUGAACGCUUCUGCAUUCCGAAUGGCGUGUCCAUUUAGCUUGUGGAUGAAGAGGUCGUAUCCAUUGAGAAAUCUGCGGACAACGCUAUCUACUUCACCAAGGAGCAAUUCAAUGCGGGGCUCCGGUUCCCUCUCCCAUCCUUGUUCAAAGAAUUUCUUCACUUCACCUAGAUCCCUCCGGCCUACAUCCAUCCCAACAUAGUCCGGGUGCUGAUGAGGUGCAGCAUUCUGAGCAUGCUGUUUAACUUGGAUCUUUCGCUGCUAGAGGUCUUUUUCAUCUAUUCCAUCAAGAAGGGGAAGACUGACCUCUUCAGCCUGGCUGCCUAUAUGUCUUCCCUCUAAUUGGUGACUCAUCUUUCGGAUUCGACGAAGGAGGGAUCCAAGGGGCAUGUACUAGUCAGGGGUGUCUGGGCUGGGCUGUCAGAGCAUCCGGAGAGAGCGUUUUCCCCAAACCGUUCGCUGGUGCUCCCAGGUAGGGCAACUUGUGGGGUUUGUCUAGCGUUUGCCUGUUGUUCUCUUAUUUUAGUGUUAUCAGAUGGCUAACAUUUUUGGUUGUUUGACAACGCAGGUACGGACAGGAGGGGUCGCGUGGUCGAGUGGGUGGAAAAAGUGUUUUUCGACCGCUUGAACAAGUUAUUCGAGAUCACCAUAGCUAAAAGGCAUCAUCAGACGCUGCUCACUGCUCGAAACUUGUUGACGGUUGUCCGGGAGCCUCAGCCAUACGUCACCAACAUUCUCCCUAGGUGGUUGCCAAAACGAGUAGUGCCUGGGGAGCAUUUUGUAUUGAAAGACUUGCCCUUUUACGAGAGGGCUCGCAAGGCUGACGUAAAGGCGCGCCAAGAGCGCAUUGACCAGCUAGAGGAGAAGAGGCAAGAGGGGACGAUAAGGAAAGCACCUAGUGAAAAGGGGCGCUACUCUCCUCCAGCGGCUCGUCCUCCGGCCACAAAGGAAAAAAAGAAAAAGAAGAAGACGAAGAAGACGAAGAAGACACUUGCACAGGUGCUCCAGAUUGCAGCCCCCACUCUUGAGGCUUCGUUUUCCUCUUGUAGGUCCGGACCUAGCCGGUCGGACCACACUAUUCCAGAGUCUGAGGAGGUUGAGGAAUCUGAGGCUACUUCCAGCUCCCUUCAGCUUGUAGUCUUCCACCAGGGUCCUAGCUCUCCCCAGCCUGAUCCGGAGUCUGCUGGCUUGCAAGUCGCAAAUGAGCCAGAAGAGAUGAGAAGCAUAAGUGAGCUUAGGGAGAGGCUGAUGCAAAGACAUGGCAAAAGGCUGCAUAUCCCCAUCGACCUGGGGCCUCCCCCAGCUAAGAAAGUUUGCUUGGAUCGGGGUGGGGAGGACCCGACGCUCUAGGUUCCGGUUCCAGCUGCGACCCGUCCGGAUGGGAAUGGUGCGAGCACGAGUGCCCCGGUCCCUCCGAAUGCCGCAGGGUCUAGCACGGUGGCUAUGGCUCCGAUCGACGCUCCAGGGCGUAGCUCUCCUACUAUGGUGAGGACCCCUAUGCCAGAGGGGGUUCCGGAGGCACCGAACAGUGAGGAGGCUCCGGUCGAGAGGAGUAGUUAUACUGCAGCAGUUCCUCCAAGCUGGGAGGAACUGAUGGAUAUGCUGAAGGGGGUGUCUUGCUUCACAGACGCAAAAGCGUGGCACCCUUUUGGUAUUUCUGAGUUCGCUGUGCCUUGCGUUCAGCACCUACAGGAAUGGACAAUGCCAGAGGCUGUAGAAAUGGUAAAUAUUUCUUUGUUGUUUUUCUCUUGUUUGUUAGCAGUUAUCGCUUUUCCAUGUAACUUUGUCUGCUAUUUUGUUGUCGUUUUGCCCAGGUUAUAUCCGGCAUCCGCUACAUGUUGUGCACACGCGAGCAACUUUUCCAGCGGCUGAGGGUGGCGAAGGCCAUGCGUGCCUUUAUCUCCCAGCAUCCGGGUGGCGUUGAGGGGUUGCGCGCCCAAUUGGAGAAGGUUGAAGCGGAACUGGCCUCCGCGCGGAAAGCGGUGUCAGAUGGGGCGGAGCAGCUGAGCCAGGUUGAGGGGGAGAAGGAGGCUAUCCGGGCGGGGGUUGAUACUUUAAAGAAAGAAAAAGAAGCCUUGGAGGGCCAAGUCAAUGAAGCUGGGCAGGAAAACCUCCAAUUGAAAAGAGAGACGGAGGAACUUCGGGCUAGCCUCGCCGCCCAGAAAAAGGAGUCUGAGGAUUUGCGGGCUAGUCUGGCGGCUCAAAAGGAGGAAAUGGAGGCUAGGUUCGCCGCACAGAAGAAGGAGAUGGAGGAGAAAUACCAACAGCAGGCGGACGAGAUGUACUUCUUCGGCUACCGCUGCUGUAUGAAGAAGCAUGGAAUUAUGCAUGAUACUCCUUCUUUCCAUUCUGAUGAGGAGGAUUCGGUGCCUGGGGUUCCGUCCAGCUGAGAUUUCUUUUGGUGCAGACUUUACAAUUUUUCCUUUGUUUUGCUGCGUAUGGGGCAGCUAUAUUUGUAAAGACACUUUGUUCUUUAUUUUACAAAUACACUACAUUUUCUCUAUCUCUUUUGCUUACUCUUUAUUUCCUUUCAUUGAUAAUACUGCUUAAGAUUGGAUACAUUCCAUGGACGAAGCAGCGGGGUUCCGUCUAGUUUCUAUAGAUGAUAGGCUUCGUUUUCACUUGUCUUGGAUACUAUGUAGGGGUCUUCCCAAUUGGCUUGAAACUUUCCUGCUCCUGUCUCAGCAAUGUUUUUGAAUAUCUUCCUAAGGACCAUCCUUCCACUUUUGAAGCUCCUGGGUCUUGCCUUGCGGUUAUAGUGAGCGGCUGCCCUUUGUUAAUAGUCGGUCAUCCAGAUGGAUGCGCUCUCUCUUACUUCGUCUACCUAGUCCAAAUUUCUUCCUAGUUCCGCAUUUGCAUCAUCCUAUCAUCCUACCUCGGUUCGGAUAGUGGGUAGCCCUAUUUCUGUGGGAAUGACUGCGUCCAUACCAUAUGCGAGGGCGAAGGGAGUAUUUCCUGUCGGUCAUCCGGGUGUGGUCCGAUAAGCCCACAGGACGCUGGGUAGCUCCUCUACCCACUUCCCUUUGGCUUGCUCGAGCCUCUUCUUUAAGGCAGUUAUUAGGGUUUUGUUAGUGGCCUCUGCUUGUCCAUUGCUUUGAGGAUAACGCGGUGUAAAGUAUAAAUUCCAAAUGUUUAGUUCCAAACAGAAAUUCCGGAAAGUGAUGCUAUCAAACUGUGGGCCGUUGUCAGCUAUAAUGGUUUGAGGGAUUCCAAAGCAGUAGAUGAUGUUCUUCCAUACAAACUUGGUGACAUCUUUGUCCUUGAUGCUAGCGUAUGCUUCAGCUUCCACCCAUUUGCUGAAGUAAUCCGUGGCGAAAAGCAGGAAUUUCUUCUGGGCAGCUGCGGCUGGUAGGGGUCCUACUAUGUCCAUGCCCCACUACGCGAAGGGCCAGGGGCCAAAAAUUGGUUUUAACGUCUUCAACGGCACAUGCGAUAUGGGGACAUGCCUUUGACAUUUGUCACACUUUUUGACAUAGGCUGCCACAUCUUUUUUCAUCGUGGGCCAAUAAUAUCCUUGCGAGUGGGCCCGGUGCGCUAAAGAUCGACCUUCGGAAUGAUUCCCACACACCCCUUCAUGUAACUCAGUCAACACAUACAGGGCUUCUGAGUGGUCUAGGCACCUGAGGUAGGGGCCUAUAAAGGACCGCUUGUACAAGUGCCCCCCGAUCAGGGUGAAACGGGCGGCUUGUAUCCGGGUCUUAUGUGCCUGCUUGGGCUCUUCGGGCAAAGUGCCUGUCCGGAGAUACUCUAUGAUGUCUUCCGUCUAGUCUUGGCCGUAUGCUUGGUUUGCCUCAAUGGUAUUGCAAGUGGAGGCUCCUGCGACGGAGGGGUUAGUUUGCACAUGUAUAGGCAAUAAUAUGGCUUCUUUGAUGGGGAGGGAAGCGGCUAUGCCUGCCAGGGCGUCGGCACGUCCAUUUUCAGUUCGUUUAAUUUUUUUCGAUCGUCCAUUCGGUGAACCGUUGUAAAGUGUCUCUUACUUUAGUCAGAUAUCGCGCCAUGCGCUCAUCCUUAGCUUAGUAUUAUUUCUGAACGUGUCUUACCACAAGUUGGGAAUCACUAUAGACCUGUAACCUGGAGACAAACAGGGUGAGGUCCAACCCAGAUAGGAUGGCUUCAUACUCGGCUUCAUUGUUAGACGCGGGGAAUCCCAGUUGGAUAACUUGCUAUAACUGUUCUCCUGUUAGGGACUGUAGCAGGAGCCCUACCCCGGACCCUAAUGACCGGGAGGCUCCAUCAACUUGCAAAGUCCACCAUUCUUCCCCGCAUGGUUCUUUGUGUUGGGCAGGCCUUUGGGAGUAUUCCAGCACAAAGUCAGCCAUUGCCUGCUCUUUCAUGGACAACCUGGGUUGGAAUUCAAUUCCAUACUCGCUCAACUCUAUGACCCAUUGAACCAUUCUUCCGGUCAGGUCUGGCUUGUGCAGGAUGUAGUGAAGGGGUUGAUCGGUCAGUACGACCACCGGGUAGGCUUGGAAGUAAGGGCGAAGCUUCUGGGCGGCACUUCGAAGGGCCAAAGUCGUCAGCUCCAUCUUUGAAUACCUUGUUUCUACGUCCGCCAACGCUCUGCCGACGUAAUAAAUAGGUUUCUGCUCCUUGUGCGAGGGGUAGCGGAAUAGAACAGCGUUGAUUGCCCACUCUGAUACAGUCAGAUACAUAUACAAUUUUUCUCCAGGGAGGGGGCUGGUUAAAAUGGGUGGUUGCCUAAGGUAGUGUUUGAUUUUUUUGAAAGCGCUCUAGCAGCUGUCCGUUUACCCGUUCGUGCCGGCUUUUCGUAUUGCGAGGAAGAAGAGUCGUAAUUCAUCAGUGAAGCGGGCUAUAAAGCGUUCUAGCGCGACGAGCUUGCCUGUGAGGCGCUGUAAUUCCUUUUUGCUCCUGGGGGGUGGUGUUUCCAUGACUGCCUUAACCUGAUCUGGGCUAACCUCUAUCCCCCUUUGGCUGACCAUAAAUCCCAGGAAUUUUCCAGCACUUACGCCAAAAGCGCAUUUGGACUAAUUCAAUUCCAUGUCAUACUUCCUUAAGAGGUGGAAGACUUCUUGCAAGUGGAGGGCAUGUUCCCCUCAGGUUUUGAUUUUAACCACGAUAUCAUCGAUGUAUACUUCCACUGCGCGACCGACUAGAGGUUUGAAGAUUUUCGUCAUCAAUCUCUGAUAGGUGGCGCCAACCUUUUUGAGUCCAAAUGGCAUGACUUUGUAGCAAUAAAGUCCAUGUGGCGUUAUAAAGGCUGUAUUUUCUUCGUCGGGUGGGGCCAUGGGGAUUUGGUGGUAUUCGGAGAAGGCAUCCAAGAAGGAGAGCAUUCCUUGUCCGACGGUGGAGUCUACAAUUUGGUCUAUCCGCGGUAGAGGGAAACUGUCUUUUGGGCAUGCAUUAUUGAGGUUGGUGUAAUCGACGCACACCCGCCACUUGCCUUCCUUCUUGGGAACCACUACCACAUUUUCUAACCAUUCCGGAUAUUCCACCUCUCUAAUGAAUCCAGCUUCCAGCAAUUUGUCAAUCUCAUCCCUGAUAAUCUUUUGCCUGUUUGGGUGGAAACGUUUGAUCCUCUGUCAGACGGGUCUUGCUAUUGGCAAGACGUUAAGCCUAUGAGAGACGAUGGAGGGGUGAAUUCCUUUCAUAUCAGAAUGCGCCCAUGCAAAAACGUCAUGGCUUUGUUGGAGGGCAUCUUGGAUUCCGGUGUUAAGAGGAAACUGAUAUGUGUGAGGCGAGUACUUUCUUCCGAAAUUUGAAUCGUUCGCAAGGGAUCCGCUGCCGGUGGAUCUUUGUCCGCCGGACUCAGUAAUUGCUAUUGGCCAAGUGCGUGGGUGGGCUUAGGAAGGAGUCUAUCCUCCUGGUUGGUCCCUACUUCUCGCGCUAUCUGAUAGCAUUGGCGAGCGGCUAACUGGCUGCCGUAUAGGUCGAUUUGCCCGUCUUCAGUGAGAAAGCUUACCAUUUGAUGGUACGUAGAGGGGAUGGCUUUCAUGUAGUGCAUCCAUGUGCGCCCCAAAAUAGCAUUGAAGGGUGAUAAAUCUUGUACCACAUAAAAUUGUAUGUUGAGAGUGAUUGGGCUUGCUUGGACCGGCAACACAAUAUCUCCCAAUGAGGUAGUCGCAGCUCUGUUGAAUCCGGACAAGAUUCUCCUAGGGUUUUCGAGGCCGGACAGAUCGCGUCCCAUGUGGCUAAUUACCAACUCUUGCAAAAGAUCGGUCGAACUGCUUGGGUCAAUUAGGAUGCGUCUCACGUCGAAGUCUCCCAUCCCUAGGGAUAGGAUGAGGGCGUUGCGGUGAGGCUGUAAUAUCCGUGUGGGGUCUACUAAAGGGAAAAUGAUUGUCCCAUCUAUGGGCUGGGGGCCCCCACCAGCUAUCCCAGGUCGUAUGGAGUUGACGCACUCACGUACCGAUGCUGCCCGCAACAGCCUCUGUCUCUUUCGUUUGGAGUCGUAUUCCUCAUCCAGUGGACUUCCGUGAAUACAGUUUAUAAUGACUUUGGGGGCGGCUGGGAUCCUGGGGGUUCCUAAGUUGUGACUUCGGGAAGUGUCUCUAACUCUGGCGUCUGAGCGGAGGUAUUGCUUCAAAUGUCCCACCUUUAUGAGUCUUUCCACCAAAUAAUGGAGGCUCCUGCAUGCCUCCGUAGUGUGGCCGUGCUCCUUAUGGUAGGCACACUUCUUACUAUGAUCCCUUUGGGCUAGGUCCGCUCUGAGGGGUCCGGGCCACCUGAAGUCGGACAGGUCCUGGAUCAUAGGGAGGAGCUUCUCAUAGGAUAUGGAAAGGGGUGUGAGGGGUGGUCGUUCUGGGCGGCUUUGUUCUUCUUGUCUUCAACCGGACGGCCUUGGCCAGUCCGGAGGUUUGGCACUUCUUUCCACACCACUUCUGGAUGUUUGGCCGGCGACCAAGAUUUGCUGGGUGGUUGCUCGCACAUCAUCCUCCAACAUUGAGUAUUUGCUCGCGCGCCGGAACAAGUCAUCCAUUGUCGUAGGAGGCUUCUUAGCGGCGAUUCAAAGAAUGGAGUGUAGACACUCUAUUUUGUCUUCCUCACACAUGUCGUUUAUAGCAAUUCCCUGGUGGCCCAUGAAUACUCGUGUAGCCCAUCUUUUCUAAGCCACCUUGGGGACUUUGGUUGAGGGGUUCAUUUAACCCCGUUGUGACUCUUGGCAGCCCUAAUUUAGACUUAGGCUCACAUAGCCACCUUAGGCACCUUGGGCCCAUUUAGGCACCACACUUGGCCCAUUAGGCAUCACCCUAGGCCCAUUUAGACACCUUAGGUUCACUUAGUGCACCUUAGGCCCAUUAGGCAUCACCCUAGGCCCAUUAAACGCACUUGGCCCAUUAGGCACCGCCUUAGGCCCACUUAAACACUUUUCAAGGUUUAGUUUCACUUAGAUUUGUUUUCUUGUUUUUAUUUAUUUAUUUAUUUUAUUGAUUGCUUUUAGGAUUAAGUGAGUUUUGAUAUAUUUAUAUUAUUUCAUCAUUAUUAUUAUUUGUAUUUUUUUGUUUAUUUAUUUUAUUUUAUAAUUGCAUGAAAUGAGUUUUUAUUAUUAUUAUUAUUAUUAUUAUUAUUAUUAUUAUUAUUAUUAUUGGUGGCUUGGGUUUGACACUUCGACUAUUAUUAUAUGUUGCAUUAGUUUAAUCCUUUUUAUUAUUAUUAUUAAAUAUAUCUAACAUUUAUUUAUUUAUUUAAUUAUUUAUUUUUAGGUAUGUAUCCUCUUAUCUAUGUAUUGAUAUUUUCCUAUUUGGGAUUUAAGGACUUCUUGAAAUUUUAAUGAAAGAUAUGUUGACUUUGAAUGACGGGAAUGGUUUUGACUUCAUGGAUUCUUGCUUUCUUUUUUGGAAUUUUUUUUUAUUAUUAUUGUUAUUUUUCCAUGUAGGUGGAGUCAAUGGGAAGGUGUGCAGAAGAUGCUCAUGGAAAGGGACCACACUGUUUUUUGGAAAGGUGGAUUGGGGCGUGGAAGCGGAAUAUAAAUAAUGGAUGAAUGAGGAUGUUUUUUUGGGGAAGAUACAAAGAAGGAUCAGAAUUUUUUAGAAAUGAAGGAGAAUGACACACGGGUUGAUGGAUGAAUGAAGCCGGUUGUAGGAAAAAUUACCAAAGUGGUUUUGGCAAGUGAAAAGGAAAAAGAAAAGACUUAGCAUGUACGUGGACGGAAUGAGGGCUAGGACUAAAAAAACAAAAGAAAAUUCUGAACGUGCAUGGAAAGGGUAUGGGGAAGGCUGGCUUUUGGAAGGUGAGGCUAUGCAGGAAAAGAUAGCAGAUUGGGUGAUGAAGUGGGCUGGUUUUGGAGAGAAUAAGGGAGGAUUGAGAGCACGGAAAAUGGGACGAUUGAAAAAGAAAGUGAUUUUCUGGAGGGAAGCGGCAGCCGCACCGUGAAAGAAAAGAAAUUUUUUUGCAUUCAAGAGGAAGGAAAAUGAUCGGCCGAAGGAUUUUCUGGAAGGAAGUGGCAACCGCACCGUGAAAGAAAAGAAAUUUUUGCAUUCAAGAGGAAGGAAAAAGGGAUCAACUGAAGGGAUUCUGGGGGAAAGUGGAGAAGGUGCAGUCGCACCAUUCAGAGAUCCAGAGGAAGGUGAAGGAAACGGGAAAUAAGAGAGGAGAAAAGAAAGCUGGGUUUCGGAGACAAUUUCCAGUUUCUCUCAUCAGAGACACCACAGUCGCACCAGAAUUUUAAGGGGAGAGUCUUCUGUCCAGACAGCUAUAGAUCGGGUUCUGAAACGUGAUCCUCCACUGCUUAUGUUGCCGCAACACCUUGUGCCAUACUCAUGCAUCUCCGGUAACACCCUACUACCAUUGGAGAUCCACACCAGCUUGUCAAUCCCGCUACCUGAACACCACAAGCGCACCAGAAUUUUAAGGGAAAGGCUUCCACCACUCUACAGAUCUUCACGACUUCAUCUUCAAGAGCACAAGUGUGCACGCUAUCAAAGGAAAUUCCUCUCCAUUAACGUGCAGUGCAUUUGGGAUUGUGCAGAAGCCAUCAUGCCAUGCAUUCUUGGCACUAUUUUAAAAAAUCCUACUAUCACUUUUGGUGGAAAACGACCCAUGCUUUAUUGGAAAAGGUAAGCUAAAGGUAAGCUAGAACUCUUUGUUUAAUUUUUGAUGUGUGAAUCUUAAUUUGGUAGUGGUUUUAGAAUUUUAGUUUUUUUUUUAAUUUAAUUAAUUCCAUGAUGAUAUAUUCAUCUAUGUGCUUUAGACUUUAUUUUUUAUGUUUUUAUUUCUUUUUUAAUGUUAAUGUGAAUAAAAAAAUAAAAAUUUGUUUAGAAAUGUUUAGAUAAUUAAUUUAGUGAAUCUCAUAUUGGUGUUUGUGUAUUUCCGAAUUCGUUAAUUUUGAUUUUAAUCCAUUAAUAUUCAAUUGUGUACUUGAUUAUAAUUUUAGUUAGUUAAUUUAGUUAAUCACGUGUUAUCGUUUUCGUGUUUUAAGUUUAUUAAUUUUAAUUUUGAUCCGUUAAUAUUUAGUUUGAGUAUUUUAGAGUUUUAGUCAAUUAAUUUAGUCAAUUACAUGUUAUUAUUUUCGUGUUUUAAGUUUAGUAAUUUUAAUUUAGAUCUAUUACUUAAAGGUUAGAACCGUGUUUAAAUUUAGUUUUGAUGUAUCAUUUUAAAUUAAAAAAGAAAUAAAAUUGAUUUCAUAUAGUUUUAGCUUUGAUUCAUUAUAUUAGAAAAAAAGAAUGAUUUGAUCUCUAUUUAAUUUAAUUUUGAUUCAUUGCAUUAGAUUGAAAGCAUUUGAGUUUUAUUUAUUUAUUUAUUUAUGUAUUUUCUACUCAUUUAAUUACUUGUUAUUCAUUUAUGUAUUUAUUAAUAAGAUUGAUUCUAUAGGUUAGACAUAUAGUUUUAAAAUUUGUUUUGGUUAGUUUUUAAAUGAUUUUAGGUGCAAGUGUUUUAUAAAAUUUUAGUUCGUUAAAUAAUUGAUCAUAUGUGUUAAGGAUUUGAUUUUUAGAUUUGCCUUAUGUUUAAUUCAUUCACCUAUUCAGUUUAGGUAUUUUCUAUAAUAUUAGUUCUUUAAUAAAAUUAAUUCUAUGAUUGGAAAUUCAUUUUGAUUGUUACUCUUAAUUGACGUGUUUCUUGAAAAUUAGUUAUUAAUUCUUGGUGAGUACCUCGUUAGCUUAUUUGACCUAAGUUUGAAUAAUUUAUUUUGGUAGUCUCUGGUAAAAUCUACUUUUCGGAGGCCAUCGGAAAAUAGUGAAGAUUGACCUCCAUUCUCAUCACUUCAAUUUUCUCAGUUGUCAAAAAUUCUACUUUGUGAUUUUGUUCUUUUUGUUUAGCUUGGUAUUUUGAUUCAUAUAUUUUAUUGUUUUCAAAUUAAUUUCUUUCAUUUUUUAAAACAUAACAUUGUUCUCAAAAAAUCGCUUUAAAAAUCCAUUUCAAAAAUUCAUUUAGAGUUCUUAGAAUCAAAAUCUCAUUUUCCUUAAAAAUUCAUUUCAAAAAUUCAUUUAGAGUUUCUUAGAGUCAAAAGAUCCCCUUAACAAUCCAUUUCAAAAAUUCAUUUAGAGUUUUUAGAAUCAAAAUCUCAUUUUUUAAAAUAAUGUGCAACCAUGUUUUGAUCGGUUCAUAUCUUUCAAAUAAAAUUACAGUUUUGAAUAAAACACGAAUCAAAGCUUGUGGUCCCAAAUAAAUGAGAUAAUUCUAGGCUAAAUUCGUGUAUAUCAAUUGGGGAAUUGGUGAAACCCCUACAUAAGAAAAUCUUUUCAAAAAUUAUUUUUGUUGCCACUUUUGUCACUUGUUGAAAUUAUGUCUAUCUUUUUUUAGGAAUUGUAUACAAGAUGAGUGUGAUAAUUAGUGUUUUCAUAUACUUUGAUAAUUUCUACUAUGCUAAUUAGAUAACGAGCAUGCUAGGAUUUCUAUAUUUUAUUAUUUAUUAUCUAACCCCUCAUGUCUUAUGGAAGCGCGUUGUAAGUUAUCUAUGUUAUCCAGGUAUGUCCCCUAUCACCUACUUUCUAAAUUUUGUAAAUAAUCAUGUCACUGUGAAAUAUGCAUAUGAUUGAUAAUCCUUAGGUGCUUAGAUGUAUGCUAGAUUCGCUAUGAUUAAAUACAUGUUCUGUGUUAUACUUCUAUACUAACUUUGAUGUCUUGUGAUAGCGCUUAAGAAGCAGUCCAAGUACGUACCCUAAAUCUUCUUCAUGAUUGUGAUUGGUUUUCCUGCUAAGCAUGCUAUUUUUCGAAAUCACCUAGCCUACUUAGGUAUCCAUGAUUAAUCGGUUAAUUGCUAUAUUCCCCUUAACUUAGUUAGUAGAGACCUUUAUAGGGCUUAGAGGGGUGCUACCUUUUAAAGGUACCUUCCCAAUAGGCAACUUGAUCCCCGGAUCUAGACUCGGGUUUUUUCAAAGACAUGCCUUUUUCCAAAAAUUAUGGAGUCAUUUUUUAGGGUUUUUCUUUCUUGUUUUAUUUUCUCUUUAAAAUAAAAAUAAAAUAAGUGGCGACUCCAACUUUUUUUCCAAAAAUUAAUUUUUUCACAAAUAAAUAAAAAACGAGUCUCGCCGAUCGAGUGGGGGCGCAGGUGAAAAAUGCGGGUCCACAUGGAGUACCUGGACAGAUGCUUCUCUUGAAGAUCUGAAGGACAACAUCCAUGUUGUAAGCCUCUACUUGUAACACAACCUGACCAAACCGCUUCACGAACUCUCUUAAAGACUCAUUCUCCUGCAUUUUUAUGUUUUGCAGGGUGCUAAUGUUCUGUUUAUGCUGAGCUGAGCAUAAGUAUUGUCCCACAAAAGCUUUCGACAGAUCCCUGAAAUUAUCAACAAAGUUAGGGGGUAGAUGGUGAAACCAUGAGAGAGUCUGCCCUUGUAGGCUGGCGGGGAAUACUUUCCAUAGCAGUGCGUCGUUCCCUAUAUCGAGAGUCAUGAGUUGUCGAUAAUGUAUGAUAUGGUCGAAGGGGUCACUGGACCCAUCGUACGUGGAAAAUUUAGGCACGAGAAAUCCCCUUGGGGGGUCGUAAUGAAUAAUAUGCAAGCAAAAAGGUGUGGAGAGCAUGUCGUCCAGCCUUUUGCUGAUGGAGCCAGUAGGUGGCUCGUUUGGGAGGUUUCUCCCAGCUUGUCGUACCGCUUAGUGCAGGAGGACAUUCUUCACCAUGGGUGUGACUAGGGGGUCAGGGUGCGUUCCCCAGGUUGUGGCUACUGGCGGCCUUGUCUUCCCGGGUCCCUGUGGGCCUAGCCUCACGAGCAUCGCGUCCGAAAAUUAGGGUCUUUUGUCACGUUGUCUCUUUGAUGAGAGACGAGUAGAGUCUGAGCUUUCCUCCUGGGGAGCUUGGUGCAUGGGCGUGUGUCGUUCUUGUGGUCUAACAUUGCCCGUCUCGGGGAUGACCCCCGCAGUCCCAGGGUAUAUUGACUCGGGGUCAGGCCUUGAGUUCGCUCCCUGGCCUCUUGAGCGUUGACCAUGAGGGGUCCUGUUGAUGAAGCCUGGAUGCGUAACACAGCGUUUUCUUCUCUGUCUUGCUGUUUCCUGGAGGAGAGCCUGCAUUUGUCACUUGCUUUCCAACUGUCUUCUCUCGAUGGCUUCGCGCCAUUCGAAAUAAUCUUUGUCUCCCUUAGCCGACGAGCGGCUUCUGGAAGGUGUGGACAUUUUUGUCGUCGACUGAAUCAGAGCGUUCCCACAGACGGCGCCAAUGUUUGAGUUUUUAUAUUUUGAAGCAUAUGAAAGAUUAUCAAGUUGAUGACUCAUUAUCAAUCAGAGCCCACCAUCUUUGGUAAUUGUCCUUUUGAAAAAUGAUAAAUGAACAAACGGGUCAAACAUUAGUAGUAUGGAGCCCACCAUCUUUGCUAAUUCUCCCUUUGAAAAAUGAUAAAUGAACAAACGGGUCAAACAUUAAUAGUAUGGUACCGAAAAUAACUCUUCCGUGUCAUACCUCUACAAUGACCACAAGUGAGAAUGUAAAUCAGUCAAGACAAUUAUAAUAAAGUAGCAUCCGUAUUUAUUUUAUUGAAUUAGAAUUAUAAUUUGAUUAAAAUGAUAAGAAUUAUAACAACCAAUUCUAUUAUUUAAAGAUAAAUUGUCUAAAUAAGAUUAAAAAUUAAAAAUUAAUCCAUCUAACAACAUAGUUAAAAUGGAUUUAUAUAUCAUAAAAAAUCAUCACCGAAGAAACCAAUAACCAUAAAAAUAAAAGUUGAAAAUCACCUAUAAACAAAUCAAAAAAGAAAAAAGAGAAAAUAAUUUUUUUAUAUUUGAUUAACUCUAUGAGUUGGAUAUCUUCCACGACAGCUGUGAUGAUGAAUGUAAUUAAAGAGAGAAUGGAAGAGGAGAGACAAAAUGAAGUAUAUAUAUUUUCAAUUUUAAGAUGCAUGGUGAAGAUCUCGUCUUGCACAUCCAUUGGCGCAAGAUAUUCUUCAAUUGCUACCACACAGUGCUGUAGAAUUUUCCUAGAAGAUAUAUUGAAAGGGAAGUCAGUGGAAAGGAGAUUUCGACUCACCAGUCGCUGGGCCACAGGUCUGCCACUGCCUGUUUUGGAUGGCAAUAAGAUUAUUGAUGGGCUGCUUAAACGCUGCUUAUGAGUUAUGGGUAACAUGAAAAUUUCAACCAGAAGGUGGUCUGCUAAUCUCGUUUUCUUGCUUAUUUCUUCAGGUUUUCACUUGCAAUUUGUUGAUGCAUUUACAGAUACAAUCUUACAAGGUCAAUCACUCAUAACCUCUCAGACCAUCAUAUCUGCUGGUGGUAACUUUGAAUUAGGAUUCUUUUCUCCUGGAAAGUCCACAAAAUAUUAUGUGGGGAUAUGGUACAAGAAAAUCUCAGAGCAAACCAUUGUGUGGGUAGCUAACCGAGACUAUCCAUUCACAAAUCCGUCCGUGGUUCUUACUGUCAGCACAGAUGGCAACCUCGAGAUUUUGGAGGGGAAGUUUUCGUACAAGGUGACAAGCAUAUCAUCAAGCAGCAACACUAGUGCCACCCUGUUGGAUUCUGGAAAUCUUGUUUUGAGAAAUAAGAGGUCAGAUGUCUUAUGGGAGAGCUUUGACUAUCCAUCGGACACGCUCCUGCCCGGAAUGAAACUUGGAUAUGACAAAAGGGCUGGAAAAACAUGGUCAAUGGUGUCAUGGAAGAGCGCAGAAGAUCCCAGUCCAGGAGAUUUCUCCGUGCAGGUCGACCCUAAUGGAACUAGCCAGUUUUUUAGCCAGCAAGGACCCAACAGGUAUUGGACUAGUGGGGUGUGGGAUGGGCAGAUUUUCGGCCAGGUUCCUGAGAUGCGUUUCUUCUAUAUGUAUAAGUACAAUACAUCCUUUAAUGAGAAUGAAAGCUAUUUUACUUACUCUCUUAAUAAUCCCUCCAUUCUGAGCAGAGUGGUGCUAGAUGUGUCGGGCCAGAUUAGGCAUCUGAAUUGUCAAGAAGGCACACAUGAAUGGGAUUUAUCUUGGCUUCAUCCAAGAACACAGUGUGAGGUUUAUGUCUAUUGUGGGCCUUUCGGAAUCUGCACUGGGGAUUCUGUUGAAUUUUGUGAAUGCUUGCCAGGUUUUGAACCUCGCUUCCUUGAAGACUGGAAUCUGCAAGACAGAUCUGGAGGGUGUGUGAGGAAAGCAGAUUUGGAGUGUGUCAAUGAAAGCCAUGCUAAUGGGGAGCGAGACCAGUUUCUUUUGGUGUCUAACGUGAGACUGCCCAAGUAUCCAGUAACAAUACAAGCAAGGAGUGCUAUGGAGUGCGAAUCAAUUUGCCUGAAUAGCUGCCCUUGCUCCGCUUAUGCUUAUGAGGGAGAUGAGUGUAGAAUAUGGGGUGGAGAUCUUGUAAACGUGGAGCAGCUACCAGAUGGUGACAGUAAUGCUAGAAGUUUCUAUAUCAAACUUGCUGCCUCUGAGCUAAAUAAGAGAGGUAAGAAAAAAGAGUCAUAGUUGUUAUUGUAGGAGGACAUAAAGCAUCUGGGUCUUGUUUUGUUUUCAAAAUAAAAUGGCCAUCGAUUCAGCUAAAUUUAAUAUGAUAUAUUUCCUUCUACAGUUUCAAGCAGCAAGUGGAAGGUAUGGUUAAUUGUUACACUGGCCGUAUCUUUAACUUCAGUCUUUGUCAAUUAUGGGAUAUGGCGAAGGUUCCGAAGAAAAGGUCAGUAUUUCUCAUGGACAGAAGGAUAGCCAAGCAGUUCAACAGUUUUUAGGUUUCAUCUGCAAAUACAAAACCAGUUCUUUUUUUAAAUGAGUUCAUUACCACUGUUAUUGAAUAAUUGAGGUAACAUUAGGAUUUCAAUGUUCUGAUUACAUGUGAGUGUGUAUGUGGAAUCCAAUGUGAGAAAUAAUUUAUUCCCGUGCCAGAAUUCCUACAUUCUUAUGAUAUUUAAUGUCUGUUUGUUCUUUACCAAGCAGGGGAAGAUUUGUUAGUAUUUGAUUUCGGUAACAGCUCAGAAGAUACCAGCUAUGAGCUUGGCGAGACAAAUAGACUUUGGAGGGGUGAGAAGAAGGAAGUUGAUUUGCCCAGGUUCAGUUUUGCGAGUGCAUCUGCUUCUACAAAUAACUUCUCUAUUGAAAAUAAACUAGGAGAGGGCGGUUUUGGAUCUGUUUACAAGGUGAGAUUACAACCCCUGACAAUAAUGUUCUACAAUCUGUCCUGGAAUGUAAAGGCCCACUUGAUAUACAUCAAAUUUUUUUUACCUGGUGUAAUUGUAGUCACUUGAAAUUCUCAUGACAGGGAAAGUCACAAAGAGGAUAUGAGGUAGCUGUGAAAAGGCUCUCAAAAAGAUCUAAACAGGGAUGGGAGGAGUUAAAAAAUGAAGUCAUGCUUAUAGCCAAGCUGCAACACAAGAAUCUUGUGAGAGUUUUGGGAUACUGCACCGAGCGGGAUGAGAAGAUAUUGAUUUAUGAGUAUAUGUCCAACAAAAGCUUGGAUUUCUUCCUCUUUGGUUUGUAACUUCCACAUACAUAUACUUCCAGCUACUGUACAUUCAAUGAGAAAACUUUACACAUUCAUCAUUCUUCACCACUUAUUUGCUAACAUCUAUUUAUUUGGUGUAAAAUGGAGGUAGAUCCUACAAAACAUGGGAUUCUGAAUUGGAAGACACGGGUUCACAUCAUUGAAGGGGUUGCUCAGGGACUUCUUUAUCUGCAUCAGUACUCCAGAUUGAGGAUUAUUCAUCGAGAUUUGAAGGCUAGCAACAUUCUUCUGGAUAAGGAUAUGAAUCCUAAAAUAUCAGAUUUUGGAAUGGCAAGAAUAUUUGGAGGCAAUGAAUCAAAAGCAACAAAUCAUAUAGUUGGGACUUAGUAAGUGAAACCUGACAAAUUAUAAAAUAUGUGAAUGUUCAUACAACAUUUGAAAUCAUGCAGCUACUGAAUGAUUUUUCUCAUUAAUAAUCAAAUCCAGCGGCUAUAUGUCCCCUGAGUAUGCUUUGGAAGGUCUUUUCUCCACUAAAUCUGAUGUCUUUAGCUUUGGGGUCUUGUUAUUGGAGAUUUUGAGUGGCAAGAAGAAUACUGGAUUUUACCAAACCGACUCGCUCAAUCUUCUUGGAUAUGUGAGUAACACAAUAUUUAUUCACUUACAUAACUAUUUAUGAUGUUUUGAUAUGCUAAUUCCUAGUUUUCAAUUCCCUUGUUAUAUUACCUAUCCGGUUGUCUUGGGAUACUAGUAAAUUUUCACAUUAUGUCUACCACUCAGUUUCAAGGCUUAUUUUAUAUUGUUGGCUGAUAUAUAAAGGACUUUAUUAUCUUUUACUUUUCGGGAAUUUGCAUCAAUGGAUAAUUUUCUUCAUUUAGGUAUGGGAUCUGUGGAAAGAUAGCAGGGGGCAGGAGUUGAUGGAUCCAGGAUUGGAAGAGACAUUGCCAACACACAUUCUGUUGAGGUACAUCAAUGUAGGCCUUCUUUGUGUUCAAGAAAGUGCAGAUGACAGGCCUACCAUGUCUGAUGUUGUCUCAAUGCUUGGCAAUGAAAGUGUACGUUUACCUUCUCCAAAACAACCGGCAUUUUCAAAUCUGAGAAGUGGGGUGGAACCACAUAUAUCCCAAAACAGGCCUGAAGUUUGUUCCUUAAAUGGUGUGACACUUUCAGUUAUGGAAGCACGAUAGUGGUUCUGAACUUAAUUAAUAAUAUGCUUAAAUUUGAGCAUAUUGUCUUGUAUUGUUCUUGGUGAAUUCAUAGCUCAUAUACUAAAAUGGACAAGUGACCUUAUGUGUGUAUUUUUCUUCCAAAACAGUUUAAUAAUCAUCUUGUACUCAAUCCCCCUAUGGAUUCAGACCUGUGUCUUAGCUUCCUAUUUGAAAUUGCUACUAAAUCUGACUUUAUCUGGUCAAAUUUGGAUUUAGUUUGAAAAUGAUCUGUUCCAUUGUCGAUCCAAAGAGUAAAAUACAACUUUUUUCAUUGCUAAUUAGUAGCUAACAAAAGGUGCCUCUAGGGCCAAUCCAGCUAUAGAGAAUCAACCACCCACCUUCCACUUCCUCUCUUAUGGAUGUUUUUGAAUGCCUUGGCAUAUGUAUAUCAUGUACAUAUACACCACCAAUUUGGCCUGGGAUCAGUUUCAUCAAGUAUUUCAGGAGACAACAUAAAACAAGUCAAAAAGUAUAUAAUUACGAACUAAUUGGCCAUCCAGCACAGAAAAUCCAUCUCCCAAUGGGGCCUUAAAGCACUUGAAUUUACUGUUCUUUCCAUCAUUAUUUUCAUUCUGGGCAUGGCCUAGAUUGAAGAAAGGUCCGACACAAAUUGGAAAAGUCAUAGAAGGAAAUAUAUCUAGAAGGGAAUCCUAACAAAAGGUCUUUCAAAACUGCUACACCUUGCUUUGAAUGGUACCUGGUAUCUACAUUGAAUGAGUGUUUUUCCUAUGUCCCACCAUUAAAAUGAAUGGGAGUCUUGCAAAUUACAUAGAUUUUUUUUUUAUAAUGUAUUAUUUUAUAAAUUUCAUAGAAUUAUUAAUUUAGUAUUUUAGCCCCAAAGUCCCUAAAAAACAUUAUUUGCUUGAGGGGUUCAUAUUAUCAUGCAUUAAUUUAUUGAAAUUCUACUAUUUUUUCCUUAAUUAAAAAGUGAAUUUUUUAUUUUAUUAUUUUAUUUUUCUUUAACAAAAAAAGUCACUUUUUCUCUUUUUUCUUUGAAGUCCUCUAACUUCAUAACACUCGAACUCAUUUUCUCAUACAAAAUAAAAUUAAUCAAAUUCAAAUUUGAAACAUUGAAAAUUAAUCAAUAACAUAAAAAUCAAUUUAUAUAAUCAAAAACCUUAAUUAUUAUCAAAUUACUAACUUUCUAACUAUUUACAUGAUUAAUCAUUAUAAGAUUUUUAUUAUGACAAUAGAUUUUGGUACUGAUGAUCUACAACCCUGAUCUGUAGACACACAAGUCCCUGUCAUCAAACCCUGAUCUAGAACAGUAUUUGACAUCAUGGAAAUGCACUGAUGAUCCAUCCACUAGAAACUUCACUUGGAGAUUAGAUAUUCCCAGGCUGCCUCAACUGGCUGUUGGAAUGGGAUCAGUCAAAAAGUACCGCACAGGGCCAUGGAAUGGAGUUUGAUUUAAUGGUUUACCAGUGUUUCCCAAUGAGGAGGUCUAUUUACCAUUAAUGAUUUUUAAUGAGGAGAAUGUAUAUUACUUGCCUCAGGCUGGCAACUACUCUGCUAAUCUGAGAGUCACCAUCAAUCAUUUAGGCUUGCUGCAAUGGAAUAUAUUGAAUGAAAGCAAUGAUGAGUGAACUACUAUGUACACUGUACCAUAUGACCUAUGUGACAACUAUGGACAGUGUGGUAUGCUCUAUGUGACAACUAUGGACAGUGUGGUGCUAAUGGCAUUUGCAGGCUUUCCAGCAUGCCAGUCUGUGAGUGUUUGAAGGGGUUCACCCCCAACUCAAAAGGAGAAUGGGAAAUGUUUGAUUGGUCUAGUGGAUGUGAAAGGGCAGGACCUUGGAUUGCAAGAGCAAAGAUGACCUUAUGAAGGUCUUAGGGAUGAAAUUGCCUGACUUGUUGGAGUUUCGGUUGAACAAGAGCAUGAGCCUCAAGGAAUGUGAGGUAGAGUGCUUGAAGAACUGCUCCUGUGUGGCAUUUGCGAAUUCAAACAUUAAAGGUGGAAGCAGUGGAUGUUUGACCUGGUAUGGAGAUCUGAUUGAUAUUAAAGGGUUCACAGAUGGGAAAAGUGGGCAAGACCUUUAUAUCAGAUGUCCAGCUGGGGAACUAGGUAAGAGUAUUUGACACUCUUUUCACUUCCAAGCUCUUUUAUUGUUCAUCCAUGAAGGUUUAACAUGCAUUGCAAUCCGGAUUGCAUGGUUGAUUAUUUUCUCUAGGUGAGUUAGGAUCUUUUUCAUUUUUGGGAUAUGAAAGAAAGUUAGGAUUGUUUGUCAUAUAUCCUCAGUAAUGGUUUCUAUCUUUUAACUAAAGGCACAGAAACAAUUGAUGGCCAACUCUCUCUGCAGUAAGGUGCAGACAAAACUGAAGCGAGGAUUUGAUAACAAAAGUUUUUAGCAAAAUGAUUAAAUUUCUUCCCAUCUCCUGCUUCAGGGUCAAUCCAUGGUUCAAAUAAGAAGAAAUAACUGGUUGCUGUCCUAGUUGCAUCGACCAUUUCUGGAAUGCUAAUCUUGGGCUUGGUGUUCUGGUGCAUAAAAAGGAAAAAAAAAAAAGAGGUAAUCCUAAUUAUUGGUCCAUUCAUUGUUUCAACUUUCAUCAUUGAAAAUCUAUAUCAUACAACUGGAUCCUGAGUACAGUAAUGAAGUAGGCACUAUCUCAUCAAUAGGCCUGGAAAGUGAGAUGGAAGAUUUAGAGUUACCUUUGUUUGAAUUGGCUACCAUUAAUACUGCUACUAACAACUUCUGUGUCAUAAAUAGAACUGGCACAGGCAGCUUUGGUCCUGUUUUCAAGGUAACAUUUGAUUGUAAGAAAAAGUGUGUUUCCUAUGAGACAAUAUGCAGGGCAGUUUGUCAAUAGGACAAGAAGUAGCAGUGAAGAGGUUGUCAAAGAAUUCAGGACAGGGUCUUCAAGAGUUUAAGAAUGAGAUCUUUUUAAUUGCCAAACUCCAACGCAAGAAUCUUGUAAAGCUUUUAGGCUGCUGCAUUCAGGGACAAGAAAGGAUAUUACUCUAUGAAUAUAUGCCCAACAAGAGUUUGGAUUAUUUUAGUUCCGUUUGAAAUUCUCAACCCUUUAGAUCUCUUUGGACUGGUUUGGGUACAUGAUCAUCCAUACCAUGCUCAUGCAUCUAUAGAGUACAAAUAGUUAUAAUCGCAAAAUUUACAAGGGUUGAAAUGAUGUGCAGAUCAAAACAGAAGAGCGUUAUUGCCAUGGAAAAAGCGCUUUGACAUUGUUAUGGGGAUCGUGCAAGGACUUGUUUAUCUCCACCAAGAUUCUAGACUUCAAAUCAUUCAUAGGGAUCUCAAGGCAAGCAAUAUACUGACAGAUGAAAACCAGAACCCCAAAAUUUCAGACUGGCUUGGCAAUAAUUUUUGGAGGGGGAUGAAAUGGAAGCAAAAACAGAGUGAUUGGAACAUAGUAAGUUCUGUACUUCGACUUUAGAAAUGAUGUGCUUUUCCUUGAAAUAACUUAUAUUUGAAAUCUUCAUGCAGUGACUGCACGUCCCCAGAGUAAGUGAUUGAUUGCAAAUUUUCUGUUAAAUUUGAUAUCUUUAGUUUUGGUGUGCUUCUGCUGGAGAUUGUGGCUGGUAUAAAGAACAGGGGGUUCUAUCAUUCAAACUACCACCAUAAUCUUCUGGGACAUGCAAGUAGAAAGAAAGAAAAUCCACCUCUGUCACACACACACAUCAAAGACGCAUGCCCUCUCUUGCUUUUCUGACAAAGUAUAUGGCUUCCAAUUGCUUUAGACAUGGUUGCUUUGGAAACAAGACAAGGCCUUGGAUGUAAUGGCUGCAUGUUUGGAGGACUCAUGUAUUGAAUCCCAGCUACUAAGAUGCAUACAAGUCGGUUUAUUAUGUGUUGAAAACCUCCCAGCAGAUAGACCAGCUAUGUCAUCUGUGAUUUUCACGUUGGGUACUGAGGGAGCAACACUACCUUAACCUAAACAUCCUGCUUUCUUCACAGAAAUAAGUACGAUUGAUACAGAUGCAACAACAGGACGUGAAGAGUUACCUUCAGAAAAUGUAGUAACCAUCUCAGUGCCAGAAGGUAGAUAAAGGAUUCAAGCACUGUGUCAACAUGUGCAGGGUGCAUCCAAGGUUUUAUUCAUGUAGGAUAUAGCACUAGGCUCUUCAAUGGAUGGGCACCAAUUUCCUUAAGGUUGCAAAACUAGAUACAGCUUGGCCCCAAGGAGGCCAAGGUAUUGGAUUUACUGCACUAGAACCAUAUCUGCUGGGCUUCAUAAUCCUCUAAAUGUAUGAAUAAAAUGUGCUGGAGUGUGUCCUCUAUGGCAGCUCAGGGCAGUGUGAUUUGUAACUUAAAACUCACUAGUACAACUUUUGAAAUUCAUAUUUUCACAGGAUCAAGUUGGGUAUAUGCACAAGAAUGUGGAUUCUGCAGUCAACUUGGCUGCUUCACUUUCUUUUCCUCAGAGUUCACAUUUAUAGGGCUUAUAUAGAUGCUGAGCUAUACAAAAAUCUUGAUUUGAAAUCUCAAGAAUUUCUAGAGGUGUUCAAAAUCCUUUGAAAUGUCCUUGGGAAGUGCAAUGAGCUUGCAACAAAUUGGAGUGAAUGGAGAUAAACAAAUUGAAAAUCAAAUGAGAGGAUUUGAAGCUUAAACAAAUAAACACCUUCACAGAAUAAGGUGUGAAUCUCUACUGUCUCUCUCAAGUUAGACAUCUUUUAACUUCUUUUCAUCUUCCCAGAAGCUUCAAAAUUUUUUGCAAAACAUUAACUUGAAUACUAUACAGUGGCAAACCUUAGUGGGAGCUUUCAAAUUAUUUAGGAGAAAGAAUUCAAGAACUAUGUAACAGAUGAUUCACAUAGAUUCUUUCCUUAGGACUAACAUGGAAAGAAUUCAGGUAAAUAGAGAUGAAUGUUUAUCAAAUUAACAGAGACAAACCUGCCAAGCAACCAUUGAGAUGCUGCAAGCUCAAUUCAGAUCGUUUGAUCUUGCAAUAUUUUUUUCCAAUUAAUUGAGGGGGCAUAAGAGAAGACACUGAUUUUACAUCUUAGUAACUUGUUUUUCAUUGGAAUUGGAAAUUUCCAAGUUACCCUGUUUAGACAGUUCUUCCAAUUGAAAUGAUUGAGCCCUUAAACUUGCAUAGCACGGUACUCUGUUAAGAUUCUGGAGUCUUUGAAGACUGCAACCUGAUCCACUUGAUGCUGUGUCAUGGUUCAAUUAACUAGCUAGUCAUGCUUGAGAGGACCUGUCUGACAAACACCAGGAAAAAUCUACAUUAGCAACUAUUUUAUUUUAAUUUUCUUCCUAUGUCUAUAAGUAGAUAGCAUAGAGUGAUUUGUGGUAUAUCCUCUAUGGCAUCAUGUUUUUCCAUAAACACAUUGAUGAUGAAUAAGCUUUCAUAAAUUAGAUAGGGCAUGAGCUCUCCAUGUGGCACUAUUUUUUUUUUGUGGAAAAUAAUUUAGUAUUUUAAGUUUACUACAACCCAUAAAACUUUCCCUUCAUUUGGAAAAAACGAAUCUGAAGCUACCCAGAAGCUGACCUGAAAAGACAUGUCUUAAUUGUUCUUUUAAUUAUUAAUUUUAUUGUGGGCAUGGCCUAGGUUGAGAAAGGUCCAAUAAGGCUUAGAAAAGUCAUGGAAAGAGAUAUAUAUAUAGAAGUGAUAGGUCAAGUUCAUUCAUCCGCAUGAAAAGGACCAGGGUCGACUUCUUAAUGGUUCGUACUUACUAACGUAGAAAUUAGGGAAGAAAUCGCGGCAGGUGCUGCUACCUAGGGAAGGUAACACCAUUGCACUUGACUAUGAUCCUCUACCUCAUGUUCAUGUGAUGAUUAUGACGUAGGUGACAACUGUUUUAUCAGAUUGGAAGUAUAGAAUUCCAAGAAUAUUGAAGACAAAUCAAGCGCAAAUGAAGGCGAAGAUUAACAGAUGGAUUAUUACUCACAAAGGAAACUAAGGGUGAAUCUUCCCAGACAACGAUACAGAAAUGAGUGAUGGGUGCUGCAGUCCCUGUUUCAAGGCUGCUGUAUCGCCUACAGUUAAUCAAUCUCUACAAAAAGUGAUUAAAAAGUUAAUUUUUUUAACAAAAAAAAAAAAGUCCCUUUUUCUCUUUUUUCUUUGAGGUCUUAACUCUAUAACACUCGAUCUAGUUAAAACUAACAUGGAAAGAAUCCAGGUAAAUAGAGAUAGAUGUUUAUCAAAUUAAUAGAGACAAUCCAGACAUCAAGAUUGGCAUGCCAAGCAACCAUCGAGAUGCUACCUUCCAGGCCCUAUAACACAAACUCAUUUCAGAUAGUAUGAUCUUCUGACAUUUUUUUAAACAAAAUUCAAUUAGGGAACAUUUGGGAGGACUCUACAAUUUUACAUUUCAGUAACUUGAUUUUCAUUGGAAUUGGAAAAUUCAUAGUCACCCUGUUGAGGCAGUUCUUCCAAUUCUAAUGCUUGAGCCCUUAAACCUACAUAACACGGUACUCUGUUGGACUAAGACUGAAAGCCUGGCCAAGUCAAAAACUGCAGCGUUGUCCUCUUGAUGCUGUGUCUUGGACAAAUUCCAGGAAAAACCUACAUCAGAGAAAUUUUAGUAUUUUUUUAAACUAGUGUAUAGAAGUCUUCCUUCCAUCUGUGAGAAACGUCAAUGGAGACCCAUCUUUUCUUCGCCAUCUUUUGUGCUUGGAUUUGUCUCUCAGUUCCCUUGGAGUUCUGUAUUGCAGCUGAUUCCAUAAGGAUGGACCAAUCCAUAAGCCAUGGUGAGACUUUAGUUUCCUCAGGCCAAAGUUUUGAACUAGGCUUCUUCUCUCCUGGAAGCUCCAAAAACAGGUACUUGGGAAUAUGGUACAAGAAUACACCCCAGACAGUUGUAUGGGUUGCAAACAGAAACAACCCAAUUGCAGAUUCUUACGGAGUUUUAACCAUCAUCAACAAUGGCGCACUUGUUCUUCUCAACCAGUCAAAGAGUGUAAUCUGGUCUCCCAAUUUGUCAAGGGUACCUGAAAAUCCAGUUGCACGGCUCCUAGAGACUGGAAAUCUUGUUCUCAGGGACAGUAGUAAUGAAAGUUCUGAAAGCUAUAUAUGGCAGAGCUUUGAUGAUCCAUCAGACACAAUGUUGCCACGCAUGAAGGUGGGAUGGAACUUAAAGACUGGUCUACAACAAAAAUUGACAUCAUGGAGAAGUGCUGAUGACCCAUCCCUUGGAGACUUCUCUUACAGAAUUGAUAUUAAUGUGCUGCCUUACGUGGUUCUUGGUGUGGGAUCAAGCAAAAAAGUCCGUUCCGGGCCGUGGAAUGGACUUGAAUUCAAUGGUGUUCUUGUGUUGGACUACUUGGUUUACAAAGCAGUUUUUGUUAACAACGACGAUGAGGUAUAUACCCUCUGUGAGUCUAACAACAAUAAGAUCAUUUCAAGACUAACAUUGAACCAUUCAGGUUUCCUCCAGAGUCUGGUAUCAAAAAAAGGAAGCUCUGACUGGGAUGAUUUGUACUCAAUUCCCAGUGAACUUUGUGUAAAUUAUGGCCAUUGUGGUGCUAAUGGUAUCUGCAGAAUUGGCAAGGCGCGGAUUUGUGAGUGUUUGCCAGGUUUCACACCAAAUUCACAAAAAGAAUGGGACAUGUUUAAUACAUCAAGUGGAUGCAUCGAAGAAGGCCUUUGGAUUGCCAAAGUGAAGAGGGAUUUGUAAAGGUUACAGGGGUGAAAUUGCCCGACUUGAUAGAUUCUCAUGUGAUUAAUAGUGUGAGCCUUAGGGAGUGUGAGGUGUCAUGCUUGAACGACUGUUCUUGUACAGCAUAUGCCUACUCAAAUGCAUAUGCUUACUCAAAUCCUAAUGGAAACGGUGGCUGUUUGAUGUGGUCUGGGGACCUGAUUGAUAUCAGAGAGUUAACUUCAGAAAAACAUGCGGAGGACAUCUAUAUCCGCAUGCACACUUCAGAGCUAGGUAAGACACUUGAUUUUCUGUAAAUCACGUUUUGAUUGUAAGCUAUUGGGGUUGUCUCCAAUAGCCUAAGCCCUAAGUUUUCCUGGUAAAUCAAGAUGCAGAAUUACUUAUUUUCCAAAAUCAGAGAUUCAAUUUGACAAGAAGAUUAUAAUCUAGUUAAAACUAAGACCCUAUAUUAUAUUCCAGAAGAACCAUAGCUGUUAGGAUUCAGGUUAACUAAUGAUGAACUGACUUGUAAUAAUCCUAACAAGCAGAAAGCAAAUAUCCAAUUCAUUUUCUGAAGAAACAGGGAAAUCCGGGGAAAUGGUUACUUCAUUCUUGUUACUGUCUGUUCCAGGGUUAAACACUUAUCAGAAGAAAAAACUAGUGAUCAUCCUUGUUAUAUCUACCUUUUCUGGAAUCCUCACCUUGGGCUUAGCAGUCUGGUUUCUAUUUCAGAAGAAGAGAACAAUGGGAGCAGGUAUGCAUACUUAUCCACCUUGAUGAUUUUAUUGAAAGAAAACCACGUGGUUGUGCUUUAAAAGUAGCUUCUAAAUUAUUAUCCCUUUUAACAGACCAGGAAAGCAAGGAGAACUUAGAGUUACCUUUGUUUGACUUGCCUACCAUUGCAACUGCUACUAACAACUUCUCCAACACCAAUAUGAUUGGAGCAGGUGGCUUUGGGUAUGUGUACAAGGUAAUAUACGCCAUCUUAUGCAUCAGGAUAACCCAAAAAUGAUUUCAAAAGAAAGAAGUGUUAGCUUUUUUCCUAUAAUGUGUGGCCAUAUAUAAUUAUAUUUAUAUAAAUAUUAUUUAAGGCUAUCAAUUGAUAGGUAGGUGAAUCAAUUAAUUGGGCAUCCAAGAGUUUUAUGUAUGGAAGACUCAAAUUACAAAUGGGGAGUUAGAAAAUUUACUUUAUAUGAAUAUGGUGUCACAACUUUUGUAACCCCAUCAUUAUGAAAUUCAUUUUGUACAUUAUGUUUGAGUAAUAGAGGAAAAUGAAAAUGUAUAACUUAUGCAAUUAUAUAGAUGCAUUCAAGUUCAUAACCCACCAUUACCUAUUAAUUUGUACAUAAUGGGUGUAAAUAAUGAGUAUAACUCCCAUAUAGUCUUUGAUGGGAAGACUAAGAGAUGUACAACUUUUUAUAAAUUGAGGUCCCAAGUCACACUCUCAUUCUUAUGUCAUUUUUGUUGUUUAUUUUUAACAACAUACACCACACAAGUGACCCAUCCAUUAUAUGAGAGUAGUGAGUUGAAGAUCUUGAAAAUACAAUUCACAAGGUGACUCAAUCUCACUUCAUGGAUCAAGGUAAGAAUAUGAUCAUUAUUUUAGUAUUUACAUUUAUUUUGUUUUAUGCAUCAAAAUUUUUUUUUAAAAAUAAUUAUUUUCGUAUAAAGUUUAUAAAAGUUUGGUUAAUAAUUGGUAUCAGAGCCAACCAAUUUUGGAUCAUAAAACAUAUUUUUUCAUUUUUUGAUUAUUGUUUGAUCUUAUGGACAACUAAAAUAUAUAUGAUGUGAUGCAUAUGAAUGAUGUAGUAACACACAUUUUCAAUGUUUCAUGAUUUCAAUCAUAUCUAUUGCAUGAUUUUAUGAAAGUUGCAAAAAUAUGAUUAGUAAUUUAAAUGUGUGAUUAUGGAAAUCUCAAGAAAUAGCUUUUCUAGUAUGCAUGUUUAUUUACUUGUUUGUUUGAAGAUGAUCAUAUAUAUAUGUGUGAUCAACCUAACGAAGGAUCAUCACCAUGUUUGAUUAUAUGACAAGAGUUUAAUAAUAAAAGGUUGAUGAAGUUUUUACCCAACGGUAUUAAACUUCUUUACGUUUCAAUACUUUUAUUUUAAUAAUUAUGUCAUAUCUAUAUGAUUUAUGAAUUAUUAUAAUUCAACCCAAUGGAGGGAUUAUAAUAAUGUACUUUUGUGUUAUAUGAUUGUAGUUCGGUCCAACGAAAGAACGAUGAUAUGAUCUCUAAUGUUUAUGAUUAAUGUGAUAUCUAACUUAAUUUUUGUUGUAGUUAUAUAUUAUUGUAAAGUGUGGUGUUAAAUAUUGUCAUGACAUAAAAUAAUUUUCCUUUUUGAAUUAAAUUUUAUUUUCCAGCAAUGAAUCCUACUGCUAUUACAGGCUAUUUGUCUGGUAUUGAAUGAUUAAGUGGGGCAAAUUUUAAAAAAUGGAAGGAACAAAUUGGAAUUGUUCUUGGUUGCAUGGAUUUGGACUAUGCCUUAAGAGAGCCUACACCCACAAAGCCUACUUCUGAAAGUACUAAUGAACAAAAGGCUUUAUAUGAAAAGUGGGAGCGCUCUAAUCGCAUGAGUCUAAUGAUUAUGAAAGGUUCAAUCACUCCUGCAAUUCAUGGAGCAAUCCCGAAUUCAGAUAAUGCAAUGACCUAUAUUAAAUAAGUUGAAGAACAAUUCUUAGGAACUUCCAAGUCAUUGGCAAGUACUCUUAUGAUCAAAAUGAUAACAAUGAAAUAUGAUGGUCAUAGUGGUGUACGUGAGCACAUCAUGAAGAUGAGUGAUAUGGCUUCUCAAUUAAAAGGAAUGAACAUGACAAUUUUUGAAGGUUUUCUUGUUCACUUCAUAAUGACUUCCCGUCCUUCACAAUUUGGUCCUUUCAAAAUUAAUUAUAAUACUCAGAAGGAUAAGUGGAAAAUGAGUGAACUAAUUGCAAUGUGUGUUUAAGAAAAAGAGAGGCUUAAAGUGGAAAAGCCCGAUAUGGCUCACCUCACUAUUGGUCCAAAUAAAAAAUCCUUCAAGAAAGGUAAAGGUAAGAAAAAGAAGCAAGGUAAUGAUGUAUCUCAUAAUGGGAAAAAGGACGAAAAUAAGAUACAAUGUCAUUUUUGCCAUAAGAAAGGUCACAAAAAAAUAUAUUGUUUUGGCUUUAAGGCUUGGUUGGAAAAGAAAGGUAAAACUCAAUGCUUAGUGUCUUAUGAAUCUUAUUUAGUUGAUAUACCACCAAACUCUUGGUGGAUUGACACUGGUGCAAGCAUUCACAUAACAAAUUCAUUGUAGGGAUACCUUAUAAGCAAGAGACUAAGUAAAGGAGAGCGAACCAUUACUUUGGGAAAUGGAACGAAAGUGGAAAUUGAGGCUAUUGGCAUUCUUCGUUUAAUUUUGGAUAUUGGUUUCAUUAUGGAUUUAGUAGAUACAGUUUAUGUUCCUGUUUUUACUAGAAACCUAAUUUCAGUUCCAAGACUUGAUUCUUAUGGUUAUGAAUUAAAGUUUGGAAAUAAUGGAGUUUCCUUGUUCUAUAAUUCUUGUUUGGUUUGCUCUGGCACUUUACAUGGUAAUCUUUAUUCAUUGAAUUUAGAUUGCAAAUAUUCAUAGUCUCUUUUAUCUUAUCAUGUGUAUGAAGUCUCUAAAAAAUGAAAUCGAGUGAAUGAAAAUUCAUCCAUAUUAUGGCAUAAGCGACUGGGUCACAUUUCAAGAGAAAGGAUGGAACGUCUUAUUAAAGAUGAAAUUUUGACUUCACUUAAUUUUUCUAAUUUUACUAGUUGUGUUGAAUGCAUAAAGGGAAAGAUACACUAAGGUUAAGAAAAAGGGUGCCUCAAGGGCCACUGAAUUGUUAGAAUGUAUUCAUUCUGACAUUUGGGGACCUUAUUCAAUUCCAACUAUCAAUGGACAUAAGUACUUUAUUAGUUUUAUUGAUGACUUUUCAAGGUAUUCUUAUGUGUAUCUUAUUCGUGAAAAAUAUGAAGCAUUAGAUGUUUUUAAGAUUUAUAAAGUUGUGGUUGAAAAUCAACUCAAUCGGUGAAUUAAAAGUGUAAGAUCUGAUAGAGGUAGUGAAUAUUAUGGUAGGUUCACUGAAUCAGGUCAACUUCUUAGUACUUUUGCCUUAUUUUUAAGAGAGCAUGGUAUCAUUGCAAACUACACAAUGUCUGGAACACCAGAGCAAAAUGGUGUAGUAGAGCGACGGAAUCGUACUCUAAUUGACAUGGUGAGAAGUAUGAUGAGUAACUCAACCUUGCCUGAAUUUUUGUGGGGUGAAGCAUUGAAAACUACUGUUCACAUUCUCAAUCAUGUUACUAGUAAGGUUGUACCCAAAACUCCUUAUGAGUUAUGGGUGGGUAGGAAACCGACUUUGAAUUAUUUACAUGUAUGGGGAUGUCCAGCUGAAGCUAAAUUUUUUAACCCACAAAUAAAGAAAUUAGAUUCUAAAACCAUAAGUUGCAAUUUCAUUGCCUAUCCUGAAAUAUCGAAAUGUUUUAGAUUUUAUUAUCAUGGCCAGGGCCCUAAAAUUGUUGAAACUAGACAUGCUGCGUUUUUGGAAAAUGAAUAUUUUAAUGGGAGAACUGAGCUUAAAAAGUUAACCUCUAAUGAAGUAUCAACACCAAUGAUGGAAUAUGGUGUGACUCAAGAGGUUUCUAGUAAUGAAAAUGAGAAUGUCCCAACUACAGAAGUAUUUUUACGUAGAUCACAAAGAGAGAAAAUACAUGCUAUAUCAAAUGACUACGAAGUUUAUCUUAAUGAGUGUGAUUAUGAUGUUGGCUUGGAAAGUGAUCCUACUUCUUAUGAUCAAGCCAUCAAUAGUGAAAAUUCAACUCUAUGGCUUUAUGCUAUGGAAGAAAAGUUGAAAUCAAUGAAAGAUAAUGAAGUUUGGGAUCUUGUAGAAUUGCCCAAAGGAAUUAAAACUAUUGGUUGCAAAUGGAUUUUAAAAACCAAAUAUGAUUCUAAGGGCAACGUCGAAAGAUACAAGGCCAGGUUAGUUGCAAAAGGAUACACUCAAAAAGAAGGAAUCGCCUACAAGUAAACAUUUUCUCCUAUUUCCAAGAAAGAUUCUUUAAGAAUAGUCAUGGCUUUAGUAGCUCAUUUUGACUUAGAGUGACAUCAAAUAGACGUUAAAACUGCCUUUUUGAAUGGUGACUUGCAUGAAGAGGUUUAUAUGGAUUAACCUGAGGGUUUUCAGGAUAAAGGCAAGGAAUAUAUGGUAUGUAAACUUAAAAAGUCCAUAUAUGGUCUAAAGCAGGCUUCUAGACAAUGGUAUCUUAAGUUCCAUGAAAUUCUCAUCACUUUUGGUUUCAAAGAGAAUCUAGUGGAUCAAUGUAUAUACCUUAAGAUCAGUGGGAGCAAAAUUUGUAUUAUUGUUUUGUAUGUUGAUGGUAUGUUGCUUGCUAGCAACAAUAUGGGGAUGAUUUUUGAGACCAAACAAUUUUUAUCUAAGAAUUUUGAUAUGAAAGAUCUUGGUGAAGCAUCCUAUGUGAUAGGAAUUGAAAUUCAUCGAGAUAGGUCACGUGGAUUAUUAGGAUUAUCCCAAAAGAACUAUAUUGAAAAAGUUCUUAAAAGAUUCAACAUGCAAAAUUGUUCUAGCAAUGUUGCUCCUGUUGUGAAAGGGGACAUAUUUUGUGAACUUCAAUGUCCCAAAAAUGAUCUUGAAAAGAAACAAAUGGACAAAAUUCCUUAUGCUUCUGCAAUAGGGAGUAUCAUGUAUGCUUAAGUAUGCACUCGACCAAAGAUAGCUUAUGUGGUAGGCAUGCUUGGUCGAUACAUAAGUAAUCCAAGUAUUGAUAAUUGGAAAGCAGUUAAGAAAGUAUUGCGUUAUUUACAAGGGACUAAGGACUACAUGCUUACAUAUAAAAGAACAGAUAAUCUAAAGAUUAUUGGUUAUUCUAAUUCUGAUUAUGUUGGUUGUAAGGAUACCGGAAAAUCUACAUCUGGGUAUAUUUUUAUGUUAUCAAAUGGACCUAUUUUAUGGAAGAGCCAUAAGCAAUCAUUGAUAGCUUUUUCUACAAUGGAGGCAGAAUAUGUAGCAUGUUAUGAAGCCACAUGUCAUGUAAUAUGGUUGAGAAACUUUGUAUCAGGGCUUCAUGUUAUUGAUUCGAUAAUGAGACCAUUGAGAAUAUAUUGUGAUAAUAGUGUUAUUGUUCGAUUCUCUAAAAAUAAUAAGACUACAGGAGGAUCAAAGCACAUUGAUAUUAAGUAUUUGGUUAUAAGGGAGAAAGUUCAAAAUGGAGUUGUCUCUAUUGAACAUAUUGAAAAUACACUCAUGUUGGCAGAUCCAUUGGCAAAAGGUCUUCCACCUAAGCUUUUUAUGGAUUAUGUUGCGCACAUGGGCUUGGUGGUAAGUUUGUCAAUUUUAGAUUGAUUAAGAGUGUAAUGUAUGUGAUCACAUUAUAAUGAGAAUAAAGUUCUUGAUUAUGAUAUAUUGAUGAUUAUUAUGUUACUUUUAUACAUCAUUUUUGUGCACAAUCUAGAUGUUUAAAAGUUGAUGGGACCAUUAUGUGAAUGAAUUAGUAUUAUCACCUUAAUCUUUCUAAUGUCAUAAAAGUCAUUGAUUCAUGUUAAUGGAGGUGCUAGUACUAUAAUCCUUGAAGAAUAUUGGAUCAUUGUGUGAUCCAAUCAUUUCAAUGAUUUGGUGUUAGUGGUUCUAUGAAACAUAAUCUUAAUGUAAAGGAUGCCUAUUUUGAGAAAUUGUUAUGGUCAUAUUAUGUUUUAAUCUAUUACAAAUAUAAUUAUGUAGGCCAAGUGAGAGAUUGUUAGCUUUUUUCCUAUAAUGUGUGGUCAUAUAUAAUUAUAUUUGUAUAAAUAUUAUUUAAGGCUAUCAAUUGAUAGGUAGGUGAAUCAAUUGAUUGGGUAUCCAAGAGUCUUAUGUAGGGAAGACUCAAAUUACAAAUGGGGAGUUAGAAAAUUUACUUUAUAUGAAUGAGGUGUCACAACUUUUGUAACCCCAUUAUUAUGAAAUUCAUUUUGUACAUUAUGUUUGAGUACGUAAUGGAGGAAAAUGGAUAUGUAUAACUUAUGCAAUUAUAUAGAUGCAUUCAAGUUCAAAACCCACCAUUACCCAUUAAUUUGUACAUAAUGGGUGUAAAUAAUGAGUAUAACUCCCAUAUAGUCUUUGAUGGAAAGACUAAGAGAUGUACAACUUUUUAUAAAUUGAGGUCCCAAGCCACACUCUCAUUCUUAUGUCAUUUUUGUUGUUUAUUUUUAACAACAUACACCACACAAGUGACCCAUCCACUAUAUGAGAGUAGUGAGUUGAACACCUUGACAAUACAAUUCACAAGGUGACUCAAUCUCACUUUAUGGAUCAAGGUAAGAAUAUGAUCAUUAUUUUAGUAUUUACAUUUAUUUUGUUUUAUGCAUCCAAAUUUUUUUUUAAAAUAAUUAUUUCCGCAUAAAGUUUAUAAAAGUUUGGUUAACAAGAAGAGAAAAAUAAUUGUGUCUUACACAUCAUAUUUUGUAGGGCAAUCUAUCUGAAGUAGCAGUAGCAAUGAAGAGAUUGUCCAAGAAUUCAGCACAGGGUGUUCAAGAGUUCAAGAAUGAAGUUGUUUUGAUUGCGAAACUUCAGCACAAGAAUCUUGUUAGGCUUUUGGGCUGCUGCAUUCAAGGAGAAGAAAGAAUAUUACUCUAUGAUUAUAUGCCUAACAAAAGCUUGGAUUAUUUUAUUUUUGGUUUGACCUUCUUAUCCCUAUCUGUUAGGAUUAGUUUCACUUUUUGAUCACCUAUAUUAUGCUCAGUCGUGUUCAAUUCAAUUCACACAUCUAAGUAAUUAAUUAAGCCUAAUAAAAAAAUUUAUAAAGGCAGAUGUAUUGUGCAGAUCAAAACAAAAGAGCAUCAUUGGCAGGGGAUAAGCGCUGCAAGAUUAUUAUAGCGAUAGCACGAGGGCUUCUCUACCUCCAUCAAGACUCUAGAUUUCAAAUUAUUCACAGGGAUCUCAAGAUAAGCAAUAUUUUACUGGAUGACAAUCUCAAUCCUAAAAUUUCAAAUAAAGAAUUCUCUCUAACCUCCUCUCAACAUAUUGAACAUAAAUUCUAGUUGGUUAAGGCUGCGAAUCACAUACGAAAUACAAUGAAUGAUGAAAUUCAAUCAUCUGAUGACAAUUUUUAGGUAAGAUUUAUAACUUUCAUUUGUUUCUAUAAAGAAAUAUAUAUAUUUAUCAAAAAAUAAAAAUAAAAAUCGGCAACUUGGGUGGGGCUUUGGCGUCCUGGGAGGCAGUAACCACGACAGUGGUUAUGGUUUGGAGUAGGGAUGAAAGUCGGUGACCAUCAACAACGAUGGUUGGGCAAAAUUUUUGCUUAUAAUAAUUAUAAAAAUCAAAUUUUUUAUUAUUAUUUAUAAUAGUUAAUAAAUUACUUUUCGUUUAUAAUAGUUAGAAAAUUCUUCAUGACAUAAAUUUUUGCUUAUAAUAAUUAUAAAAUUCUAAUUCUUUUAUUUGUUUAUAAUAUUUACUAAAUUACUAAUUUUUUGUAAGAAAACAUUAUAGUAGCCACAUAAAUUAUUAAUUUAAACAAGAUUUGUUUUUGCCAAUUUUACUAAUUUAAAUGUUUUAAUUUCUUUUUUUGAAAAUUUUAACUAAUUGCUUCAUGUUUUAAUUUUUUAAAUGCUUUAACUUUGUCAUGUACAUUCUCAUAUAAUUUGUAUAAUGUUAUUGUCUUCAUGAUAUAAAUAGAAUUUUUUAUCUAUUUUGUAAGAUGAAUAUUUUGUGGAGGAAUUUCCAUCACAAUUGAUAGAUUAUGGCAAACAUUUCACUAUACAUAAAAGAUUCAAAGAUCGAGAAGAGUUUAUUAAAGAGGUUAAACAAAUUGGAGAACAACAAAAUAUAUUUGUGAUUAUUUGUCGUUCCACUAAAGCUGAUGGUUUAGGAAGUGGCAAAGUAUGGAUAGGCUGCGAGAUAUUCGAAGGCUAUAGACCGUAACAGAACAUAAAAACCGAUGUGGUGCCUAGAAAUCGAACUAGGACGAAGAAGUGUCAUUGUCCCUUUAUGUUGAAGGGUAUUGAACAUGAUGAUGGAGGACUUUAGUCAUCAUUAAUGGCAACCACAAUCACUACCUUGGAAAGUAUCCUCACGGUCAUUCAUCGGUUGGUAAAUUAAAGGAAAUAGAGUUCAAGAUAGUAGCUACAAUGACCAAAAGUCAUGUUAAGCCACAACUUAUCUUAAAUCACGUCAAACGGGAGAAUCCAAGCAACUUGAGUUGUGGGAAACAUGUCUACAAUGCCAAGCAAAACCUUAAAGAUCAGAAAAAGAAAGGUUGUUCAGUGAUGCAACAACUACUAAAAUUGCUAAUUGAUCAUGGUUAUAUCACCACUGGUAUAGAGAAGUGAUAAGGUUAAUUUUGAGGAAGAGAAGGUAGAAAAGAAGAAGAGGACGGAGAAGGAUUUUUGGAUUUUCUGCUAUGCUUUAUUGAUCAUAAUACCGACUAUUUAUAAUAGUCUUACAGCUGGGAAAUAACAAACAAUGCUAUAACUUAGGAAAGAACUAAGGCCAGUCCACCUGGUAAAACAAAUAAAACAACACAAUGAAGACUAGCUCCGACCAGCUUAUUAAGUGGAGACUAGUUAACAGACUACUGACUAAGUCUAGUAAGGCUCACGUAUCAUGCCUCCCCUCCCUCAAGGAUCCUUGUCCUCAAGGAUAAAAAUCUGGAUAGGACCUGUUGAAGCGUCAUUCGUUCUCCUAGGUUGCAUCUUCCCUUGGAGCUCCCUUCCACUUGAUUAAAACUUUAGACCUUGGACGGUAUUUCCCUUUUUGAAUAACUCGUCGAUCAAGUACAACUUCAGGUUGUGGUAGUAUAACCAAAUCUUCUGAAACUAGAGGAAGUUGAUUCUGAACUAGAGUAUGUACUGGACCCAAAUGUUUCCGCAACAUGCUAACAUGAAAUACACUGUGAAUUUGAGUUCCCGGAGGGAGAGCUAACCAAUAAGCCACUGGAUCUACUUUUCCCAUAAUCAGAUAAGGGCCAAAGAAACGUGGAGCAAGCUUCAUUGAAGCUCGAAAUGCCACAGAAGUUUGGCGAUAUGGUUGGAGCUUCAGAUAGACAUAAUCACCAAUAUCAAAAGAGACUUCUCAUCGUUUCUGAUAUUCUUGACAUUUCAUUCGCUGACUAGCUAGUGAAAGGUUGUGGCGUAGCACACUUAAGAUGGUGUCACGGUCACGAAGGUAUUCAUCAACUACUUGAAUGUGAGAAGUACCUAGAACAUAAGUUAGAAUGCUUGGUGGAGGAAUUCCAUAGACGGCUUCAAAUGGUGUCAUUUUGGUUGAGGAAUGGAUGAAAGUAUUAUAGCUAAACUCAGCCCAGGGAAUCCACUCGAGUCAUUUUCGCGGUUGAUCACCUGCAAAACAUCGCAAGUUUUGUUCCAAAGUGCGGUUUACUACCUCGGUCUGACCAUCAGUUUGUGGGUGGUAACUUGAGCUCAUGCGAAGCUUGGUUCCUUGUAGCUGGAAUAGUGUUUGCCAAAAAGAACUGAUAAACACUUUAUCUCGAUCACUCACUAUGGAUGUCAGAACACCAUGGAGGUGAACCACGUUGGCUAUAAAUGAUUUAGCAAUAGUGACUGCGGUAUAUGGAUGUCUUAAGGCAACAAAAUGAGCAUAUUUUGUUAAGCGAUCAACAAUUACCAUGAUGACUGUGUGUCCAUUUGACGGUGAUAAUCCUUCGAUAAAAUCCAUUGAUACUUCAGUCCACAUCUAGGUAGGAAUGGGUAAUUGUUGAAGUAAGCCAGCUAGUUUCAUGCAGUCGGUUUUGUACCUUUGACAUACACUGCAUUGUUGUAGAAACUCUUUCACUACUCGACGCAUUGCUAAGGCAUGCGAGAAAGUGUUUUAUGGAAUCCAAAAUGCCCCCUAGUUGGUGAUGAGUGGCAAUCUGCAAUUAUUUGGUGAAUUAAAACUGCAGUGGGACUCAAGUAGACUUUGUUGUUUUUGAACCAAACUUCAUCUCGAAGUGUUAGCUGGUAAGGAGAUUGUGUUUGGCUCAACUUCUUAUAAAAAUGAUCUUUUUGUACUUUCUCUUAUAAUUUUGGCCACCAAUCUGCACGUGGCAUAGAAAUGGAUAAGAACUGAAAUUCAACCACACAAGAAAGGAAGUCAACAGCUUGAUUUUCAGGCCCACGCUUGUACCCAAUUUCAUAGUCAUAUCCAAGGAUCUUUGGGAGCCACCGGGUUUGUGCUGGUGUGGUAAUUCGCUGCUCAAGUAAAUAUUUGAGGCUCCUUUGGUCGGUGCGCACCGUAAAUGGUUUGCCCAGAAGAUAUGGACGCCACUUUUGAAUUGACUUGACAAUUGCAACAUUUCUUUCUCAUAUGUAGAUAACAACAAGGCUGACAUCUUCAAAGCUUCACUAAAGUAAGCUAUGGGCCGAUUAUUUUGAGAAAGGACUGCUCCGAUUCCAAUCCCACUAGCGUCGCAUUCAAUUACGAAUAUUUGAGAAAAAUCUAGAAGGCCUAGGACUGGUGGAGAUGUGAGUGUUUUCUUUAGUCUUCGAAAAGCAAGUUCCGCUGCAUCGUUCCAUUUAAAUCCUUCUUUAGACAAGAGUUGCGUUAAUGGAGCCGCUAUACCUUCAAAAUGACGGAUAAAUUUGAGGUAAUACCCUGCUAGCCCGAGAAACCCAUGCACUCCUUUUGUUGUGGAAGGUGUUGGCCAUUCAAGAACAACUUGUAUUUUUGUUGGGUCUACUACCACUCCAUGUUCGGAAAUGAUGUGUCCCAAAUAGUCCACCUGAGAAACACCAAACCUGUAGUUGGUUGCCUUAGCAAACAAGUGAUUAGUUUUUAAAAUCUUAAGAAUGGUCCGGAGAUGUGAGAGAUGGUCAUCCCAUGUCUUUGAAUAAACUAGAAUGUCAUCAAAGAAUACCAAGAUAAAUUUUCUGAGAUACGUGCGGAAGAGGUCAUUCAUAAGGCUUUGGAAGGUGGAUGGUACAUUGGUAAGGCCAAACGACAUUACAAUGAACUCAUAGUGCCCUUCAUGUGUUCGAAAAACUGUUUUUGAAAUAUAUUCUUCAUAUACCCGAAUCUAAUGGUAUCCGGCCUUCAAAUCUAACUUGAAGAAGAAUUUGGCUCUGUGAAGUUCAUCAAGGAGUUCAUCAAUUACUGGAAUUGGAUAUUUAUCCUUGACUGUGAUGCAGUUCAGUGCUCGAUAGUCAACACAAAAUCGCCAAUCACCAUCCGCCUUCUUGACUAACAAGACAAGUGAUGAAAAUGGACUUUUACUAGGCCUUAUCAAUCCUGAUUGUAGUAGUUCUCGCACCAAUUUCUCAAUUUCUGUUUUCUGGUAGUAUGGGUAACGGCAGGGUCGCACACUCACUGGUUCAAUGUUUGGCUGUAAUGGGAUGCGGUGGUCAUGUGGUCUUUUUGGGGGUAAGCUGGUGGGUAGUUCAAAUACUUUAGAGAAUUCGGUUAAGAGAUGGGUUAUGUUAGGUGACAGAAGACUUGGUUGGGGUACAUUGGAAGAGAGUAAAAUUUGGAAGAGGAAUCCAGUACCUUGAAAAGAAUUAAAUUCUUUAUCAGAUAAGGCUUCUAGAGCAGCAUGCUUCAGACCUUGGAAGAUGCAGGAUUUUUCUCCAAUUUUAUAGGUCAUGGUCAGUUUUUUGUAGUCCAUCUCUAUUGGCCCAAGGGUCUCCAACCAUUGCACACCUAGGACCAAUUGGCAAGCUGAAACAGGAAGCACAUAAUAGUCAGCGGUGAUCGAUUUACCUUGGAUGGAAAUGGUGACAGUUGGACACAAUCCCACGCAUUCUAUUUUUUCUUAGUUGGCAACCAUGACUUGAAAUUUCUUUGCUGGAAUGAUGGGUAAUCCAUGCUUGGUGACUAUGGCCUGAUCAAUAAAAUUGUGGGUGCUCCCACCAUCUAUGAGCACAGUUACAUUUUUGUUUUUGAGUUUGCCUAAUACUUUUAAGGUGAUUGGUUCCAGCGAUUGCAUGAAAGGAGAUUUCAGGCAAGGUUUCUUGGUUAUCAGGUUCUAUUUGGGGUUGUUCAUCCUUGUCAACGUUUGAUUGAUCCAAAUCCUCCAUCAUGAAUAUUUGUGGACGUUCACAUCGAUUACCCGGAACAAACUUAUCAUCACAAUAGUAGCAUAGUCUUUUUUCACGACGCUCUCUCGCCUCUUGGUUAGUUAUUCGUCGGAAGGUGUUUGGGUUAACAUUUGCACUUUGACUUCCACGCUGAUUAGGAGGAGGGCUUAGGACUCCGGAAGUAGAGUUGGGACCUGCUCUUGAUGUUGAAAUCACUGGUUGAGGUCGACUUGGGUAAUUCAGUUUCCUCUGAAGUUGAUUUCCCUCUUCUAUCAGUCGAGCAACUCCUAUAGCGUACGCCAGCACCUUUGGUUGUUUAAUUUUUACAUCUAGGCGAAUGUAGUCUCGAAGACCUGUAAUAAAACAACCAACAAGGAAUGCCUCAGGUAAGCCAUCAACUUGAUGAGACAGUUUUUCAAAAGUUUCAUGAUAGGCUGCCACAGUCGAAGUCUGUCGGAGUCAUGUGAGAGCUUCAGAAGGGUCCUCAUAAUCAGUUGGUCCAAAGCGAAGAAGGACGACUUUGGUGACUUCAUCCUAAUCUUGUGGUCCACGGAAUUUCAUGAACCAUCAGUGCCACUGUAGAGCUAUGCCUUCUAAAUGGAAGGAGGCUAGCUGAACUCGUUGGUCCGUACUGAUGUUUUUAAAUUCAAAAUAUUGCCCUGCUUUGUAAAUCCACCCGAUUGGGUCUUCUCCAUUGAAUUUUGGGAAGUGUAGCUUGAGGUAGGGGUGAGGGUCGUUUGGGGUAUAGGGUUUCACAGUGCUUGAGGGAUGUGAUGUGUCUCCUUGGUAAAAGGGGUUAAUUUCAGGUGGGGUGGCUGGGGUAGUGUGAGAGACUCCCAAGACUUGUAAUUCGGUUAAUACUGAUUGCAGGGCAGCAUUGAUUUGAUCGAAACUGGACUCAUGUCGAGCCAAGGCUUCAUUCACAUCAUUGCGAAAUUCAGCAUUAGUUUUAUCACUAGUGUCCAUUGUCAGAACCUGGCUUUGAUAGCAAAUGAUAAGGUUAAUUUUGAGGAAGAGAAGGUAGAAGAGAAGAAGAUGAUGGAGAAGGAUUUCUGGAUUUUCUGCUAUGCUUUAUUGAUCAUAAUACCGACUAUUUAUAAUAGUCUUACAGUUGGGAAAUAACAACAUGCUGAAGACUAGCUUCGACUAGCUUAUUAAGUGGAGAAUAGUUAACAAACUACUGACUAAGUCUUACAAGGCUCACGUAUCAAGAAGAUGCAGAAACUAACACAGUGAGUGAUAUAUUAUUUGCUCAUCCAAAAUCUAUUCACUUAUUGAAUGUUUAUUCAUAUGUUUUGAUCAUGGAUAGUACUUACAAGACUAACCGAUACUUAAGCCUCUUAUGUACCUAAAGUUAUCAUGUUUACUACUAUAUUUCAAGCUUCAAGUUAGAUCUUUGAAUGCAAUUGACCAAAUUAGGACUAUAUAUCUUUCUUUUUUGGGGGAAUUGUUCAUCAAAGUAUAAUUUUUUUUCCUUUAGGCAUGGGACCAAUGGAAAAACAAUAGAGAACUGUAGUUGAUUGAUCCAGCACUAAAUGAGAUAUCUUCAAGACAUAUUCUGUUAAGGUACAUCAAUGUAGCCCUUCUUUGUGUUCAAGAAAGUACAAAUGAUAGGCCCACCAUGUCCGAUGUUGUCUCCAUGUUUGGCAAGGAAACUGUACUUUUAUCUUCUCCAAAUGAGCCGACCUUCUCAAAUCUAUCGAGUAUGAAACCACAUGCAUCUCAAGAUAGGCUUGAAAUUUGUUCCUGAAAUGAUGUAACACUUUCAAGCGUGGGAGCACGAUAAGUGUUCUAAAUUGCAGAUUGCAUAUGCUUAAAUGUCUUCAGCGUAUUGUCUAGUAUUAUAUCGGCCAUCAAGUUGAUUGUUGAUGUACUGAACGUGUGAACUUUUGUAUGUAUUUUUCUUUCAAUGCAGUUCAAUAAUGUGCUUACUUUUACUCAAUCCUCAAGGAUUCAGACCCGUAUCUCAUCUUCCCAUCUGUAAUUGCUACUGAAUCUGCUUUUAUACAUUGCUAAUCCAGAGUGUAAAAUACAACCCUCAGAGCUCACUUCAAAUAUUCAACUAGUACUAGGAAAGACGAGCUUUUGUGCAUGCUACAACUAAGCAUAAGUACUAAUUAACAUAUAGGCAAGAGGGAAAGUGAGGAAGUAAAGCAGUUGUAAAUUUUUUUGCCUUUUAAGCUGUGAUAUCAUCUAACAUUUUUUUAAGGGAAGAAAUAUUAUAAUUGAAGGUUUAUGUUGAGUACUUGUAAAACCUUCUUUUCUUAUUGGACAUGGUUUCAAUAAAAUCCAUUUGGUUGCCAAGAAAUCUGAGGGAGUUUAGGAUGUGAAUGAGGAAUUUGAAGUCUACCCUCGUCCCUAUAGCUUAAAAUGAAAAGGCAUAGUUACAAACUAAGCUUACAUCGUGGCAUAAACGUUUAUAUUCCUUAGUGGGGCUUGCAGUAGAGAUUGACCCGGAAGCCAACCAAAAAAGACAUGCAUCUAUGGUUCAAAUGAUUUUCUAAACUUAUUAAAUUGAUUUUCAAGAACUUGAUAAAUACCUCAUUUCUGUAAUAAGGUGAUUUCAAACGUUAGAAAACAGUGAAGGAAAAUGUGAAAUCACUCUACCACCAAGCAUAGAUGGACACUCAAGAAUAAAUAGUAGAGUUGGAUUUGAACACAAACCUCUUUUAAAGAAGAGAAUGUAAAGAUGAUUAUGAAAAAUUAGGUGUUGUUUGUUUUUUUAAUUUUUUUUUUAUAGAAAAAAUAUUUUGUUUUAGAUUUCAAAUAGUUUGUUUUUGUACAUUUUGUUAAUAUAUUACUUAUUUCUUAAAUUUUUUUAAUAUAAAAAAAGAUAUUUGACUUUUUCUGGAUGCUAAAAGUAAUUUAUAGGUUUUUUUUUUACUUCUUAAAUAUUUAAUAAAAAUAAAAUAUUUUAAAAAACAACUUCAUAGUUAACGUUAUUAAAUACUAUUUAGUUUUAAAUUCAAAUUAAAAUUAAGAUCUUCACCAUGCAUCUUAAAAUUGAAAAUAUAUAUAUAUAUAUAUAUAUAUAUAUAUAUAUAUAUAUAUAUAUAUAUAACCGGCCCUCACUUUCCUUGAUAUUUCAUUUUGUCUCUCUUCUUUCUCUUUACAUUCAUCAUUGCAGCUGUCGUGGAAGAUAUCCAACUCAUAGAGUUAAUCAAACAUAAAAAAAAAAAAAAAUCCUUUUUUUUUCUUUGAUUUGUUUAUAGAUGAUUUUCUACUUUUAUUUUUAUGGUUAUUGGUUUCUUCGGUCAUGAUUUUUUAUGAUAUAUAAAUCCAUUUUAAAUUUGUUGUUAGAUGGAUUAAUUUUUAAUUUUUAAUCUUAUUUAGACAAUUUAUCUUUAAAUAAUAGAAUUGGCUGUUAGAAUUCUUAUCAUUUUUAUUAAAUUAUAAUUCUAAUUCAAUAAAAUAAAUAUGGUCAAAAAAUUGAAAUUGACCGGAUGCUACUUUAUUAUAAUUGGAGAGGUAUGACACGGAAGAGUUCAUUUAUCAUUUUUCAAAGGGAGAAUUAGCAAAGAUGGUGGGCUCCAUACAACUAAGGUUUGACCCGUUUGUUCAUUUAUCAUUUUUCAAAAGGAGAAUUACCAAAGAUGGUGGGCUCUGAUUGAUAAUGAGUCAUCAACUUGAUAAUCUUUCAUAUGCUUCAAAAUAUAAAAACUCAAACAUACCCUUAUGUCUUUUAUUUUAAAGUCAAACAUAUCCUUACUUGGCCUUUUCCCUAUUUUGUCUUUUCUUCAUUUUAUUUUAUUUUUUAAUUAUUAUUUUUAAAAUAUGAAUAAUAAUCAUAAAAAUAAAUAAUAUUAGUAAGAAUGAUAUUAAUAAAUAACAUGAAUAAUUCAAAAUAUUAAUAUUAUAAAUAAUAAUAUUAACACUAAUAAUAAUAAUGUGUAAAGAAGUAUAAAAGAAAAACAAUAAAAAAAGGUAAAAUUAAAUGAGAAUAAUAGGAAAAAAAAAGGUACAAUUAGAAUUCUAAAAUGAUCAACUUUUCAAAGGUCUUGAUAGGAAUUUAUAAACAUGGUGACCCUUUUGGGUCAUUAUCACGGGUAGCUCACCCUAAAUGAGAAUUCUCCUUUUUUUAAAUUCACGUUGACCUUUUCACUAGAUAAAAUUUAAUAAUUGAAAGAAUACCACAUGCAUUUUUUGUAUGGAAGGAGGUCCCUUAGGAUACAACAUUGUCUAAAAUCAUUUAUAUAACUACUAUUUUUUUUUUUCAAAUAUCUUAUUUAAAAAAAGGAAAAUAUCAAAAAUCCCCCAUUAGGUCAACAUUACUUAUUUGUAUGCUGGCUGGCCAUAAGAUUAUUGAUGGGCUGCUUAAACGCUGCUUAUGAGUAAUGGGUAACAUGAAAAUUUCAACCAGAAGGUGGUCUGCUAAUCUCGUUUUCUUGCUUAUUUCUUCAGGUUUUCACUUGCAAUUUGUUGAUGCCUUUACAGAUACAAUCUUACAAGGUCAAUCACUCACAACCUCUCAGACCAUCAUAUCUGCUGGUGGUAACUUUGAAUUAGGAUUCUUUUCUCCUGGAAAGUCCACAAAAUAUUAUGUGGGGAUAUGGUACAAGAAAUUCUCAGAGCAAACCAUUGUGUGGGUAGCUAACCGAGAUUAUUCAUUCACAAAUCCAUCCGUGGUUCUUACUGUCAGCACAGAUGGCAACCUCGAGAUUUUGGAGGGGAAGAUUUCGUACAAGGUGACAAGCAUAUCAUCAAACAGCAACACUAGUGCCACCCUGUUGGAUUCUGGAAAUCUUGUUUUGAGAAAUAAGAAGUCAGAUGUCUUAUGGGAGAGCUUUGACUAUCCAUCGGACACGCUCCUGCCCGGAAUGAAACUUGGAUAUGACAAAAGGGCUGGAAAAACAUGGUCACUGGUGUCAUGGAAGAGCAGAGACGAUCCCAGUCCAGGAGCUUUCUCCAUAGAACACGAUGCGAAUGAAAGUAGUCAGAUUUUUAAUCUGCAAGGACCCAAAAUGUAUUGGACUAGUGGGGUGUGGAAUGGGCAGAUUUUCAGCCAGGUUCCUGAGAUGCGUUUGUCCGACAUGUAUAAGUACAAUGCAUCCUUUAAUGAGAAUGAAAGCUAUUUGACUUACUCUCUUCGUUAUCCCUCCAUUCUGAGCAGAGUGGUGCUAGAUGUGUCAGGCCAGGUUAGGAAACUGAAUUGGCAUGAAGGCACACAUGAAUGGGAUUUAUUUUGGCUUCAACCAAAAACACAGUGUGAGGUUUAUGCUUACUGUGGGCCUUUCGGAACCUGCACUCGGGAUUCUGUUGAAUUUUGUGAAUGCUUGCCAGGUUUUGAACCUCGCUUCCCUGAAGACUGGAAUCUGCAAGACAGAUCUGGAGGGUGUGUGAGGAAAGCAGAUUUGGAGUGUGUCAAUGAAAGCCAUGCUAAUGGGGAGCGAGACCAGUUUCUUUUGGUGUCUAACGUGAGACUGCCCAAGUAUCCAGUAACACUGCAAGCAAGGAGUGCUAUGGAGUGCGAAUCAAUUUGCCUGAAUCGCUGCUCUUGCUCUGCUUAUGCUUAUGAGGGAGAGUGUAGAAUAUGGGGUGGAGAUCUUGUAAACGUGGAGCAGCUACCAGAUGGUGACAGUAAUGCUAGAAGUUUCUAUAUCAAACUUGCUGCCUCUGAGCUAAAUAAGAGAGGUAAGAAAAAAGAGUCAUAGUUGUUAUUGUAGGAGGACAUAAAGCAUAUGGGUCUUGUUUUAUUUUCAAAAUAAAAUGGCCAUCGAUUCAGCUAAAUUUAAUAUGAUAUAUUUCCUUCUACAGUUUCAAGCAGCAAGUGGAAGGUAUGGCUAAUUAUUACACUGGCCAU